This 108046-nucleotide long non-coding RNA is filed under the name Triticum aestivum (bread wheat). RNAcentral's name for it is "long non-coding RNA (TAES_LNC017782)". The stretch from base 34449 to 34583 matches the Rfam family "MIR1120/MIR1122 microRNA precursor family". The record is from RNAcentral. Lineage: Eukaryota; Viridiplantae; Streptophyta; Magnoliopsida; Poales; Poaceae.
ACCAAAUUCACAUGACUACUUAUAGCAUGACUUCUCCCAUGUCCUCAGGAACAAACGUAACUACUCACAAAUCAUAUUCAUGUUCAUAAUCAGAGGGGUAUUAAUAUGCAUAAAGGAUCUGAACAAAUGAUUUUCCACCAAAUAAACCAACUAGCAUCAACUACAAGGAGUAAUCAACACUACUAGCAACCCACAGGUAUCAAUCUGAGGUUUUGAGACAAAGAUCGGAUACAAGAGAUGAACUAGGGUUUGAGAGGAGAUGGUUCUGGUGAAGAUGUUGAUGGAGAUUGACCCCCUCCCGAUGAGACGAUCGAUGGUGAUGACGAUGGUGAUGAUUUCUCCCUCCCGGAGGGAUGUUUCCCCCGCAGAACAGCUCUGCUGGAGCCCUAGAUUAGUUUCGCCAGGUUCCGCCUCGAGACGGCGGCGCUUCGUCCCGAAAGCUUCCUUCUGUUUUUUUCAGGGCGAAAGACUUCAUAUAACCAAAGAUGGGCACCGGAGGCCUGCCAGGGGGCCCACGAGGUAGGGCGCGCCCCCCACCCUCGUGGAUGGUGGGUGGCCCCCCUCUGGUGCUUUCUUCGCCCAAUAUUUUUUACAUAUUCCAAAACUGACUUUCGUGGAGUUUCAAGACUUUUGGAGUUGUGUAGAAUAGGUCUCUAAUAUUUGCUCCUUUUCCAGCCCAGAAUUCCAGCUGCCGGCAUUCUCCCUCUUCAUGCAAACCUUGUAAAAUAAGAGAGAAAAGGCAUAAGUAUUAUGACAUAAUGUGUAAUAACAGCCCAUAAUGCAAUAAAUAUCGAUAUAAAGCAUGAUGCAAAAUGGACGUAUUAGUGAGUCGGCUGGGUGAAGAUGACGAGGAAGUCUUCAGGCUGGUGAGCAGUGACCCGCAGCUGGUAGGGCGGGACGCAGAGCUGGGCCUCGAGAGCACGCCCGACCGCCAUCGGGGAUGUGGCCGCCACCCCAUCCAGAGCACGCAGCGUCACCGCAUGCUGCAUGAGGAAGAUGUCCCCUCCACCUCCACUAAGGAAACUCCCACCUUGUGACUGGUGCAAGGCCGGCGCGCGGGGUCCGCCAGGCUGAGCUCGGCCAUCAGAGGCGCGGGUCGGGUGAGCGGCUGGUACGGCGGCAGUGGCAAAGGAGUUCACGGUGGCGGCAGGGAGGGGAAGUGCAGGCAGGAGCUUACUAGGGGGCGAGAGGCGAAUGGACCUAGCCUAGCUGCAGUGGGGCUGCCCAGGCCAUUUCGAUGAUUUUGUGGACACUCGCGGCAAAAAUGCCCAAGGCGCUCACAGAUUAUGCAGUGAAGCGGAUCUCUACAAUCUUUCCGGCGAUGGAACUUGCUGAGGCAUCGAAAACAGCCGCCGUGGAAGCAGCUUAAGAAGGCCUCGCGUCCACCAGCCGCAUUGAAUGUAGUCCGGCGAUCCAGGGAGAGGGGCGGAGGGGCCCUGCUAUUGCCCGGUAGGUCGGAGGUGCGCCCGCGGUUCUUCUUAGAGGAGACAUUCGUCCAUCCAUCGUCCGGCCUCGAAGAGGAAAGAUUGACUGCGGGGGGUGUCGGUGUCAAAACCGGUGGAUCUCGGGUAGGGGGUCCCGAACUGUGCGUCUAAGGUCGAUGGUAACAGGAGACAGGGGACACGAUGUUUACCCAGGUUCGGGCCCUCUCUAUGGAGGUAAUACCCUACUUCAUGCUUGAUUGAUCUUGAUGGAUAUGAGUAUUACAAGAGUUGAUCUACCACGAGAUCAUAAUAGCUAAACCCUAGAAGUCUAGCCUGUAUGACUAUGGUAAUGAGUCUCUCCCUUUCCGGACUAAGUCCUCCGGUUUAUAUAGACACGGGUGUAGUCUUUGGUCUUCACAGCCCAUCAGUCUGGCCCAUGGCUAACAGGCUGGAUGCCCGAGGGCCCCUUAGUCCAGGACUCCCUCAGUAGCCCCUGAACCUGGCUUCAAUGACGAGGAGUCCGGCGCGCAGAUUUGUCUUCGACAUUGCAAGGCGGGUUCCCCUUUCCGAACUCCAGGAUUGUCUUCGGACGUAUCGACGCGUCCGGACCUGUAACACACACACCACACACAACCGCAGAGAGAAGACAAUUUUACAUGAGUCCAAUCCACUGACAACUUUUUGCAACAUGACAUCAUAUCUGUCCGGUUGUAAUUUCGAACCGUUUUUCGUCUGCCGCUCCAUGUUCCGAGACGCGGUUGUCAUUGGCACGUCUUGUCAAAGCAGGGAUCGUGUCCCCUUAUUGCGGGAUUCUCAUCAAUACGGGCGUGGGUAACCCAACCGUGCCGUUUGCACAACCCUUGGGAAUAGGCGAGUUUUAGGGCGAGUGGGGGGGCGUUUGACAUUCGCGGCCUUUAUAAGGGGAUAAGGAUUCGUCCUCAUUCACCCACGCCUUCUCCUUCCUCUGCCCCUCCAUUCUUGAGCUCUAGCACCCAAGCUCUAGCUUUCCCCGCCCGAGAAAGCACUCCAACCAUGUCCGGAUCCGGAGCUGGGGGCAAGUGGAUGGCCUCCUCCGUUAAGAAGAGAGAUAUCAAGGGGCUCCGAGAGGCCGGAUACCUGGCCAAGGAGAUCGUUCACCGACUCCCGGCCAAGGGACAAAUCGUCCCUACCCCAAGCCUCAUGAGAGGGUGGUGUUCCUCGCACAUUUCGUCCGCGGGCUGGGAUUCCCUCUCCACCCGUUUGUCCGCGGACUGAUGUUUUACUACGGGCUGGACUUCCAUGAUCUAGCCCCCAACUUCAUCUUCAACAUCUCAGCAUUUAUAGUUGUGUGCGAGGCCUUUCUCCGCAUCCCGCCUCACUUCGGCCUAUGGCUGAAGACCUUCAACGUGAAGCCGAAGGUGGUGAGCGGCCAACAAGCAGAGUGCGGAGGUGCCAUGGUGGGCAAGAUGCCCAAUAUCACCUGGCUCGAAGGCUCCUUCAUGGAGACGGUGAAGGGAUGGCAAUCGGGGUGGUUCUACAUCACCGAGCCGCGCAAUACCAACUGGGCGGCGGCCCCCGAAUUCCGAUCCGGAGUUCCCAUGCGGCUCACCUCCUGGCAAGAGAAGGGCCUGACCUGGGGAUCUUCGAACAAGCUGACUGGGCUCCAGACGUGCGUCCAGAACAUGAUAACCAAGAAGAUCAAGCUUGUCAAUGUGAUCCAGGUUAUGCUCAUCCGCCGGAUCCUUCCGUGCCAACGCCGGACCUGCUAUUUGUGGGAGUUUGAUCCGACCAAGCACCAGACGCUGCUAGAGCUCUUCGGCACGACGCACGAAGACAUCUGGAAAGUGCUCUUCAAGGCCGGCGAGACACCGCCGGCUACGACCGAGGAUCGUCGGCUUAGCUUAAAGCGCCAGGCCAAUUCGGUAAGCUUUUUCAUGUUUUCAAGGCAUAGCUUUUACUGGCAUGUUUUGGGGAAGGAGUCUAAGCCUUCCUAUCAAUUACUUUUAGGCCUGGACAGACAUAGCGGGGCGGAUUAAUUGUCCAGCUCCGCUACCCGAAGAUGAGGAAACCCCACUCCUGACGAGGAUGUUGUUUCUGGCGCCUUAUGAUGUGCCGGAGAAGAAGGCCAAGAAGUCGACCAAAGGGACCAGGAGUGGCCUUCGCCGAAAGGGUGCUUCGGUGUGACGCCCCCGAUUCGACCGUACACUAAUCAUACACGCAAAUGUGUACGAUCAAGAUCAGGGACUCACGGGAAGAUAUCACAACACAACUCUAGACACAAAUUGAAAUAAUACAAGCUUUUAUAUUACAAGCCAGGGGCCUCGAGGGCUCGAAUACAUAGCUCGAUACACAAGAGUCAGCGGAAGCAACAAUAUCUGAGUACAGACAUAAGUUAAACAAGGAUGCCUUAAGAAGGCUAGCACAAAAGCAACACGAUCGAAGAGGCAAGGCCUCCUGCCUGGGACCUCCUAACUACUCCUGGUCUUUAGUGGUCCCCACGUAGAAGUAGGCAUCCUCGGGGUAGUAGCAGACGUUGGCGGUGGCAUCUGGCUCCUGGGAUCCACCAUCUGGUUGUGACAACCAGAAAGAAGAAAGAAGGGGGGAAGGGGGAGCAAAGCAACCGUGAGUACUCAUCGAAAGUACUCGCAAGCAUCAGAUCUAUACUAAGUAUGCAUUGGUAUCAAAUGGAAGGGUUGUAUCUGUCGACUGAACUGCAGAAUGCCAGAAUAGAGGGGAAGGCCUAGCCUAUCGAAGACUAGCAUCUUCAAGCAGCUCCAAGCAUCUUGCAGCAUGUAGAAGAGUAAAGAAUAGCAGUUUAUAAUUAACAAGCAUGUUGUAGAAUUAAUGCCCAGAGAUCCUUCCUCGACUCCCUGCGAGAAAGCAAUCCCGGGGCCACAUAUCCAUCACAUAUCAAGUAUCCAUUUCUAGUUGUAUAAGAUCAGGAUACAAGUCUGAACAUCCAUUACCGUGGACACGGUAUUCGAAUAUAUGUCUUCCCUGCAGGGGUGCACCACGUUACCCAACACACUCGAUCACUCUGGCCGGACACACUUUCCUGGGUCAUGCCCGGCCUCGGAAGAUCAACACGUCGCAGCCCUACCUAGGCUCAGCAGAGAGGUCCCCGCCGGUCUACAUCCUAAGCGCCCCGGGGUCUUGGGCCCAUCGCCCGUUGCACUCUGGGUAGUUGCGCGCAGGGUGGAUACCAGCACCGCCUCGGAUGGCCAGCACGAUCCGACCAUGCCGCCAUGCUGAACUGGACGUCUGACAAAGCUUCGGCUGAUACUGCGACGUCGAGGCCCAUAUCUAUUCUCGCGUGGUGGUUAGUGCGUAAAGGCCAAAGGCCAAUUCAGGACAAAUACCCAAACCUGUUAGUGCAUUAACAAUUAAAGUAGUGACGGCUGUCGGGACAAGCCCGGAGCUAUCACCCCUCCUGGGUGAUACCGCUAAACAGCCAGCCGCCACCGUCACAUCGCACGGGUGCUCUCCGGGCCCGCCCGGCUUUCACAACAGUCUCAGGUAAAGUCAAGGUAACCGUGUGUACAAACAUCAAGGGGAAAACCCGAGGAAUCACCCCCGAAGGAUUCCACUCGAUGUGGUCAUCAAGGUGAACGUAAGAGGAUCCACCCUCGAGGUUCACACUUGAUGUGUUGCACGACAGAGCCGUAUCGGGAAUGGUGAAAGAGGAAAUCACCCUCAUUGACCACGACCGAAUAGCUACACUACAGAGAUCUCAUCAGGAGUGAUGUAAGAGGUUCCACCCUCGGCACUCGAUGGUAACUCUGUAGAGUCGAGCAACAAAAGGGGCGUGAUGUGAUGUGAGGUGUCGGGCUCUGGUCAUCGAUCACGUUGAUCGAGUCGUCGAUGAUGAAGCAGGGGCAACAAGGACAAGGUGGAGGUCACUGAUGGAUCUCUAACCAACCUAUACUAAGCAGUUUAGGAUAAGCAAGUAGGUAACAAUAGCAGGUACAAAAGCAGGCUAUGCAUCAGAAUAUGAGCAAUCAAUUACAGUAGCAAAAUCAAAUGCAAGCAUGAGAGAAUGGAAUGGGCGAUAUCGGGAUGAUCAAAUGGGGGGGGGCUUGCCUGAAAGCUCCGCUGAAAGGGAAGAAGGGGUCGUCGUCGACGUAGUCGGUCACAAUGGCAUCAGCAACGGUCUCGGGGUCUACCAGAGAGAAGAGGGGGGAAACAGUAAAUAUAUAGCAAGCAAGAGCAUAACAGGACAACAGACAGAGCUAGACGUGUUCUAACGCGGUGCUACACGAUACCGGCGAAGGGGGAUAACAUCCGGGAAUGCUUUCCCGAAGUUUGGCAUUUUUAGACAAACAAAACAGAAGGGGAUGGUUGCAUGUUCGCUAUGCUAGGAACGUGUGGCGGACGAACGAAGAGCGUAUUUGGAUCCGUCUCGUCGUUCUGAGCAACUUUCAUGUAUAAUACUUUUUCAUCCGAGUUACCGAUUAUUUUCUAUGAAUUUCUAAAGUUUUAGCAAUAUUCAGAAAUCAUUAUUAAUUCAAAAAUUAAAUAGUGAGAUACUUUUUAUACACAGUUUUAGCUAGCCUAUUAGAAUGACAGGUGGGGUCCAGUGGCUGAGUCAGCAUACACGGUCAGCAACUCAACAGUCAAAGGUUGACCUGGUCAAAGUGUGAAUAGUGGUUGUGGGGCCUACUUGUCAAUGACUUAUGGGUUAAUAAAUUAUUUAAACCAGUUUAAUUAGUGGUGGAGGGGUCCCACAUGUCAUAGCCCGUAACUAAACUAUUCUAGUUGAUUAGAUAAAUUAGCUGUGGGGCUCCACAUGUCAUAGGAGGUUAGUUAGUCUGAUUAGUGCUAAAUAAACUAGUUGGGCCUGCCAUAUGUGCAAUAGCACAAGCCAUUCUCACGGCUGUGGACCCAAACGCACACAUAACACAUGACCUUGUUUGGACGGGGCAAGCUCUCUAGUGCAGUUCAGUUUUGUCAGUUAUUUCUUCAGCAAACAACUUGGCAGCUACACACGCCGGACUGCCGGAGCAACCAACAAACAGCAGCGGCAGCAGCAGCUAGGCACGGCGCGACACUAGCAGCAGAAGCAGUAUAGAGUAGCAGCGGCAGCAACAGAGCAGCGGCAGAGGUUGGCGAGCAGCAUCAACAAAGCAAGCAGCAGCGACAGCACAAGCAGCAAGCAGCGGCAGUCGCAUGAGCAGCAGCAGCAGCACAGGGAAAUAGUAGCGGCAGAGCAGCAACCGCGGCAAGCAGUAGCGGCCGCAGCAGAAGCAGCAGACGCGGCGAGGAGCUGGCGAGGGCACGCGAGGAAGGCAGCAGGGGAGUGGUUGGGGCGAGGCGGGCGCGCACACUGACGACGCGGGAGCGAGGCUCGCGAUGCAGCGACGGUGGUGCUCAGAAUCGGCGCUCGGGCGCCCAUUUGACGCGUGGUCGGUGUGGAUCGGACGCGGGCAGCGCCGGGCGUCGACCGGUGCUAGUGGCAGCAGCAGGGGAGGUCGGAGACGGGCUCGGCGUCGACAACGACGGCGGCCGGAGCGGGAGCUAGACGAGCCCGUCGCUAUUGCGGGAGAGCGAGCGAGCCAGUGGGCUCGUUGGACUCGUAAGAGACCCAGGAGCACGGUGCACGGCUUGAGCGCGAGCGGUGCGUGCGGUGGCUACGAUGGCGAUGCUAGCGACGGCGAGGAGCUCGGCAUUGAUGGUGUCGGCGGCUACGUGCAGGGAAACAGAGGGGGAACAGAGGGGUUAUGACCGCACGCUCACCGUGGAGCUCAAGAAAGGCUCGUCGAGGUCACGGAGCAGCAGAGGGCGCCAGAAUCGACGGUGGCGCCGCGGUGGCCGGAGGUGGAAGAAGAUCUUCCGCUCGACUCGGCGCGUUCCGGAUCGAUUCGUGGACGUAGACGAAGUAGUGGACGGCGACGGAGAAGAUGGACGAGGUCUCAGGCACCGGGGAGCUCGGUGGGCACGAGGACGAGGUCGGCCAUGGCGGUGGCGGCGCGGGCUUCUUCCAGAUCGACGAGAGGGUGAGAGGGAGGGGCGAAGUGGGAAGCAGGGGCGUUAGGGUUUUGGGGGAGGGCUUCGAGUAGAUAUAGGAGGGGCGCGGUGGAUGGGCGCCACGGCAUCGCCCUCGGCCGUGGCGGUCAUCGCCGGCAUCCAAGCCUCCCUGUGAACAGGGAGGGGUGCAGGGGGACAGGUUGGGCCGGCCUUUAGUUAGGUGGGCUAAUGAGCCCAUUAGCUUAGGUCCUCCUCCUCCUUUUCAUUUCUUUCAUAAUUUUCUUUUAUAGUUUCUGUUUUAAUUUCUUUUCCAAUAGCAAAUGACCUUUAAGAAAAAUGAGACUUGGCCCACAAUUCGAGAUGCAACUAUUUACAAUGCCACAAAAUGUUUGGACUUUAUUUAAAGUAGUUUGCUAUUCCAGAAAUUAUAAAAGGCAUUUAUAAUAUUGUUUAAGCCACUGUUCUAACUACUUUUGAAAACUUAAACAUUUUAUGAAACUUUGGUUUCUUCACUAAUAAUACUUAUGAUUUAUUUGCCACAGUUUGCACAUUUUGGUUUUGACAUUUGAAAACUUUUAUUUUUGACUUUGUUUUAAAUUUGAAUUUGAGCCGUUUUCGGAUCAACGAGUGCCUAACAACAGUAAUCGUGGUGAUGUGGCUUCAUUAGCAGCGGAUUACUGUAGCUUAAUUAUCCGGGUGUCACAUUUGGACAUGUCGUUCGAAGACGAGACUGACUCUUCGGUCGCCGAAGACGACGGCGAGGAGGAGGAAGAAGGCAGCUCUCCCCCUGAGGGGGGAAGGAGAAAAGGGGGGCCUCCCUAAAUCUGGAGGCGAAGGCGCCCAAGAGGGGGAAGGGCUCCCUUGCGGAUAACUCAACAUGGGAUGUCGAUAGCAGUCCGGAGCGAAUGCCCCGGACCAAGCCUCGGGCCGCCUCGUAAGUACCAAAAACCCUAUGCACCUCCAAAUACCUGGCCUUUCCAGUUUAAUACGUUUAAAUUAUGCCAUUACAGUCUGGCCCGCGAUGGCUCCCUGCGAUCCUUGACAGAGGGUUCGCUAAACUCAAAGGAGAUGGCUAGCAUGUCUCCACCGCCCGCUCACUCUGUCUCGCCCAAGGGUGAUGACGAGGUGGUGUCCCAAUGGACCUUCCCAGACCGGGGGGAGGUUUCGGAGAUCGUCAGGGUGGCGCCCCAGGAUGACUCCUCGGCCGCCGAACACAUGGGGGAAAGAGCCCCCAUGGGGACUGGUGAUGGGAGCCAAGUUUCAUUCGGCCCUCAGCCGGAUACCAUUCCGGAGACCUACGUGGCUCCGGAGUCCAGCGAACGGCCUUCCCCGAAAGGAGGGGGUGUGCCUGUUCCGCUGGUGACCUCUGUCCAACCAGAGGCACCGGAUAAUCUGCUGGAAGCGCUGCGAGGCGCCUCCAUUGUGGAUGAACACCGUGUCCUCAUGGGUACGGUGAUCGAAAAGGUUCAGUCCGCCAAAAGCGGACUGACCGAGGCUUGCGCUAGCCUUUUAACAGGCUUUGAGGUAAUAAUCGUAGAGAGAAUAUCACAGUGUGGACAGUAGCCCCUGAUGCUCUGUUCGGUGUUCGGAAAGAAAAAGCCAAACAGAGGAUCAAAACAAUUUUUGCAGGAGUCUAGCAUAAGAUGUCUAUGUGAAUAAGCAGGCGUCGCUGCUGGCUGCUGCCGCUCAUACUGCGGAGGUCUCCGGCCUGAAGCAGAGCCCGGAGCGGGCCAACGAAGAGCUCGGCCUCAUAAAGAAGCAGCUGGAGGACAGCCCAGGUAUGCAGUAACCUGCGCGUAUAUUUUAGGAAGGAUGAAUGUUUCAUGCUGACUGAAGCGUCCUCAAGUUUGUUAGGGGCCACGACCGAGGUGGCGGCCCUCAAGAAGGCGUUAGCCGAGGUCGAGGACAAAGCGGCCAAUGAGCGCGCCGCGCGCGAGAAGCACGAGGCCCGAGUCGGCGAGGUCCAGCAAGAGCUCUAGGACGCCGUCAAGAAGUACGAGUCCUUGGAGCGUGAUUCUAAGACGCAAGCGUCCGAACUUGCGAAUGCCCGCCGGAGCGCACAAGAGGCUCGAGCCGAGGCCCAGAGCGCCCUUCAGGAAAUCCAAGCGGCCAAGAAGAUCGCGGCGGGUAAGGCUUUCAUUAUGCAAAGCAAAUCUGUGAAGGAAGCGUUCCUUUUACUUACCCGAAUUUGGAGCUCUCUGUUGGAAAUAUGCCCUAGAGGCAAUAAUAAAAUGGUUAUUAUUGUAUUUCCUUGUUCAUGAUAAUUGUCUAUUGUUCAUGCUAUAAUUGUAUUAACUGGAAACCGUAAUACAUGUGUGAAUACAUAGACCACAACAUGUCCCUAGUAAGCCUCUAGUUGACUAGCUCGUUGCUCAAUAGAUGGUUAUGGUUUCCUGACCAUGGACAUUGGAUGUCAUUGAUGACGGGAUCACAUCAUUAGGAGAAUGAUGUGAUGGACAAGACCCAAUCCUAAGCAUAGCACAAGAUCGUGUAGUUCGUUUGCUAAGAGCUUUUCUAAUGUCAAGUAUCGUUUCCUUAGACCAUGAGAUUGUGCAACUCCCGGAUACCGUAGGAAUGCUUUGGGUGUACCAAACGUCACAACGUAACUGGGUGGCUAUAAAGGUACACUACAUGUAUCUCCGAAAGUGUCUGUUGGGUUGGUACGAAUCGAGACUGGGAUUUGUCACUCCGCAUGACGGAGAGGUAUCUCUGGGCCCAAUCAAUAAUGCAUCAUCAUAAUGAGCUCAAUGUGACUAAGGAGUUAGCCACGGGAUCAUGCAUUACGGAACGAGUAAAGAGACUUGCCGGUAACAAGAUUGAACGAGGUAUUGGGAUACCGACGAUCGAAUCUCGGGCAAGCAACAUGCCGAUAGACAAAGGGAAUUGUAUACGGGAUUGAUUGAAUCCCCGACAUCGUGGUUCAUCCGAUGAGAUCAUCGUGGAACAUGUGGGAGCCAAUAUGGGUAUCCAGAUCCCGCUAUUGGUUAUUGGCCGGAGAGGUGUCUCGGUCAUGUCUGCAUGGUUCCCAACCCAUAGGGUCUACACACUUAAGGUUCAGUGACGCUAGAGUUGUUAUGGGAAAUAGUAUGUGGUUACCGAAGGUUGUUCAGAGUCUCGGAUGAGAUCCCGGACAUCACGAGGAGUUCCGGAAUGGUCCGGCGGUGAAGAUCGAUAUAUUGGACGAAGGGUAUUGGAGUCCGGAAGUGUUCCGGGGGUACCAGGCUAUGGCCAGCAUGACCGAAAGGUGUUUCGGGAGCCCCGGCAAGUGUUGGAGGGCCUCAUGGGCCAAAGGGGAAGGGGCAAACCAGCCCACUAAGGGGUGGUGCGCCCCCCACACCCUUUCCCACGUUACUUGGGGAGGUGGGGCGCCUCCACCUGGCAUGGGAGGCAAGCCUCCACCUGCUAGGCUUGGGGGCAAGUCUCCCUAGGAUUUUCCCUAGGGAGAUCCAAUCUGCUUGGCCGCCGCCCCUACGGGAAACCCUAGGGCGCCUCCCCCUCUCCCCUUGCCCCUAUAUAUAGUGGAGGGGUGGGAGGGCAGCCCCACCUCUUCCCUGGCGCAGCCCUCCCUCCUCAUACACCUCCUCCUCCUCCUCCGUAGUGCUUAGCGAAGCUCUGCCGGAGAACCAUGAGCUCCAUUGCCACCACGCCGUCGUGUUGCUGGAGUUCUCCCUCAACUUCUCCUCUCCCCUUGCUGGAUCAAGAAGGAGGAGACGUCCCCGGGCUGUACGUGUGUUGAAUGCGGAGGCGCCGUCCGUUCAGCGCUAGAUCGGAUCUUCCGCGAUUUGAAUCGCUACGAGUACGACUCCAUCAACCGCGUUCUUGUAACGCUUCCGCUUAGCGAUCUUCAAGGGUAUGAAGAUGCACUCCCUCUCUCUCGUUGCUAGCAUCUCCUAGAUUGAUCUUGGUGACACGUAGGAAAAUUUUGAAUUAUUGCUACGUUACCCAUCACUCUCCAGGUGCGUUUUCGGAUUUUCCGCGGAGCGUAUCAGAUGCUGCCGAGUUCUAUCGAGCCGGAGAAGGGAGUUCUAUGGAGAAGCUGUUCUGGUCUCAAUAUCUUGGACCAGAACAUCCGGUGUCCUUCAGCGACCAGCUGAAACAGCUGGUCGAGCUGCACAAGGCGGCCGAGCUAGCCAUGAAGGAGCUGAUAGUCCGAUUGUGGCCUGCCGCGCCGAUACCCACCAGCUACUUCAGACUUGUGAAGCGGCUUGUUGAUGCCUGCCCACGGCUGGAGGUUAUAAAGCGGUUGGUCUGUAUCGAAGGUGCACGGAUGGUCUUUGCCCGCGUUAAGACGCACUGGGCGAAGAUGGAUGCCAAGAAGCUAAUGACCGAGGGGCCGCCUGAGGGCAAGGAGCACCGCCGACCCGAGUUAUAUUUUGAUGGUGUCCUGGAGGGAUCCCGCCUUGUGGCGGAGCAAUGUACGAAGGAUGUUAUAUUCCCAUGAAAACAUUCGUAUUAUCCUGUCGUGUAAUAUGGAAAAAUGAUGUUAUGUAAUAUAAUGCUUGUGAUUUUAAAAUUUUACCUCCUGUGCGGCCGUUUGUGAAAUCUGAGGGUUGGCCAGUCAUCGGCUUGUGCCCCCACGUAGAUAGUACGGGGGUGUUCGGGAUAAAUCUAAACACUCUUUACUCCAUAUUCUGGUCCUUAAAGGAGGUGUUUAGCGCAACGAACAAGGCAAUCAGACUAUACGGCCUUUAUCGCACUCAUUUAGCCAUAGGAGUUUGACAAUGAAAAUUUUGGCGAAGCCCCUGGUAUUCGGAAGGCCGAACUUGGGGCAUUACACGCACCUGACCGGAUAAGAAACCGAUUCCUCGCAUAAAGCGGAAAAAAUCUCUAAGGAUUUGAAACCUCUCGAACAGCUGACCAGCUCGCGCUGCAUCAUGACAGUCAGUUUUCGGCUUUCUCUACUGAGGCGCUCGUCCGGAAGAACAGGGACACAAUCGCAGUAGUUCUCCCUUUACUACCCUAGCCGAUAUAGCGGAACAUAAGGUAGUAAGCACAGGAGCCGGGCAACCCAACUAUUGACCAAAGACAUUAUUCGGAGGCGAUGCAUAUAAUGCUAUAAGUUCGGGGUGCCGAACUGCACUAAAAAAGGUGUUCGGGCUUUAUUGCCGUACUGCGGGGCGCGAAAGCCCCUGGUGAAGUAAAAUGUACGAGAGUGUACGUAUGCAAUGAGUAAUAGAUACAAAGGUAAGGAAUGAGGGAAAAUAAGUAAUAAGCUGACGCUACCAUUUAUUUACCAUUUGUAAUGUGAUUAAUACGUCGAGGCUUACUUGUACAAGUAAUGCGAUAAGCAAAUAAGGCUAUUUAACAUGCCAUGACCAAGAGCGAGCUGCGUGCGGGUAUGUAAAACAGGUAUAGCAAUCAUUAGCAGAGACCACCUGGGGAUUCCCUUGUACGUCAAAGCUCCUUGCCUCCUUGGUAUGUCCGACAAACGGGUUGUCAGAAGAAACCUCGAAAAGAGAAAAACCCGAAAUGAAAAGGAAAAGUGAAGGUUUGCGAAUCCGGUGUACAAGGGUCGGUCGAGCCGCACUGUGGAUCGUGAGCUAGGUAUGCCUCCGUCGAUACCCAUGGGAUUUUGAGUGCGUAGUUAUGUACGCGUGGUACGAAUAGAACACAAAGUAGUUAUCAUGAGCUAGGUCUAUGCGUAGAUUCUAUGCACGAGUAGAACACAAAGUAGUUGUGGGCGAUGAUUUGUUCAAUUUGCUUACCGUUACUAGUCUUAUCUUGAUUCGGCGGCAUUGUGGGAUGAAGCAGCCCGGACCGACCUUACACGUACACCUACGUGAGACAGGUUCCACCGACUGACAUGCACUUGCACUUGAUGCAUAAGGUGGCUAGCGGGUGUCUGUCUCUCCCACUUUAGUCGGAUUGGAUUCGAUGAAGAGGGUCCUUAUGAAGGGUAAAUAGCAAUUGGCAUAUCACCGUUGUGGCUUUUGUGUAGGUAAGAAACGUUCUUGCUAGAAACCCAUAGCAGCCACGUAAAACAUGCAACAACAAUUAGAGAACGUCUAACUUGUUUUUGCAGGGUAUGCUAUGUGAUGUGAUAUGGCCAAAAGGAUGUGAUGAAUUAUAUAUAUGUGAUGUAUGAGAUUGAUCAUGUUCUUGUAAUAGGAAUCACGACUUGCAUGUCGAUGAGUAUGACAAUCGGCAGGAGAUAUAGGAGUUGUCUUAAUUUAUUGUAUGACCUGCGUGUCAAUCAAAAACGCCAUGUAAUUACUUUACUUUAUUGCUAACCGUUAGCCAUAGUAGUAGAAGUAAUAGUUGGCGAGAAAACUUCAUGAAGACACGAUGAUGGAGAUCAUGGUGUCAUGCCGGUGACGAAGGUGAUCAUGCCGCGCCUCGAAGAUGGAGAUCAAAGGCGCAAGAUGAUAUUGGCCAUAUCAUGUCACUUUAUGAUUUACAUGUGAUGUUUGUCAUGUUUACGUCUUAUUUGCUUAGAAAGACGGUAGCAUAAAUAAGAUGAUCCCUCACUAAAAUUUCAAGAGACGUGUUCCCCCUAACUGUGCACCGUUGCGAAGGUUCAUUGUUUCGAAGCACCACGUGAUGAUCGGGUGUGAUAGAUUCUAACGUUCGCAUACAAUGGGUGUAAGCCAGAUUUACACAUGCGAAACACUUAGGUUGACUUGACGAGCCUAGCAUGUACAGACAUGGCCUCGGAACACAAGAGACCGAAAGGUCAAACAUGAGUCGUAUAGUAGAUACGAUCAACAUGGAAAUGUUAACCGUUGAUGACUAGUCCGUCUCACGUGAUGAUCGGACACGGUCUAGUCGAUUCGGAUAAUGUAUCACUUAGAUGACUAGAGGGAUGUCUAUCUAAGUGGGAGUUCAUUAAAUAAUUAGAUGAACUUAAUUAUCAUGAACAUAGUCAAAAGGUCUUUGCAAAUUAUGUCGUAGCUUACGCUUUAGUUCUACUGUUUAAGAUAUGUUCCUAGAGAAAAAUUUAGUUGAAAGUUGAUAGUAGCAAUUAUGCGAACUGGGUCCGUAAACUGAGGAUUGUCCUCAUUGCUGCACAGAAGGCUUAUGUCCUUAAUGCACCGAUCGGUGUGCUGAACCUCGAGCGUCCUUUGUGGAUGUUGCGAACAUCUGACAUACACGUUUUGAUGACUACGUGAUAGUUCAGUGCGUAAUGUUGAACGGUUUAGAAUUGAGGCACCGAAGACAUUUUGAAAUGUCGCGAAACAUGUUAGAUGUUCCAAGAGCUAAAAUUGGGAUUUUAGGCUCGUGCCCACGUCAAGAGGUAUGAGACCUCUGACAAGUUUCUUAAGCCUGCAAACUAAGGGAGAAAAGCUCAACCGUUGAGCAUGUGCUCAGAUUGUCUGAGUACUACAAUCGCUUGAAUCGAGUGGGAGUUAAUCUUCCAGAUGAGACAGUGAUGGUUCUCCAAAGUCACUGCCACCAAGCUAUUAGAGCUUCGUGAUGAACUAUAACAUAUCAGGGAUAGACAUGAUGAUCCUUGAGCAACUCGCGAUGUUUGACACCGCGAAAGUAGAAAUCAAGUAGGAGCAUCAAUUGUUGAUGGUUAGUAAAACCACUAGUUUCAAGAAGGGCAAGGGAAAGAAGGGAUACUUCAUGAAACGGCAAAUCAGUUGCUGCUCUAGUGAAGAAACCCAAGGUUGAACCCAAACCCGAGACUAAGUGCUUCUGUAAUGAGGGGAACGGUCGCUGAAGCAGAACUACCCUAGAUACUUGGUAGAUGAGAAGGCAGGCAAGGUCGACAGAAGUAUAUUGGAUAUACAUUAUAUUAAUGUGUACUUUACUAGUAGUCCUAGUAGCACCAGGGUAUUAGAUACCGGUUCGGUUGCUAAGUGUUGGUAACUCGAAAUAAAAGGCUACGGAAUAAACGGAGACUAGCUAAAGGUGAGAUGACGAUAUGUGUUGGAAGUGUUUCCAAGGUUGAUGUGAUCAAGCAUCGCAUGCUCCCUCUACCAUCGAGAUUGGUGUUAAACCUAAAUAAUUGUUAUUUGGUGUUUGCGUUGAGCAUAGACAUGAUUGGAUUAUGUUUAUCGCAGUACGGUUAUUCAUUUAAGGAGAAUAAUGGUUACUCUGUCUAUUUGAAUAAUACCUUCAAUGGUCUUUCACUUAAAAUGAAUGGUUUAUUGAAUCUCGAUCGUAGUGAUACACAUGUUCAUGCCAAAAGAUAUAAGAUAGUACCACAUACUUGUGGCACUGCCACUUGAGUCAUAUUGGUAUAAAACGCAUGAAGAAGCUCCAUGUUGAUGGAUCUUUGGACUCACUCGUUUUUGAAAAGAUUGAGAUAUGCGAACCAUGUCUAUUAGUAUAUAUGCAUGAAGAAAGUCCAUACAGAUGGAUCGUUUGGACUCACUUGAUUUUGAAUCACUUGAGACAUGCAAAUCAUACCACAUGGGCAAGAUGACUGAAAGGCCUCGUUUUUCAGUAAGAUGAAACAAGAGAGCAACUUGUUGGAAGUAAUACAUUUGAUGUGUGCAGUCCAAUGAGUGCUGAGGCACGCAGUGGAUAUCGUUAUGUUCUUACUUCAUAGAUGAUUUGAGUAGAUGCUAAGAAUAUUUACUUGAUGAAACACAAGUUUGAAUUAUUGAAAGGUUCAGGUAAUUUCAGAGUGAAGUUGAAGAUCGUCGUGACAAGAGGAUAAAAUGUCUAUGAUAUGAUCAUAGAGAUAUUUGAGUUACGAGUUUGGCACACAAUUAAGACAUUGUGGAAAUUGUUUCACAACUAAUACCGCCUAAAACACCAUAGUGUGAUGGUGUGUCUGAAAUCAUAACUGCACCCUAUUGGAUAUGGUGCAUACCAUGAUGUCUCUUAUCGAAUUACCACUAUCGUUUAUGGGUUAGGCAUUAGAGACAACUACAUUCACUUUAAAGAGGGCACCACAUAAUUCCGUUGAGACGACACCGUAUGAACUAUGGUUUAGAUAAACCUAAGCUGUUGUUUCUUAAAAGUUUGGGGUUGCGACGCUUAUGUGAAAAAGUUUCAGGCUGAUAAGCUCGAACCCAAAACGGAUAAAUGCAUCUUCAUAGAAUACCCAAAAUAGUUGGGUAUACCUCCUAUUUCAGAUCUGGAAGCAAAAGUGAUUGUUUGUAGAAACGGGUCCUUUCUCGAGGAAAAGUUUCUCUUGAAAGAAUUGAGUGGGAGGAUGGUGGAGACUUGAUGAGGUUAUUGAACCGUCACUUCAACUAGUGUGUAGGAGGGCACAAGAAGUUGUUCCUGUGGCACCUACACCAAUUGAAGUGGAAGCUUAUGAUAGUGAUCAUGAAACUUCGGAUCAAGUCACUACCAAACCUCGUAGGACGACAAGGAUGUGUACUACUUCAGAGUGGUACGUAAUCAUGUCUUGGAAGUCAUGUUGCUAGACAACAAUGAACCUACGAGCUAUGGAGAAGCGAUGGUGGGCCCGGAUUCCGACGAAUGGCUUGAGGCCAUAAAACCGAGAGGAUCCAUGUACGAAAACAAAGUAUAGACUUUGGAAGAACUACUUGAUGGUCGUAAGGCUGUUGGGUGCGGAUGGAUUUUAAAAGGAAGACAGACAAUGAUGGUAAGUGUCACCAUUAAGAAAGCUCGACUUGUCGUUAAGAUGUUUUCCGGCAAGUUCAAGGAGUUGACUACGAUGAGAUUUUCUCACUCGUAGCGAUGCUAAGAGUCUGUUGGAAUUAUAUUAGCAGUUACUGCAUUAUUUAUGAAAUCUUGCAGAUAGGAUGUCAAAAAAAACAUUGUUUCCUCGACGAUUUUCUUGAGGAAAGGUUGUAUGUGAUACAACCAGAAGGUUUUGUUAAUCCUGAAAGAUGCUAACAAGUAUGCAAAGCUCCAGCAAUCCUUCUAAGGACUGGAGUAAGCAUCUCGGAGUUGGAAUGUACGCUUUGAUGAGAUGAUCAAAGAUUUUGGGUUUAUACAAAGUUUAUGAGAAACUUGUAUUUCCAAAGAAGUGAGUGGGAGCACUAUAGAAUUUUUGAUGAGUAUAUGUUGUUAACAUAUUGUUGAUCAGAAAUGAUGUAGAAUUUCUGGAAAGCAUAAAGGGUUAUUUGAAAAGUGUUUUUCAAUGGAAAACCUGGAUUAAGCUACUUGAACAUUGAGCAUCAAGAUCUAUAAGGAUAGAUCAAAAACGCUUAAUAGUACUUUCAAAUGAAUACAUACCGUGAUAAGAUUUUGAAGGAGUUCAAAAUAGAUCAGCAAAGAAGGAGUUCUUGGCUGUGUUGCAAGGUGUGAGUAUUGAGUAAGACUCAAGACCUGACCACGACAGAAGAGAGAGAAAGGACGAAGGUCGUCCCCUAUGCUUUAGACGUAGGCUCUACAGUAUGCUAUGUUGUGUACCGCACCUGAAGUGUGCCUUGCCAUGAGUUAGUCAAGGGGUACAAUAGUGAUCCAGGAAUGGAUCACAUGACAGCGGUCGAACUUAUCCUUAGUAACUAGUGGACUAAGGAAUUUUCUCGAUUAUGGAGGUGGUAAAAGAGUUCGUCGUAAAGGGUUACGUCGAUGCAAACUUUGACACUAAUCCGGAUGAAUCUGAGUAGUAAACCGGAUUCGUAUAGUAGAGCAGUUAUUUGGAAUAGCUCCAAGUAGCGCAUGGUAGGUACAUCUACAAGAUGACAUAGAGAUUUGUAAAGCACACACGGAUCUGAAAGGUUCAGACCCGUUGACUAGUAACCUCUCUCACAAGCGUGAUAUGAUAAAACACCAAUGGGUGUUAGAUUCAUUACAAUCACAUAGUGAUGUGAACUAGAUUAUUGACUCUAGUGCAAGUGGGAGACUAUUGGAAAUAUGCCCUAGAGGCAAUAAUAAAAUGGUUAUUAUUGUAUUUCCUUGUUCAUGAUAAUUGUCUAUUGUUCAUGCUAUAAUUGUAUUAACUCGAAACCGUAAUACAUGUGUGAAUACAUAGACCACAACAUGUCCCUAGUAAGCCUCUAGUUGACUAGCUCGUUGAUCAAUAGAUGGUUAUGGUUUCCUGACCAUGGACAUUGGAUGUCAUUGAUGACGGGAUCACAUCAUUAGGAGAAUGAUGUGAUGGACAAGACCCAAUCCUAAGCAUAGCACAAGAUCGUGUAGUUCGUUUGCUAAGAGCUUUUCUAAUGUCAAGUAUCGUUUCCUUAGACCAUGAGAUUAUGCAACUCCCGGAUACCGUAGGAAUGCUUUGGGUGUACCAAACGUCACAACGUAACUGGGUGGCUAUAAAGGUACACUACAGGUAUCUCCGAAAGUGUAUGUUGGGUUGGUACGAAUCGAGAUUGGGAUUUGUCACUCCGUAUGACGGAGAGGUAUCUCUGGGCCCACUCGGUAAUGCAUCAUCAUAAUGAGCUCAAUGUGACUAAGGAGUUAGCCACGGGAUCAUGCAUUACGGAACGAGUAAAGAGACUUGCCGUUAACAAGAUUGAACGAGGUAUUGGGAUACCGACGAUCGAAUCUCGGGCAAGCAACAUGCCGAUAGACAAAGGGAAUUGUAUACGGGAUUGAUUGAAUCCCCGACAUCGUGGUUCAUCCGAUGAGAUCAUCGUGGAACAUGUGGGAGCCAAUAUGGGUAUCCAGAUCCCGCUAUUGGUUAUUGGCCGGAGAGGUGUCUCGGUCAUGUCUGCAUGGUUCCCGAACCCGUAGGGUCUACACACUUAAGGUUCGGUGACGCUAGAGUUGUUAUGGGAAAUAGUAUGUGGUUACCGAAGGUUGUUCAGAGUCCCGGAUGAGAUCCCGGACAUCACGAGGAGUUCCGGAAUGGUCCGGCGGUGAAGAUCGAUAUAUUGGACGAAGGGUAUUGGAGUCCGGAAGUGUUCCGGGGGUACCAGGCUAUGGCCAGCAUGACCGAAAGGUGUUUCGGGAGCCCCGGCAAGUGUUGGAGGGCCUCAUGGGCCAAAGGGGAAGGGGCAAACCAGCCCACUAAGGGGUGGUGCGCCCCCCACACCCUUUCCCACGUUACUUGGGGAGGUGGGGCGCCUCCACCUGGCUUGGGAGGCAAGCCUCCACCUGCUUGGCUUGGGGGGCAAGUCUCCCUAGGAUUUCCCUAGGGAGAUCCAAUCUGCUUGGCCGCCGCCCCUAGGGGAAACCCUAGGGCGCCUCCCCCUCUCCCCUUGCCCCUAUAUAUAGUGGAGGGGUGGGAGGGCAGCCCCACCUCUUCCCUGGCGCAGCCCUCCCUCCUCAUACACCUCCUCCUCCUCCUCCUCCGUAGUGCUUAGCGAAGCUCUGCCGGAGAACCAUGAGCUCCAUUGCCACCACGCCGUCGUGUUGCUGGAGUUCUCCCUCAACUUCUCCUCUCCCCUUGCUGGAUCAAGAAGGAGGAGACGUCCCCGGGCUGUACGUGUGUUGAACGCGGAGGCGCUGUCCGUUCGGCGCUAGAUCGGAUCUUCUGCGAUUUGAAUCGCUGUGAGUACGACUCCAUCAACCGCGUUCUUGUAACGCUUCCGCUUAGCGAUCUUCAAGGGUAUGAAGAUGCACUCCCUCUCUCUCGUUGCUAGCAUCUCCUAGAUUGAUCUUGGUGACACGUUUUGAAUUACCGCUACGUUACCCAUCACUCUCCAGGUGCGUUUACGGAUUUGCCGCGCAGCGUAUCAGAUGCUGCCGAGUUCUAUCGAGCCGGAGAAGGGAGUUCUAUGGAGAAGCUGUUCUGGUCUCAAUAUCUUGGACCAGAACAUCCGGUGUCCUUCAGCGACUAGCUGAAACAGUUGGUCGAGCUGCACAAGGCGGCCGAGCUAGCCAUGAAGGAGCUGAUAGUCCGAUUGUGGCCUGCCGCGCUGAUACCCAGCAGCUACUUCGGACUUGUGAAGCGGCUUGUUGAUGCCUGCCCACGGCUGGAGGUUAUAAAGCGGUUGGUCUGUAUCGAAGGUGCACGGAUGGUCUUUGCCCGCGUUAAGACGCACUGGGCGAAGAUGGAUGCCAAGAAGCUAAUGACCGAGGGGCCGCCUGAGGGCAAGGAGCACCGCCGACCCGAGUUAUAUUUUGAUGGUGUCCUAGAGGGAUCCCGCCUUGUGGCGGAGCAAUGUACGAAGGAUGUUAUAUUCCCAUGAAAACAUUCGUAUUAUCCUGUCCUGUAAUAUGGAAAAAUGAUGUUAUGUAAUAUAAUGCUUGUGAUUUUAAAAUUUUACCUCCUGUGCGGCCGUUUGUGAAAUCUGAGGGUUGGCCAGUCAUCGGCUUGUGCCCCCACGUAGAUAGUACGGGGGUGUUCGGGAUAAAUCUAAACACUCUUUACUCCAUAUUCUGGUCCUUAAAGGAGGUGUUUAGCGCAACGAACAAGGCAAUCAGACUAUACGGCGUUUAUCGCCCUCACUUAGCCAUAGGAGUUUGACAAUGAAAAUUUUGGCAAAGCCCCUGGUAUUCGGAAGGCCGAACUUGGGGCGUUACACGCACCUGACCGGAUAAGAAACCGAUUCCUCGCAUAAAGCGGAAAAAAUCUCUAAGGAUUUGAAACCUCUCGAACAGCUGACCAGCUCGCGCUGCAUCAUGACAGUCAGUUUUCGGCUUUCUCUACUGAGGCGCUCGUCCGGAAGAACAGGGACACAAUCGCAGUAGUUCUCCCUUUACUACCCUAGCCGAUAUAGCGGAACAUAAGGUAGUAAGCACAGGAGCCGGGCAACCCAACUAUUGACCAAAGACAUUAUUCGGAGGCGAUGCAUAUAAUGCUAUAAGUUCGGGGUGCCGAACUGCACUGAAAAAGGUGUUCGGGCUUUAUUGCCGUACUGCGGGGCGCGAAAGCCCUUGGUGAAGUAAAAUGUACGAGAGUGUACGUAUGCAAUGAGUAAUAGAUACAAAGGUAAGGAAUGAGGGAAAAUUAAGUAAUAAGCUGACGCUACCAUUUAUUUACCAUUUGUAAUGUGAUUAAUACGUCGAGGCUUACUUGUACAAGUAAUGCGAUAAGAAAAUAAGGCUAUUUAACAUGCCAUGACCAAGAGCGAGCUGCGUGCGGGUAUGUAAAACAGGUAUAGCAAUCAUUAACAGAGACCACCUGGGGAUUCCCUUGUACGUCAAAGCUCCUUGCCUCCUUGGUAUGUCCGACAAACGGGUUGUCAUAAGAAACCUCGAAAAGAGAAAAACCCGAAAUGAAAAGGAAAAGUGAAGGUGUGCGAAUCCGGUGUACAAGGGUCGGUCGAGCCGCACCGUGGAUCGUGAGCUAGGUAUGCCUCCGUCGAUACCCAUGGGAUUUUGAGUGCGUAGUUAUGUACGCGUGGUACGAAUGCCGCUGUUUGACCGGGACUAGGACGGAGGCCAAAUUGCUAAUUAAGCUCUUGACGUGCUGGGCUGUCUUGCUGCAGAAUAGUCCGGACUCUUUUACCGGUGUCCGGGGGCUUGGUCGCUGAACUAAAGUUCUGCUGGAAAAGGCCACGCAGUAUUUCUGCUGCUAAGGCCGUUGUGUGCUCCUCGGUAUGGAGGGAGCGUUCCGUAUUUCCAUUGAUUUUUAUGACGCCACGUGGUCCGGGCAUCUUGAGCUUGAGAUAAGCGUAGUGAGGUACCGCAUUGAAUCGAGCAAGUGCGGUUCGUCCGAGCAGUGCAUGAUAGGCGCUGCGAAAGGGGGCGAUAUCGAAGAUUAACUCCUCGCUUCGGAAGUUAUCCGGAGAUCCGAAGACAACCUCUAGUGUGAUUAAGUCCAUACAGCGGGUAUGUACGCCUGGUAUGACUCCUUUAAAGGUAGACCUUGUUGGUUUCAUCCGUGAUGGGUUAAUGCCCAUUUUGCGUACUGUGUCCUGAUAGAGCAGAUUGAGGCUGCUGCCACCGUCCAUGAGGACUCGCGUUAGGUGGAAUCCGUCGAUGAUUGGGUCUAGGACUAGUGUGGCUGAUCCGCCGUGCCGGAUACUGGUCGGAUGAUCCCGAAGAUCAAAAGUGAUCGGGCAUGAUGACCAUGGGUUCAAUUUUGGGGCGACUGGCUCUCUCGCAUAAACGUCCCUUAGUGCGCGCUUGCGCUCCCUUUUGGGGAUGUGUGUAGCGUAUAUCAUGUUCAACGUUUUUACUUGAGGGGGAAACUUCUUCUGUCCCCCUGUGCUUGGCUGCAGGGGCUCCUCGUCGUCGUCCUUGCUCUGCGGUCCCUUUUCCUUAUUCUCGGCGUUUAACUUGCCGGCUUGCUUAAAAACCCAGCAAUCUCUGUUGGUAUGAUUGGCUGGUUUGUGUGGGGUGCCAUGGAUUUGGCACGGACGGUCAAGUAUGCGGUCCAUGCUAGAUGGUCCCUGAUUGUUUCUUUGGUACAACUUUUUUCGCCGACCAGACUUGGAGCCGCUGAAUCCGGUGUUUACAGCAGUUUCAUCGGUGUUAUCGCCAUUGCUUCGGCAUUUGUGUCUGCUGCCUCGGAGCUUGCUGUUUGCUGUUUUUUGGCCUCGGAGGGGCCUGCCUCACUGGCCGUAUUUUUACUACGAGCCAGCCAGAUGUCCUCACCCGCACAAAAGCGGGUCAUGAGGGCCAUGAGGGCGGCCAUAGAUUUCGGCUUUUCUUGGCCGAGAUGGCGAGCGAGCCAUUCAUUGCGGAUGCUGUGUUUAAAGGCCGCUAGGGCUUCUGCAUCCGGACAGUCGACGAUCUGGUUCUUUUAGUUAGGAACCUAGUCCAGAAUUUCCUGGCUGACUCCCUGGGCUGUUGAGCUAUGUGACUUAAGUCAUCGGCGUCUGGCAGCCGGACAUAUGUACCUUGGAAGUUGUCGAGAAAGGCUUCUUCCAAGUCCUCCCAGCUGCCGAUGGAAUUUUUAGGCAUGCUGUUUAACCAGUGCCGAGCUGGCCCUUUGAGUUUUAGUGGGAGGUAUUUGAUAGCAUGGAGGUCAUCUCUGCGGGCCAUGUGAAUGUGGAGAAUAAAAUCCUCGAUCCAUACCGCGGGAUCGGUUGUUCCGUCGUAUGAUUCAAUAUUGACGGGUUUGAACCCUUCGGGGAAUUCAUGGUCCAUUACUUCAUCAGUGAAGCAAAGAGGGUGUGCGGCGCCUCUAUAUCGAGCCGCGUCACGACGUAACUCUGAUGGAGUCCGUCUAUGGUUAUCGGCUCGAGCGUGACUAGGUUUGUCACGUCCGAAUAGGUAGCCGUCGUCGCGUGUCAAGGUACGUCCUCGCGAUCCAUAGAUCGAUCUUGUAUGUCCUGCUCUACUGUCCAGGUCUUGACGAAGGUCAUAUGUAUAGCCCCGAGCUGUCUUAUCCCUGCCUUUUCGGUGAGGUGGGACUAUCCUUUUUUGGCUCGGGCUGCCGUUUUAUCCCGGCCGCGCGGUGGCCGAUCGACCGCAUUGCGUGAUGCUGGUGUGGUUCUGGCGCCUCAUCAUCGAACUGAGGUAGCAAUUUGCGCUUCGGGUAACUUUUGGCUGGUCGUUUAAGGUCGUAUUCUUCGGCUGCCAGGACAUCGGUCCAUCUGUCAUUGAGCAGGUCUUGAUCAGCUUGAAGGUGCUGCUGCUUCUUUUUCAGGCUCCUCGCAGUGGCUAUUAGCGGAAGCUUAAAGCGCUCAUGCUCGAGAGGUUCCUUAGGCAUGAUGAAGUCUUCAUUGCCGAGGCUCACCUCCUCCUCGGAGAGCGGAUGGUAACUACCGUCCUCCGAGUCUUCUUCCGUGGCAUGUUCGUCAGGGCGGAAUUGCCCCUCUUCCCGAUGGUCUUGUUCGGCAGUUUGUUCCUCGGGCUCCUCUGUGUCUUCGGCACCAUCCGGAGUGUUGUCAUUUCCUGUGCCGGCAUUGUUGUCUCUGCUGCGGCGUGAUUUAGAGCGGCGUCGUUGACGCCGGCGCUUUGGUUGUGUCUUAGGAGGGUCCUCCUUCACUAGGUUUUCCUUGUCAUCGCCGCUAUUAUUUUUGGGCGUAUCUACCAUGUAUACGUCGUAUGAGGAAGUGGCCAUCCAAUGUCCAGUGAAUGGCGGGUCUUGGCCUUGCUCCCCUUUGUCAUCGUCGUCCAUACCGUCGAUGUCUUCGGAGCUGUAAUCAAGCAUGUCGGUUAAGUCCUCGACAGUGGCUAUGAAGUGGGUGGCGGGUGGGAACUAAAAUUCUCGAUCGUCAGCUCCUAGUUCGAACCGGACAUAGCUCGGCUGAGAGUUCCCCGCCAAGGAUAGGCUCUUUAAUGAGUUUAGCACAUCGCCCAAAGGCGAGUGCUGGAAGAUGUCUGCGGCGCUGAAUUCGAAAAUCGAUGAACGAUCGAGUUCGGCGUCCGCGGGCUCACAUGGUUCGGAACUUAUAACCAGAGACGAGUCCGGAAUUCCGGUCACAUGGAUAUUGUGUGAGGUUAAGUCCAUCUGUGGCUCCAACGCCGGGGAAUCUGUGGCCUCCGUGGUGGGGUUGAGCCUCCCAUCCUUGGAUGUCGCAGUGUGCUCUGGAUCUAAGGCCAGAGUGGUCACAGGAGCUAUCUCCGGGGUGCGGUCUGAUGAUAGAUUUAGGUCAUGUUCGUCAAGGUGACCAGGGGCGAUCGCUGCGGUCUCAAAUCCGGCAAAGAUCAAAUCUCCAUGGAUGUCCACAACGUAAUUCAAGCUCCCAAAUCUGACCUGAUGGCCAGGGGCGUAGCUAUCGAUCUGCUCCAGGUGGCCAAACGAGUUGGCCCGUAGCGCGAAGCCGCCGAACACGAAGAUCGGUCCAGGGAGGAAGGUUUCUCCUUGGACAGCAUCACUAUCGACGAUUGAAGGGGCCAUCGAACCUUUCGUCGAUGGCACAGUGGAACUCUCAAUGAAAGCACCAAUGUCGGUGUCAAAAUCGGCGGAUCUCGGGUAGGGGGUCCCGAACUGUGCGUCUAAGGUCGAUGGUAACAGGAGACAGGGGGCACGAUGUUUACCCAGGUUCGGGCCCUCUCUAUGGAGGUAAUACCCUACUUCCUGCUUGAUUGAUCUUGAUGGAUAUGAGUAUUACAAGAGUUGAUCUACCACGAGAUCGUAAUAGCUAAACCCUAGAAGUCUAGCCUGUAUGACUAUGGUAAUGAGUCUCUCCCUUUCCGGACUAAGUCCUCCGGUUUAUAUAGACACCGGGAGGAUCUACGGUUACAUAAGGUCGGUUACAAAGAAAGGAAUCUACAUAUUCGGUCGCCAAGCUUGCCUUCCACGCCAAGGAGAGUCCCAUCCGGACACGGGUGCAGUCUUCGAUCUUCACAGCCCAUCAAUCCGGCCCAUGGCUAACAGGCCGGACACCCAAGGACCCCUUAGUCCAGGACUCCCUCAGGGGGUGGGACAAUGAUGAUAGAUUGAAGGCGACGGGGAGGAGGCUCUACUAGAUCGGCAGGAUCUGCGGCAGGAUCGACGAUGAUGGAUUUAAGGCGCUGAGCCGGCUGCUCCGUCGGAUCUGGCCCAAUUACUGCAUCCGCGGGCGUUGAGCAUUCACCACGAAGCAUGAUUCGUGGCGGGAAUGUCAGAUCUUGGGUGGGGGAGGUGCCACAGCAUCGGGGCGCAUGGGGUGGUGGAGAGGCCGUCUUUGGACCGGAGGGCGAAAACUUGCCCACUCCCCCAGCAGCGGAGCCACAGCUGGAUCCAGGCCGAGGGGAGCGCGGCGUGCCCACCACUACAAAAAAAGACACAUCCAUGACAUUUUGGGCCGAAUGAAAAUCUUUUUUGUCAUACUUAUGACACUUCUAUGACGAUAAUUGUGACAAAACCCGGUAUCAUCAUAGAUGUGGUGGCGUCCUACUUCUAUGACAAAAAAUCAUGACAGAAAAUGGGCUUUUCGUCUUGGGCGGGGCGGAGACGCAGGUGCAUGACAUUCUUUGGGCCGUCCAUGACGGAAAAAACAUGGUAGAAGCGAGGGCGAGGAAAAUAUCGGGGUGUUCCCGGUUACGGUGGGUGGUCUGGGCCGAGCGAUGCGUGUUUCUCUCGUACACGCACGCGCGUGGAUGCGAGGCGUUGGGCUCUAACUGAACCUGAGCGAGGCGUUGGGCUCUAACUGAACCCGAGCGAUUGCACUGCAGGCUACGCGUUACUGAACCCAAGCGAUCGAUCGAUGGCUGUUAACUGAACCCGAUUGAGCGAUUCCUUCACUACUGCUGCUAACUGAAGCUGAUCGAUGCUGCCUCUGGAUGAACAGUGAGCGUUGUGGGGGGUGGAUGAACAGCUCCCGGUGGGGGUGGAUGAAUAGGACCCCGUGGUGUUGCCUCUGGAUGAACAGUACCCCGAUCGAUCGAGCCGGUUGGGGCUGGAUGAACUGGACCCCAUGGAGGGCAGGAUGAACAGUAGAUGGUGGAGGGAUGGAUGAACAGUAGCCCGUGGAGGGGUGGUUGAAAAGUAACCGGUGGAGUAGCGCGCGGUGGAGGAUGGAUGAACAGGAGCCCGUGGAUGAACAGUCGCAGGUGGAGGCUGGAGGAGGUCGACGGUGGAUGAACAGUAGCCUGUGGAGGCUGGAGGGGGUCGACGGUGGAGAUGAACAGUAUCCCGUGGAGUCCCGUUUUGCGGUACGCCACACCCCUCCCGAUGAACAGGACCCCCGUUUCGACCGUAGCGCUCCAACACAAGUCCGUUUCCUCCGUUUUGCGGUACGCCACACCCCUCCCGAUCAACAGGACCCCCGUUUCGACCGUAGGAGGUCCGUUUCCUCCGUUUUGCGGUACGCCAGACCCCUCCCGAUGAAUAGGAUCCCGUUUCGAACGUGGCCGGUCGAACACAAGGCCGUUUCCUCCGUUCUGCGGUACGCCAGGCCUCGUUUCCAUCGGCUGUUCCGUCCAAGCCGGUUGGCUCCCACGCGUUCCGUUGCCUCCCGAUGAACACGAUGCAUUCCGUUGCCUCCCCAUGAACACGACGACGAUGCUGUUUCUCCGUUCCGACCCAGCCAUGUACACGAGCCCUGGCCGUACGUACGCGUGAGUAGGCGUUUGAGACCCUGCCCGUAUGUAUGUACGUGGCCGUAUUUACUUUCUUGCACCCUGGCCGCUGUACAUACGUGUACAUGCUACGUGCGCGCCUCUACUACGACACGUGCGCGCCUCUACAUCGACCAGUAUGUACGUACACGUUCGCGACCAGAAUGACAACGCUACGUACGCUUCAACUAGGUGGGUCCCGACUGUCAGGCACUUCCUUGCGUGCGAAGAUGUAGCUGGUGGGUCCCAAUAGUCAGGGGGAGAAUCGUUUUUUUUUGCUUUUGCCCGGACGCACUUCCUUGCGUGCGAAGAUGUAGCUGGUGGGUCCCAGCAGUCAGGGGGAAACGUUUUUUUCGCGAAAUACGGUGGCCCGUCCGGUGGGUCCCCGCUGUCAGGUGGAGGAAUAAUUAUUUUGCGUGUAAUAAGGAGGCACUUACUUGCUGCGGCCGUGGACCCGGCUGUCAGCCUCUCCACGUACAGUCCACGUCCGAUGGAAGCCGUUCCUUAACCACGUUGACCACGCCGCGCCGAGAGCACCAGGGCGGUGGACGACGACGAGGCCUAGGAAGGGGACGACGCGGAGCCGGGGAAGACGCGGCAGUGGAAGCCCGCGCGGAGAGGAGUAUGAGGGUUCACUGGUUCGGCUGCAGUGUGAGGGUGGCGUCGCCGCAGGGCCUGGCCAGUGGUGGGAAUAUUAGGGGCGGUGAGGCCUUCGCGGCAGCACAGCCGGCCACGGGAGGCAGGAGCAUGCGGCACGACAGGCGCUGCUUUGGGCGGCUGGAGCAAGAAGACCAGAGGUUGAAGAAGCACUACGACCGUUGGAUUGACAUCGUACGGUCACUGGAGCUAGAAUCGUUCAUAUUGACUAAGUUGACAAAGCACUCCAUCCCCGUCAACUUAGUAGGCCCACAAGUCAGCCUCCCACCAAGGUGGGUCCCAACUAGCAGGGGGGUAUUCAUUUUUUUUGUGCGUAAUAAGGAGGCACUUCCGGUGGGUUCGAGCUGACAGCGGGGGGAACGUUUUUUUCACGAAAUACGGUGGCCCGUCCGGUGGGUCCCAGCAGUCAGGGGGGAAAUGUUUUUUCACCAAAUACGGUGGCCCAUCCGGUGGGUCCCUACUGUCAGGUGGAGGAAUAAUUAUUUUUCGCGUAAUAAGGAGGCACUUCCUUGCGGCUGCCGUGGACCCAGCUGUCAGCCUCUCCACGACAGUACUCUUCCGAGGGAAGUCGUUCCUUGACCACAUUGACCACGCCGCGCCGAGAGCACCAGGGCGGUGGAUGACGGCGAGGCCUAGGAAGGGGACGACGCGGAACCGGGGAAGACGCGGCAGUGGAUGCCCACGCGGAGAGGAGUACGAGGGUUCACUGGUUCAGCUGCGGUGUGAGGCUGCCGUCGCCGCAGAAUAACAGGGGGUGUGGGUGAGUAGAGGGAUGCCCUGGCCAGCGGUGGGAGUAGUAGGGGGCGGUGAGGCCUGCACGGGAGGCGGGAGCAGGCGGUCCCGCCGGCGCUCGAUUUGGCGGCUGGAGCAAGAAGAUCAGAGAUUGAAGAAACACGACGGCCGUUGGAUUGUCAUCCAACGGUUACGUCUGCUAGAAUCGUUUGUUGACGUAUAUAAUAACUAAAAAAAUCUUGCAUACGCGUCAACUUAAUAGGCCUAUAAGUCAGACCAUUCCCUCUUUUUUUUAAUAACUUAUAUAUAGCUCAGUGCGACUUCUUAUGCAAUUUAUUGCAGUCCAUUUUUUUGGUUGGCCAGGGCCAAUUUCGCAUAUUCCUGUGGGUUCCAAACUAUUUUUAAUACCGAAAUGUCGAGCCAGAUUUAAAGUACUUUGAAGAUAUAUUUUAAUUAGGUUAAUGCCCAGUGAAAUAGGAAUCUGAAAAUGUGAAAAAAUUCAGAAAUUAUAAGGUAAUUGCCAAUUUGUCAUCUGUUUUUAUAUUUACAACCCAUUUCAUAUUACUUUCAAGAUUUGCCGGCGUCUUGAAAGAGUUGCGGCCCAUCAGGGCGUAGAAAAAUAAGUAGGCCUAUAUUGGGUAUUCUUCAGAAAAAAUAAACUGGGCUCAUUUUCACAAAGAAAAAAUAGUUGGGUUGGUCACAUGGUGAACAUAAAAUAUAACCCUGGGCUAGACGGGCCACAACCCAGCUCAAACCCUGCUCCGUCUCAACAAUAACAAAAAAAAAUACUGCUCGAGCUGCUACGUCCGAGGUGUCAACCGAUCUUGUGCUGUUCUCUUGUCUAUUGACUAUAUACGCUCACAAUGUCAUGGGUCCCAGAUGUCAGGAAAACACUAGGAGGAAGCAUUUUAUUUUUCCAUACGCUGACAUGGUAGGCCCUAAUGUCACCCUCUCCACGUACUUCUGCCGAUUCCUGUUGUUUGUUGACCAUGUUGACAACGCGAGAGGGCGGCGCCGCGGCGAGCGCACCAAAGCGCGCGGAGGACGACGGCGAGGCCUCGGACGUCGGCGUUAACGAUUUAGGAGACGGUGGGGCGGCGAUGCGUGCGUUGAGGCGUAGCCAGCCAUGGGAGGCGGAAGCAGGCGGCCCCGUCGGCGCUGGUUUGGUUUUGGCGGCUGGAGGAAGACAGGACUGAAGAAACACGACAGACUGUAAAAGUAGCAGGAGUACUUAACAACCUUAACUGAAACCAGCAGGGGCACUUAACAACCAUAGCUGAAAGCAGUAUGAGUACUUAUACAGGUUCAACCGUACAAAGCACGCCUCGAACAGUGCUACUUUGCCUACAGUUAACCCAGGGUGAGGCCGCCAAGCCCCAGGACAAGGCCCAGGCACCACCCCGCACAUCCACAACCUUCUGAAAGCGGCUUCAUCUCGCAAUGUGGUCAAUAAAUAGGAUAUUCACUUUAGAUCCAUGGAAAAGCAGGAACAUAAUCUUCUGUCCUAUUCUCCAAGAUGGACGGGCCUUCAUUAUUUGAGACCACCCAUGAAUAAGUGUCUUUUCACCUCCAAGGGGAAUGGAGUAGGUCGACAUAAACAUCAUGUUGUGACCAAGCGCAAGUCUGGCCCAACCAUGGUCAGGCAUCUGUAUAGGAACAAUAGAACUGGGCAGUUUCUGUUUCAAGAAUAUCACACCUGUAAAACUGUGUAUAAGCAAUAGUUUAUGAACAACAUAUAUAAUAGAAAAUAGCUCGUACCAUAAGUUUCUCGACACAGUUGGACCUGUUCAACGAGUGCAGCAGUGGCACACAUAUCCCAUGUGGCCUUCCACCAUUGAAAUGCCCCACAAGGACCUCAAGACGAUCAAUAAAGUGUAGGAACUUGUGGUUGUCGUCCCAGUCAACUUCAGUGCCAUCAGUAACUGCCGAUUUGUUACAGAAUAACAAACGAGCAGCUUGCUUAACUCUAAAAAAACCUACACGUGCCACCAAUUAUAAGAAAAUAUUAGUUAGAAGUAGCAUCUUCGUGAGAGAUUCGUUGCUACUUCUAAAGUUAAAUUGUGAUUAGUUAGACAGAAUAGGUGGAUUAAGAAGUAAUCGAGGCAACAAGCAAGAACCAGAUACAAAACUAACAUGGAUGAACAAUUGGAACGACGUCGGGGUGGAAGAUCGCAGUGAAGAUGAGACCAGGUUCUGCUAUUUCCAUCAACAUUCGUGCGCCAACUUUCAGUCCGUAACACUUGAGAAAGUUUAUCCAAGUUCGGCCAUAAAAAAAGCAGCGAUCUUCUUGGUUCAUGAACCCAACUCGAAACUUAUAUCCAUGGCUUGUCUUCACUAUUACCACUAAACUGGUGUAUUCAGUUAUGGCAAGGCCGAGCAUCUUGAGUACAUGUGUUCUGGCAGAGCAAGGAAUGCACUGCAGGAAAAAAUAAUAUGAGAACACAGUGUAUUCCCUAUAUCCAAAUCUAGUAAUACUUUCCUCCUUCACGUCAGUGUUGACCAUGGUACUAGUACCUUUUAUCCAAAUAUAACAAUCCAAAUUUCCAAAUUAGUCGACAUCAUGUUCAAAAAACCCCACCCUCCCGAAUAGAAAAGAGGAUUCUAGGAACAUAUUGUGCACGUUUUAAAAUCCUGUGUUAGGAUGAGAAGGAACAAGUGUGGCAUCUCGCCGAGGGCGCAGAAACCUGUAGGGUCCUCGCACUUUGGGCACUGCAAAUGAAACACACUAGAUUCAGUAGGAAGAAAAAUGCAUCAACGGCGGCGGCUGCCAUCCUAGGAGUACCCGCGACCAAGGGACUUGGAUUUAUCGGGGAUGGAUGAAGAAUUCGUACCAGGUUCUCCAUGAGAAAACCCUAUGCAAUCGCCGAGCGGGGGUUUUCUCUGAAGAAGCAGACAAGGGAGAAGGGAUUCAGGCCGAGUGAAAUAUUGCUGCUUCGUCCGUCCAGCUUAUUGCUAAGCUGGAAAGGUGGGGGUUUUGUGAUUUGACGGCUCAUUGGGCAUUAAUGCGGCGCUACGACCGGGGUGUGUGUACCGUGCAGUUGUGCACUCUAAUUUGGUGCAUAUGGCAUGUGGACCCCAUUGCCGGAUGCCCCACAUAUCAGCGCAAGGAAGUAGAAAGACAGGAGUAACUAGUUAUUACACAUAAAUAUAUGUUUGACAGAGAGAUAUUCCCUCUAUAAAGAAAUAUAAAGAUCUUUUAUAUCACAACUUUAUACAUAAGAAAAAUCAAGGGGAAUAUAUAUAUAACAUAUAUAAUUAUAAAAAAACAGAGUUUUUUUUAACACGGUAUAGACGAGUUGGUGAUGAUGGUGUGCCUGCCAUCCUGCAAUAUAGGCCGUCCGAUUUAUAUCUGACAGAUAGGAAGGAAACUAUGGCAAUUUUGCAAAAAGGUACCCACAGACCUCUCUGCAUUUGCAAAUAAGGCCUUCCCUCGUUCAUCCUUUUCUCUCACAAGAUAAAAUACUCAUACAAAUGCAUCUUGAUGUUCCGUGCAACGCACGGGCAUUAUGGGGGUUCAGCUGAGAAAUACUCAGACAGGCUCACAGUUCUGGACUUUGGGCCAUAGGCCAGUGGGCCUGCAUGUUUGGGGGCCCAUGUGUUCUACCUCAGCGCUUUUCAUAUUGCAAGCGGUCGGUACGGCGCUGGUUUUAGAUGAUGUCGCAAGGCGAAUACACAAAAUUGAAUAAAGCACAGCAGCUGUUGGAAUGAAAUCAAACGAUAGUUCCUAACCAGCAGUCAGAGUUGCAAUUCUAUCAAUGAUACUGUCAUACUACUUAUACACACAGGACACUUGUUUCACCAUGCCAAAGUAUUACAUCAAAAUCUCUCGGCGGAUAGAUCAGUUCGGCAGUACUGAAGAAUUUCAAAGUUGAUUUGGACCAGCUCUCCUUGCCGAGAAAGUUCGAUUUUGACAUCAAACCCUACCGCAAGAUAUGAUUUAGAUUUGAACCUUGACCAUCCUUUAGCAUCAAUCAUCAUGCGACCAUCCUUUGUACUUACGGUAUAUUGAGCAGGUUCAUUCACACCAAGGCUGCGCAUGGUAAGAGAAACUUGGCUGUUGUCGCCCGGAUUGUUGAACGACUCCCUCGUUGCUCCAGGAAUUCUCUGUUUGCAAACAAGAAGACAUACCCAAAGAGUUAGAUCAACACAUGAAUCAUGCGAAACAACAUGGAAAUAAAAACGAACGAAACACUUGGGCGUCCAAUGCUUACCAAGAAGGUGGACAUGUCGGUUUUUGUAAGGACUUUGGUAUAUGAAGUGCGAACUGCAGCCCAGUCUGUUGCCGGUGCAACUCCUCGUUCGGUUGCCGCUGCACGGGCCGGAGCAGAUGCAAGUGCAAGUGUUGGUGCAGGUGCCGAAGCCGUUGCUGCUGCCGGAGAUGGUGCUCCUUGUAGAGCUGGUGUCGGUGUCGGAGCAGGUGCCGGUGUCGAUGCCCGAUCCUCCGGUAGAUCAGCCUGAUCCGCUGACGCGGUCGGUGCCCAAUCCUCAGCUGGAUCAGACUGAGCUGCUGCCGCUGUCAGUGCUAGAGCAACUGUCGGUGCUUGAUCUAUUGCUGAAGGUGGUACCGAUGUGCGAGACAGCGGCAAUCGUGUCUGGUCUGCUAUGAUCAGCUUUGUAACUUGACUAGGCUUCGUGACCGUGAUCCAGUUUUUUUUCUUCAUUUCUUUUAAACGCGAGAAGGACUAAUUGUGGCGUUUUUGUUAAACCAAACAGCAGUUCAUCAUAGGGAUUCAGCUUGUACUCAGACAAUAGACUGAUCCAAUUUUUUCCAGUAAUAUAAGUGAUGGACAGUGCCUUCGUUACUGACACAACAUAAGAAGUGAAACCUGCAAAAAUAGCCAUCGUAGAGCAAACCAAACGGUUUAUUCUGUGAUGAAUGUCACAUGGCAAAACCUGCAUCAUAAAAUUGCAGGAAAAGAAAGAAAACAUGACAUUAAAUCAAUAAGAUUUAGACAGUAAAUCAAUAAGAUUUACUUGACGUGACACGAGUGAAUCCUUACCAGGAAAUCACUAUGUUGAAGUACUAAACAGAAGAUUGAUCGUCCAACUACGGGUGGCAUGCAGGGGCCCCGCCUACUCCCACAAGCAGGACAGUCCAAAGGUCGUGACAAAUCAUAUGGACCGAACAUCCAUGGGACUGGAAAUCCUAGUGGGUGCGAUAAACCCUGCAAUGCAUACAGAUAUUGGAGUGUAACCAUAAUUGAUAAACCGUCCUCACAAAAAAGAUGAUCUGGAUACUUCAAAAUAUACAGACAGAAUUGAGUGGACAGACAUUAACAUAGACCGUUCUCAGGACUGACCACACACCAAAAGCGGUCGUACUAAUAAACAAUACACGGUUCACAAACACAAAUCAAGUACUGGACAAUAGUACUUACUACAAACAAGCAAAGUUGCACUAAUUAAACUCUGCAGACUAUUUCUUGCCACCGACCUACGGGAUGAACCCCGCAUAACUGACUAGGCCAUGGACUUUGUGAGAGAUGUCUACAUGCACCGUCACCAUCUUGUCAACCUUGGAGAACCUAACAGAGUGGUCUUUCCACUCAUAAACAUGAUCAUGAAGACAGGCCGCAUCAGAUUUGUUGGGAAGCUUUACAAGAACCACACCCUUUGUAAUCGAAGGCACAGCCAGGAAUUUGUUGUGGUCAAGUACAGCCUCGAGAACACGCCUGACAACAAUGCUACAGGAAAACACUACUUCAGGACACGUGGCGACAAGGACACAGUAGCUGGAUAGUUUAGCAGUAUAACUCAUCCUCGGGUCUUCCAGUUCACAUAGCAUGACUUUGAGAACUUCAUCUCCACCGCGGACCUGGUUCUAAUUCAAACAGAAACCAUAUUUUAUUACUACCUCCGUUCAGAAAUAUAAGAUGAUUUUCAAUAUAAUACUCCAUAUAUGACUACAUAUACGCACAGAAAUGAGUGAACAAAGACACUAGAACAUGUCUUCAAAGGCAUGAGAGCAGAGGGAUUACUUGCAAUAUCCAUAACACAAGUUACUGAGGCAAAUAUACCCUCUUUAAAGGUAGCAUUGAUGUUCAUAAAGUACUCCCUCCGUCCCAACAUUCUUGUCUUAGAUUUGUCUAGAUACGGAAGUAUCAAGUCACAUUUUAGUAUUAGAUACAUCCGUAUCUAGACAAAUAUAAGACAAGAAAUUUGGGACAGAGGGAGUAGUUGAAAGUAAUCUAUAAAAAUCAGUGUCAACCUCUCGCAUGUUUUGGUCAAAAGAGGAAUUUAGAACCGUCAUUUGGCACACAAAAAUCACAUGCAAGAUCACCCAGAAAGUUGUACUACUAGUACUAGUACUGCGUGUUAGAUGAAAAAACACGAUCAAGAUCGAGAAAAAGAUCGUCAAGAAGAGAUAUUACCUGGACUUGCUUAAUGAGGGAUCCCGGAGAGGGGGGCUUGGACAGGGCGAUGGCUUUGAGCUUGUCUACGGUAGUCUCGGCGGGGUGCUUGCGCUUCUUCGUACCAUGAGCCUCGACGGUUUUGGCCAGAGCCAUAGACGUCACUUCGACCGGUGCUCCAGCGUCCAUCAAGAAACUGUCAAAUAGAAAUAAAAGAAAAGAAACCAUAAUCACAAACCCAAAAGAAGAAAAGAGAGGGAGUUAUAGGAUCAGUCUCGGGGUUGCAAGACCGGGCCUUGGCCAGAAUCAACACCAUUGAUGCGCUCACCUUUCCUUCUUUGAGAGAGAAGAACAAUGGCAGAAGCAGGUCGGGGUUUUCUUGAAGAAACGAGGAACAAGAUGAGGGAGAAGCGAGGGUUGGGUAGAGAGGAAGCUGAGAGAGAAGAGUGAAAUGAUGGUUGCUUCGUCUGUCCAACUUACUGCUAGAAAGGAGGGGGUUUUGUGAUUUGACGGCUCAUUGGGCAUUACUGUGGCGCUUCGAUCGGGGUAGUCUACCGUCAUUCUACUACGGAGUAAUUUAGUGUAUGGCUGGUGGACCCCGAUGCUGGCUGUCUCACACGUCGGCGAAAGUGAGUAAUUCAGUGCAUGGCUGGAGGAGGAUCCCCACGGUAGAGCGUGUCCACUAUUUUUCUGAAGAAAAAAAUGAUUACAGCAAGCGUUUCCACUCUUACGAUGGAGGACUGCGAAACAAGGCAGCCACUUGAACAUACACAGUGCUCCUACUACUAGGCAUGUGAAGUGGUUCAUACGUCAGUACUACAUAAUCUUGUUGCUAGUGUAGUAAGAUAUGACGACGACAAAUGAUGUUGUGCGCAUGUCAACUAUAUGAACAGUAAUGUAGUAACAUAGUACCGCUUUCUCGACUAUCCGGUCGAGAAUGAACGGUGAGAUCAAUGUUAACAGAACUAGGUCUACAGCGCACGGAGAGUACGGUGCUACAGUACUCCACGAAACAUGAACCAUAUGAAGCACGAAUAGUGUUAGGCAGGGUGUAUGAAGGGUGCAUGGGAUGGGGGCAAAAGUUCCCUUCUCGACCCACUUUUGGGUGUUUGGCAGAGUGCAUGAAGGGUGCAUGAGUCCACACUAGUAGGUUAACACAAAUACACGAAGAGGAAACAACUACUCCGUCUAGGUGUGUAAGUCAUCUUAUGUUGUGCACUGCGACCAAGGCGGAGAGCAAAACGAGAAAACUUAAUGUCUUUUUGCUAAUUAAUAGCAUUGCAUGCAAUGAACUAACCACUGCAUGUCAUGUUUAUUAGUCUCAAGUCAUUGAAAGCAUGCACGGCCCACGUCUCUUAUUGGUUGAUAUGUCACAAAACAAGAAAUGGGGAGGGAGUUAAUGUACCGUGCUUAAGUGUUUUGGGAUUAUUUGGUUUUCGUAAGGUGACUUACACACUAUAUUGAGAUGAGAAUGCAACCAAACACACCCACACGCUUUGUGCUACAGUGACUGAUCUGCACCGUCUGAGUUUGAUCCAACGGUCAUGUUGCGCCGAGACAUGGACAUGCCUAUGCAGAGGGCUAAACACCACCGAAGUCCCUCUGCUUCUCGAGGCGCAUGACGUUGGUGAUGCGGGGGCGAAACAGCUGAAAGGCAAUGCAAUCUACGAGAAGGCGGAGGGAGCCCGCCGAGGAGCGGGGAAUCUUUUGGUUUUCACCAUGGUAAAACACCAGUCGACGACUUCUCACAUCAGGGAGCAGUGGGUUUUACAGGCGGAGUCAUCAUGACUAAUUGCUGCCGCGCCUGCUCCCCUCAAUCAAAAAAUUAAAAAUCCUACCGCGCCUGCUCCCGUCAAUCAAAAAAUUAAAAAUCCUGCCGCACUCAAACACCAGAGCAACGCCGCGGUGGAUGUUUAAAUUUACCUGCCGGCAAGUAGAUAAAAAAAGGGGUGAAAAAACAAAUGUGGCGGCGGCCUAGCUAAUCGGUCGAACUAGCCCAACUAGCUAGCCACCGUGCUUCACUGAUGUACUCGGCGGGAAAAGUGGUCUUUCGUGAUUUGAUGACUCAUUUAUUUACUUGCUUCGGCGAAAACGCGUGGUAGGGCGUCCCACGUCAGGAAGAAUAUAUGCGUGCACCACCCGGGAGGACCCCGAAACCGCGCGGUAGGGUGUGCCAUGUCUCGGCAUGGAGGAAAAAUGUGCGUGUAAAAAUUUACUGUAUCAGACGUAGUACCUAUGGUUCGACCUCGGGACCCAGCCAGUCGGUCGAAAACACCCCACUAGCCACACAGCUUCAUCAUGCUAACAUGGCACGGAGGAUAGGUGUGGUUAGCUCCGUCUCGACCAGCUACAACGUCUCUUGUUCUAGGCGAUUCUUCUAUUUUCCAAGCUUUUUUUAGUUGUAAUAACACCACGGCAAGCUAGCGCCGCUCUUCGUGUGUGCCCGUGCAAAGGUUAGACGAUGGAGAGAAGAGAGAGAUCGCAGACCUGGGACCCACCAGUAAGUGAGUCAACGGUCAUGCACGUGUAGACGAGGCACUCCCUCUACUCUACUCAACGUAAUACUGUACAAAAUCAAGUUAUGGGACAAAGCCAACAACCGUUGUUGUUUUAGGCUAUCGACUUAUGCUUUGUAGUCCAGGUUGCCAGUUCGAAUCUCGUCUUUCAGAUUUGUUAGUUUUAGGUCCAAAUUUGAUUAAUGACAAGUGGGACCCCCGUGUGUUGUUCCGAUAUUUCAGUGUAGGAUGUUUUUUUGAACAAACACUUUGCGCGGUUAGACAAGUAACGGCACAAGUUACAUGUAUUUUGCAAGUUUACGAACAAAAAUGACAGCGGCAUAGAAUAUCACAUCCACCCCGCAGCUUAGAUGCUAUGGUGAUACGAGUUUUUACACCGUUGGAAGUGAGAUCCAAUGGCUUGGGAGUAGUCUUUGUAAUUAUGCGCAAUUUCCAAAAUCUUUAAAGGUUUUUUUGCAAAUAAAACAUUCAGGCCUCGUGUGUGCCGCUGCAUCUUGGAUCCAACGGCUCCCCGUUGCUCAUAUUAGGUGCUCCCCGUAGCUUAAUUACCCGCUAUGGUGAUAUGAGCAUCUAGGUCGUAUGAUCAGUGAUCAGAUGGCACAAUCGUAGUACUUGUACUUUCUGCGCAAUUCCCAAACUCUCUCAGCCGUAUAUUGCAAAAACAUUCAAACCUCCUACUGUGGGCCGUUAGAUCUCCGUGAACUCGUAUCACCAUAGAAUCUACGAUACGGGAGCACCUCAUAUUCUCUCGUGCGAGAAAACAUAAGGUGCUCUCGCAGCUUGGAUGCCACGGUGAUACGAGCUUCGAGGUCGUUUGAUCUGAGAUCCAAUGGCAUCUGAGCAGUCUUUGUGCUUGUAAGCAGUGGCCGAACUCUUUGGGGGCUUUUCUGCAAAAAACCAUUCGAACCACCGAGGAGGCGUUGGGUCACAAAUCCAACGGCUCCGAAGAGCUUGUAUCACCAAAGCAUCUAAGGUGUGGUAGCACAUGAUAUUAUUACAUACAGGAGAAUAUGAUGUCCUCCUUCAUCUUAGAUGCUACGGUGAUACGAGCUUCGAGGUCGUUGGAUAUGGGAUCCAAGGGCAUCUGAGUAGUUUUUGUACAAAUUGUGUGCAAUUCUCAAACUCAUCAAGGUUUCCUGUAAAAAUAUUAAGAUAUCAUGUGAGCUGCUAUAUCUCAGAUCUACAAGCUCCAAGCAACUCGUAUCGGCAUAUAGCAUCUAAGGUAUGGGGGCACAUGAUAUUCUCCCGGGGAGGAGGGGUGGGGGUGCACAACCAAUCGAUGGUUGGGAGGGUGAGGACAAAUAUAAUCUAAACAACCCUAAACAGAGCUUCACAAAUUUAUCUAAGGUCGAGGGGGUGACCACCGACAAUCAUAGCUCCGCCUAAUUAAACACAAUAUUUGCAUGUACUGUAGUACUAGACUUAAUAUUCAUGUUUCAGUUUCAUGUUCGUUUUAAAUAUUGAAUUGAGGACCAUGCAUGUCUUACAUUUUACUCCCUUCGUUCCUAAAUAUUAGUCUUUUUAGAGAUUUCAAGUGGACUGGCACAUACGGAUGUAUAUAGACAUAUUUUAGAGUGUAGAUUCACUCAUUUUGCUCCGUAUGUAGUCGCUUGUUGAAAUCUCUAAAAGACUAAUAUUUAGGAACAGAAGGAGUAUUUUUGAAUUCGUGUCAUACAUGCAUGGUUUGGAAAAAUAGAUGCACUAUACUUAUUGGAUUGUUGUUGUUUUCGUGUGUGGGUGUCUCUGUGUGGGUGUGUGUGUGUGGUCAUAUGCUUGAUACAUACAAAGUUUUCUCACCUCCAUAUUGUUCAUCUUUUAAAUUUGAAUUUGCAUUGAAAAACUUAGCAGGGAUACCAUGAAAUGUGAAAUCCACAUUAUAAACUCACUCUAAUUCAACAACUCAUCAUAAAUCAAUUACCACCUUGAGAUUAGUAUUUGCAAGGAAAAUACGGGCAUUGUAAUACACAUAGAUUCGUUCAGCAACUUAAAAGGUUCCUUUCGUAUUCUCGAAUGGUAGGACCCAAUGGCGUACCAGCCAGACCUUGGCUCGUGUUGAUCCUAAAAAAAUAAAAAAUAAAAAACCGGGCUUGUGUCCUUCUGGUGGCGUGCGUGGUACGCACAUUAGGAAACCCCAACCAGUCGAGCCUCCGCGUUUCGAGUCGAAAUAUCUGGCGGCCAGAAUUCCAGCCCUAGGAAAUUCCCCUCAUGUCCCCGGUCCAUAAUGACUACCGAUGAACAAUGGAGGGAUGCUUUAGUAACUAGACAACGUUGUGUUAAAAAAAGUAACUAGACAACGUUACCUACCGUGUCGAGCACGGUUCAAUUCCCUCGGUUGCCGCUCGCCAAGGUCACCCCUCAACUGCAUUGCCUAGUACUACUACUACACCAGGAUAAGCACAGAAUUGAGCCCGUUUGUUCGUGCCUAGUACUUGAGUUAAUAUAUCAGGCAAUGCACCAGUACGGAGGGAUUAUCCUUUUGCUCUGCAUAUAUAACUUGUCUGAAGUCUAACUAAGCAAAAUGUUUGACCAAAUCCUUUCUUAAGAAAUACAACAGGACAGAUCUUGAAAAUUCAUUGCAUGAUGCAGGUUAUGAUAUUGUUUCGAAUCCUGGAUCUUAAAUUUCAGAAAAUCCAAAAGUGACCAUAAAUUCUUGAAACUGAGCAUGGUCACGUGAUGGCACAAAUAUUACUUCAUAUUUUUUUUCUUCAAUUUGAGACAAGCUGCUUAUGACAAGUUGCACAAAUGAAGAGCCAAGGUAUUUUGGAACAAAGACCUGUCACGUUAAGGCGAACGCUUUCACUAUUGAAACCGUGGGCGUUUACGUGCCGCCAUGAGUCCCGCUUCUCAUCGGCAGGUGCCAUCUGAGCAAGCGUGUGAGUCGACAGGAGGCGUGCGAGCAGACCGUUGCGCCGGCUGACAGGGAGGCAUGGGAGCAGACCGCUGUGCAGGCUCACCGGGAGGCGAGCCCUUUGACCAGGCUCCGCCGCCCACCUUCAUCCCAACUGCUCCCACUUUUAAUGUCGCCGGCGCCGCAGUUUAAAAUCAACCCCGCACUACCCGGUAUCGCUACAAUCUUCUCUCUUCCUCUCCGAUUCUCCUGUCGUCUACCUCCAACCAGCCUGACCUAAACAUACGCCAUGCUGCAUCACGAUGGUCUGCCCUUAGUCUUCCAGUUUCCUGAGGAAGACACCCAGCCGGAGUCUCAAAAACAUAAGGCGCUUUGGGACGAGCUUGCACUGGCCUUGCGGGAAGACGUCGCGCCUGUCCCCGCUCCCAUUCCGGCUCCCGUCGCCCCGACUGCGCCAGCGCCCAUCCCCGUGGCAUUGAUGGGCUGGGAGCCGCACAUUGUCGCCGAGCUUGAUGCCACGGGGUUCCACGAGGUCCCCGCCGACUUUCACGUGCCCGUGCACCUGCCAGGGCAUGCGCCUGCGCGUACACUGACGCGCAUGCCCGUGCCAGUGCCCGUGCACACGAAUGUCUCUGCCCGCCGAUGACAGCGCCUGUCCCCGCGCGGGUGCCAGUGCCCCCCUCAGCGGCAUGGAUGGCCGCCAUCGACCGCUUCCUUGCACCAACGCCAGUAGCCUCCUCCCGCCAGUUGACUCGCUCCUGGAGACCGAAGUCCAGAACAUUGUGGCCUUCCUUGAAGCUAGGGCCAACGUCCAGGGGUACGCCGACAACGGUGCAAGACGCCGCCGUCGCCGUCGGUCAGUGGCCCGACGACACACAGAGCACGACAGAGGAGCCGCUUCCCACCGCAAGACGCCCCCGCCGCCGCUGCGUAAUCUAAAUUUGCCAUGAAAUACGUUCGGAUAGCCAUGCUUAAAAUCCAAACGUUUAUCAUUUCCGUUUAUUUUAGAUCGAUCGUCGUAUAAUUUAAAGUUGGAGUCAGACUGAAUGAAAUCUAUGGUUUGAUCGAUUGAAUGUUCUGCUAGAGCCGUAUCAAAUUAAAUAUAAAACGUCAUCAAGCCACAUGUAUUCCUUGUCAUCCAACUACCUGGACUGCUUCAAUGUCGAGCGCUCAACACGUUUAGUGUGCAGUUAAUUUCAUGCCAAAAAUAGUGCUAAUCACAUAAUAACACGCAAAUAAUAUCCAACUUAAUAUCCGCAUGCACUUAAUAUACUUCGAAAUUAACGUGCAUUGCACGUACACACUGACUAGUGCUGCUAGCACAUGAAACUGGUGCCGUAACUUAUGAAUGCAUCCAGAUAUGGUCAACGGCAACAUCGCCCGCGAGUUCUUCAUGUUUGCCUGUGCGUCUAAACACAGAAGGGGAGGAGAGAGAGAGAGCACACAUGGAACCCACCAAUAAGUGAAGGCGAAUAGUACUAAAAAUAAUAUUACAUGUUAUCAAUUAAAUAGGCUAUGGUAAUAUAAAAAACAUUAUGUGAACAAAGGGAGGUACAACAAACAUUGCUGUUCUACGUAUGUUGCCUAUUGACGUGCGGCUUGAAGGCCCUGGUCGCAUGUUCGAUCCUCGUCCUUUAUUUUUUUAAUUUGUAUAUGGGACCAAAUUUGUUUCAUGACAUGCGGGGCCCUCGGUUAAAGAGAACAACAGAGUUUUUUGCAAUAAUACCAUGGUGCGACGUUGAAGGCGAGAAAGGUUGUGCGAGAGAGCGAUGACCGAGCCAGAGGGAAAUCAACUAGGGGAGUUGCGGGGGUUGCAACGAUAUUUCGAGUAGUUGUGGGCCGAAUGCUACAAAAAUAUAAUCUAAACCGACUGGAAUAAAUGCCUACACAAAUUAAUCCAAGGUUGGAGUGCCCCUCGCAAUGUAAAUAGCUCCGGCUUUGCGAGGGAUGGAGAGGUAGCUUCAAUGUGCGGAAGAUACGGUGUGAGAAAGCGAGGUCAAUCGAGAGACAUAUAGAUAGAGAGACAAAGUGAGUGUGGUCUGACAUUCAUGGAACAAAUAUAUAUGCUCUGGAGAGAUAUUGUCCGAUUGAGCUUUUGGCAAGGGUGAGGGCUGUAAGAUAGAGCUUGAGAGAUGAUCCAGUCACAGACGUGUAGAUAUAUUUUGUGCGUGGGAGGAAGCAAGGUCGAUUGAUCACAUAGGGUCGUCGUGCGAUCGAAAGAGUGAGACGGGUUGGAGAGAGUGACCUAGAUAGACAAUGUGCGUGAGAGAGUAUACAAUGUGAAUAAGUCGAAUUGGUCUCAAACAUGGUGAUAUAUCAUUUUUGUCCGAGAAAGAGCGAGGUCAAUCGAGACAUACAAGGAGAGAGAGGGAGAGAAAGAGAGAGCGAGUGUGGCCCGCCACGAGGUCGAAAGAGUGGGGGCGGCUUCGAUGGACUGACCUAGAUAGACAAUCUGUGUCAAAGAGUAUAGAGUGUGUCGAUCGAGGCCCGAACAGGGAGACGUAUCAUUUGUGUGUGAAAGAAAACGAGGUUAAAUGAGACUCGGAUAAAGAGAGCAAGAUUGAUCGAGUGUGGCCCCCCGUGCGGAAGAAAGAGUGAGACAGUCUCGAGGGAGUGACCUAGAUAGACAACGUGCGUGCGUGCGCACGAGAGGUUAGGGGGCUAGAUAGGCAAUGCAUGUAUUUAGCGCGAGAGGGUGGGAGGGAGAGGGAGAGAGAGAGAGAGAGAGCUCGGCAUGGGGUGCAAUGGCGGGUGUGUGAGGUAAAUACAUUUCGUAACAGAGUGGAAUAGGGGGGUUGUGUAGUUGAGAGAGUUAGAGAUAGAAAUGUGGAGACAAAGAAUGGAUGUGUGUUGGAAACUGAUAGCUUCCUAAGGUGGUUAGGAGAGGAAGAUUGACCGAUACAGGAAGUAUGUAGCAUGUGUGCGGGGGGAGGGGCUAAAAACAACAUUUGAAUGUAGAUAGUACAAGACUUAAUAUCGAUGUUUCAGUUUGGUGUACAUUGUAAGAUUUGAACUGAGGACCAUGCAUAUGGGUAAUUAUUUCGAAUUCGUGCCAUACUAGGUUUUGAAAAGCUGACAUUGACUCGAUUUGUUGUGCUAUUUUGUAGGUCAUAUGUUUGAAUCCAUCCAAAAGUUUUCUCACUACCAUGGUGUUCAUCAUAUACAUAUGAAUUUGUAUUAAAAAAGUAGCAUGGAUACAGUGAAAUGCGAAAUCCACGUUAGAAUUGGAGAUCGCUAUGUGACACACACUCUAAUUCAAAUAACUAAUUAUGUGACACACGCUCUAAUCCACGUUAGCAUGGAUACCGUUUCGAUUUUUUUCAAAUAACUCCUCAUUAAUUAAUUUGUAGUAUCUCGUUUCGAAUGACUAAUUAUUGCAAGGAAAACACGGGCAUGGUAAUACAUACAGAUUCAUUUGCAAAUGAAAGAAGAUUCGUUUGCAUUCUCAAAUGUAGGCGCACCAGGGUCGUGUCGUGCUGGUCGCGUGUGUCGAACGGACGCGUAGCACCCAGACACCCCCCUCCCUCACUCNNNNNNNNNNNNNNNNNNNNNNNNNNNNNNNNNNNNNNNNNNNNNNNNNNNNNNNNNNNNNNNNNNNNNNNNNNNNNNNNNNNNNNNNNNNNNNNNNNNNNNNNNNNNNNNNNNNNNNNNNNNNNNNNNNNNNNNNNNNNNNNNNNNNNNNNNNNNNNNNNNNNNNNNNNNNGACAAAAUAAGUUCGCGCUUCCACGUUUCGGAUUGAAAUAUCUGGCGGCCCCAAUUCCAGCCCUGCAAAAUCUCCCUUCUCCACCGUCCCCUUCUGCGCCUGAUGACCCACAAGUAUAGGGGAUCUAUCGUAGUCCUUUCAAUAAGUAAGAGUGUCAAACCCAAUGAGGAGCAGAAGGAAAUGAUAAGCGGUUUUCAGCAAGGUAUUCUCUGCAGGCACUGAAAUUAUAGGUAACAGAUAGUUUUGUGAUAAGAUAAUUUGUAACGAGCAACAAGUAACAAAAGUAAAUAAAGUGCAGCAAGGUGGCCCAAUCCUUUUUGUAGCAAAGGACAAGCCUGGACAAACUCUUAUAUAAAGAAAAGCGCUCCCGAGGACACAUGGGAAAGCUAGUUUUCAUCACGCUCAUAUGAUUUGCGUUCGGUACUUUGAUAGGUGGGUGGACCGGUGCUUGGGUGCUGUCCUUACUUGGACAAGAAUCCCACUUAUGAUUAACUCCUAUUGCAAGCAUUCGCAACUACAAAAUAAGUAUUAAGGUGAACCUAACCAUAGCAUGGAACAUAUGGAUCCAAAUCAGCCCCUUACGAAGCAACGCAUAAACUAGGGUUUAAGCUUCUGUCACUCUAGCAACCCAUCAUCUACUUAUUACUUCCCAAUGCCUUCCUCUAAGCCCAAAUAAUGGUGAAGUGUCAUGUAGUCGACGUUCACAUGACACCACUAGAGGAGAGACAACAUACAUCUCAUCAAAAUAUCGAACGAAUACCAAAUUCACAUGACUACUAAUAGCAAGACUUCUCCCAUGUCCUCAGGAACAAACGUAACUACUAGCAAAGGAUAUUCAUGUUCAUAAUCAGAGGAGUAUUAAUAUGCAUAUAGGAUCUGAACAUAUGAUCUUCCACCAAAUAAACCAACUAGCAUCAACUACAAGGAGUAAUCAACACUACUAGCAACCUACAGGUACCAAUCCCGGACUUAGAGACAAGAAUUGGAUACAAGAGAUGAACUAGGGUUUGAGAGGAGAUGGUGCUGGUGAACAUGUUGAUGGAGAUUGGCCCCCUCCCGAUGAGAGGAGCGUCGGUGAUGACGAUGGCGAUGAUUUCCCCCUCCUGGAGGGAAGUGUCCCCGGCAGAACAGCUCCGCCAGAGCCCUAGAUUGGUUCCGCCAAGGUUCCGCCUCGUGGCGGCGGAGUCUCGUCCCGAAAGCUUGCUUAUGAUUUUUCUUCGGACGAAAGACUUCAUAUAGCAGAAGAUGGCCACCGGAGGGCCACCAGGGGGCCCACGAGGCAGGGGGCGUGCCCAGGGGGUAGGGCGCGCCCCCCACCCUCGUGCCCAGGGUGUGGGUCCCCUCUGGUAUUUCUUUUGCUCAAUAUUUUUUAUUAUUUCCAAAAAUAACUUCCGUGGAGUUUUAGGACUUUUGGAGUUGUGCAGAAUAGGUCUCUAAUAUUUGCUCCUUUUCCAGCCCAAAAUUCCAGCUGCCGGCAUUCUCCCUCCUUAUGUAAACCUUGUAAAAUAAGAGAGAAUAGGCAUAAGUAUUGUGACAUAAUGUGUAAUAACAACCCAUAAUGCAAUAAAUAUCAAUAUAAAAGCUUGAUGCAAAAUGGACGUAUCAACUCCCCCAAGCUUAGACCUCGCUUGUCCUCAAGCGGAAGCCGAUAACGAUAAAUAUGACCACAUGUUUAGAGGUAGAGGUGUCGAUAAAAUAAAAUACGGACAUGAGGGCAUCAUGAUCAUUCUUAUAACAGCAUCAUAUAUGGAUAUUGUCAUAUGAUUUCUUAUGCUCAAGUAAUAAUCUAUUCACAAUGUCAAGUAUGAAUCAGAAACUUCAUUGAGAACUAACAAACUAUAGUCUCAGUCACUGAGGCAAUUGCAAUUUAUCAUAACAUCGGAAAGAGUCUAUGUAAGAGCUUUUCAGCAAGUCCACAUACUCAACUAUCAUUUAGUCUUUCACAAUUGCUAACACUCACGCAAUACUUGUGGUUACGGAGUUUUAAUCAGACACAGAGAAAGAUAGGAGCUUAUAAUUUUGCCUCCCAACCUUUUACCUCAAGGGUAAUGUCAACAAUAAUAGUUCAUGCUAACUUACAUCUAAUUGGAUAUAUAUAUAUAUAUCAGGAUCUUUCCAACACACUUUGCUUGCCAAAGGAUAAAAUGUAAAAAGGAAAGGUGAAGAUCACCAUGACUCUUGCAUAAGGUAGGAGAUAAAAGUAAAAGAUAGGCCCUUCGUAGAGGGAAGCAGAGGUUGCCAUGCACUUUUAAAGGUUGGGUGCACAAAUCUUAAUGCGAAAUAACGUCACUUUAUAUUGCCACUUGUGAUAUGGACCUUUAUUAUGCAGUCCGUCGCUUUUAUUUCUUCCACAUCACAAGAUCGUAUAAAGCUUAUUUUCUCCCACACUAAUAAGUCAUACAUAUUUAGAGAGCAAUUUUUAUUGCUUGCACCGAUGAAAACUUACUUGAAGGAUCUUACUCAAUCCAUAGGUAGAUAUGGUGGACUCUCAUGGCAAAACUGGGUUUAAGGAUAUUGGAAGCACAAGUAGUAUCUCUACUUGGUGCAAAGAAUUGGCUAGCAUGAGGGAGAAAGGCAAGCCCAACAUGUUGGAUGAUCCAUGACAAUAUACUUUAUCUCAGAUAUAAGAAAACAUAACCCAUUACGUUGUCUUCCUUGUCCAACAUCAACUCUUUAGCAUGUCAUAUUUUAAUGAGUGCUCACAAUCAUAAAAGAUGUCCAAGAUAGUAUAUUUAUAUGUGAAACCUCUCUUUCUUUAUUACUUCCUAUUAAUUGCAACGAUGACCAAGGCUGUGUUUGCCAACUCUCAACAACUUUUAAUCAUCAUACUCUUCCUAUGUGAAGUCAUUACUCUACAUAAGAUUAAUAUGAUCUCUUUAUUUCUUUUUAUUCUUUCUCUUUUAUUUUAUUUCCUCAAGACCAUGGCAAAAUAAUCAAGCCCUUGACUCAACACUAAUAUUUAUUAUAUAGCUCACGGACUCGAUUACAUAGAGGGAUCAUAAAGCAAAACUCAAAACUAAAUCAUACUAAAAACUUUAUUCUAUUAGAUCAAGAUACUACUAAAAGGAUCGAACUAAGAAAAACGGUAAAGAUAGGAGUGUGAUGGUGAUACGAUACCGGGGCACCUCCCCCAAGCUUGGCAGUUGCCAAGGGGAGUGCCCAUACCCAUAUGAUUAUGUCUCCUUUGCUGGUGAAAAAGAUGGUGGAGUUGAUGAUGAUGUAGGCUUGUCAUCCAUCUUCCAAGGCAUAGGCUCACCAUCAUAGAAGGAUGAUCGAGUCUCCAGGAUCCUCAAAUCUGCAGCCAAACUCAUCCUUUUGAAUCUAUAUUCAUACUCACAGUUUUGGUUUUGCAGGUCAUAGAUUUGGGCUUGGAGGUGCUCGGUCUUCUCGUGAAGCUUGAAGAUGGCCUCCUCAAUGUUCUUGGCAUCCGGCUUGUGGUUGUUGUUGAACUCUGCGAUCAUCAUGUGGUUGGCGUUGAGUCCACGUUCCACCAUCCCCUGGCACUUGAAAACAUGUUGCUCCAUUGCUUCGAGCCUCGUCUCCACGCUUCCGGUCCUCCUUGGUCCCUCAACAUCGCGGAUGUGCAGCACCCCCUCAUGCAUCUCAAUGGUUUGAGGGUGUUGCAGCACCUCCGCAAGGUAGGGGUUCAUGACCUUCUCGAAGAACUUGUCCUUGGGGGCACUUGGAGACGUCAUGAUGAUCUAGAUCUGUCAGAAAAACAGCUUGAAACAAGAACAGAGGACAAUUGCGUGAUACAGGAGUCAAAACCUUCGGGAGAUUAUAUAAUGAAUUUUUACCGACCAAAAUACAUAUCGUGCAAGAAAACAGAGUCCGGAGAGCACACGAGGUGCCCACGAGACAGGGGGCGCGCCCAGGGGGUAGGGCGCGCCCAGGGGGUAGGGCGCGCCCUCCACCCUCGUGGAGCCCUCGUGUCCUUCCCGGACUGCUUCUUAUUUUUCUUUUUUUCUAAAUAUUCCAAAACGGAGAAAAAUUGCCAUUAGAACUGUUUUGGAGUCGGUUUACUUACCGUACCACAUACCUAUUCCUUUUCGGAGUCUGAAACGUUCUGGAAAGUGUCCCUUAUGUAUUCCUCCGGGGUUACGGUUUCAAUAACAUUGGUUUCUACAUUUAUAGGAUUACCUGAGAUAUAAUGUUUUGACCGUUCACCACCUUCGGAUUUGUGCCUUCGAAGUUGUUGAUUUUUAUGGCACCGGAACGAUAGACCUCCUCGAUAAUGUAAGGACGUUCCCAUUUAGAGAGAAGUUUUCCUGCAAAAAAUCUUAAACGAGAGUUGUAUAAUAAUGCAUAAUCACCUACAUUAAACUCACGCUUUUGUAUUCUUUUGUCAUGCCAUCUUUUAACUUUUUCUUUAAACAGUUUGGCAUUCUCAUAGGCUUGGGUUCUCCAUUCAUCAAGUGAGCUAAUGUCAAAUAACCUCUUCUCACCGGCAAGUUUGAAAUCAUAAUUGAGCUCUUUAAUGGCCCAAUAUGCCUUAUGUUCUAGUUCGAGAGGUAAGUGACAUGCUUUUCCAUAAACCAUUUUAUACGGAGACAUACCCAUAGGAUUUUUAUAUGCAGUUCUAUAGGCCCAUAAUGCAUCAUCAAGUUUAUUGCACCAAUUCUUUCUAGAUCUAUUAACAGUCUUUUGCAAAAUUAAUUUGAGCUCUCCAUUACUUAAUUCUAGUUGACCACUAGACUGUGGGUCAUAAGGAGAUGCAAUUCUAUGAUUAACAUCAUACUUAGCAAGCAUUUUACGAAAAGCACCAUGAAUAAAAUGUGAAUGUAACGCCCCGAGACCGACGCUUCAGAAGACUUCCUUAUUUUCGUGAUCGCCGUGUGUUUCUUUUGUGCUUGCUCUUUUAUUUUUGCAUUGCAUCAUGUCAUCAUGCCAUCAUGUCAUUUAAUUUUUAAAACCCACCUAAAUAAAUUGCAUGGAUCUUCGAUCCAUUUAAAUCGAGGGAAUUCACAUGGUGAUUUCUCUUUAUAACAUAUCCUCCUAAUAUUUAUGGAGCUAUUAUAAAUAUUCCAUUAGUUUGGAAUUAACCGGAAAACACUUGCAAAAUAAUUCCCAUGCCUAUCUCUUGUCAUAUUGCUUUUGGUCAUUCAUGUUGUUUCCAUGAGCAUCAUGUGCAUUGCACUCAUCCUUAUGUUACAUGUUACUUUCAUGUUGUGGGUGCAUCAGCCCUUGCUAUCUCUCUAUCAAGCCAUGCCCAUGUAUCAUCACCUCUCCCUUCCUUCUUCCUUCAUGUUGUUGCAAGCGACAUUAUUUCCCUCCUUCAUUAAUGUUCAUUCUUUUCCUGGAGCUAGCUCACCAUGCCUAAACCCUCUCUGCCAAUUUUUAACUCUUUUGGACUUGAUUUGGUUGGAAUCAAAAUUGCCUCAAGUUUGAAUUUAGUUCAAACUUGCGAUAAUUUUCUUUCUCUAAAAAUGCCCAAACCAAUUAUUUCAAUUAGUGCAUAAUUCCAGCAUCGUAGGGAUAUUCUUAUAUCUCUCAUACACCCCUCUUUUAUCCCUGUGCUUUUCUGUUUAUUUUUCUGCCUGAGGCAAUGGAAAAGGAAGAGAGAGCAGCGGUCCAGCUUCCAGCAGGCCGACGCAGUAGAAGGCAGCCCAGCAGCAGCCCACUUAUUCCCCCAGAUCCUUUUCUCACCCAAAAACCCAGCCAACCCUCUCUUCCACUCAUCCCACGUGGCAACGCUGGACCCAUCCGUCUGCGGGGGAGACUGUAGCUAUCACCACCUUUCUCCUACCUCUCCUCCUCUGCUUUACACGCUCGCCAUGGCCACCGUGGCCGAGCCAGCUCGCCGCGCCCUCCUAUAAAACCAGCAGCCCUCACCCUAGGGUUCCUCCUCCUCCCUCUUUUCCCCUCCGCGCCGCCGCAAAAGGUAAGGGGCACCCACGCACCUGCUUCCCCGCCUCCAGGAGCCAUGGCCGGCUCGGACGACGAGCUUCCCUGCGGCAUAGGAGCUCCGCCGGCCUCCCUCCUCGCGCCUCCGAGCACCUCCACGCCGUCAUGGUUCCAUUCAGACGCCAAGGCGCGCCCAAGGAUCGCCAAGUCCCUCGACGUCCUCUUCCUCUGCUUCGCCUUCUUCACGGAUCAGGGAAACGCAAGUUCGGCGAGCUUCCUCGUCGCCUUCUUCAUCUUCAAUCAAGGCCAGGAGCUGGAAGGACCCAAGGCCGGCGCGAUCGACUCCUUCACGACGUCGUCUUCUCUGCUUCCUCUUCUUCACCGACCCGAACACCUCCGCAAGCGGUGCCUCCUCGUGCCUCAUUGGUCGCGCUUCCGACCUCGUCUUCUUGUCCCGAGCCCUUGGUGAGCAGCCGCUCCUCCCCGUCUCUCUAUGGUCUGGUUCGUCGCGGUAGCCGCCGAUCCCAUCAUGUCCGAGGCCAUGUCCAUUAAGUACGACCAUGGCAACGAGCUCGAGCUCGUGUUCUAGGCUUCUAGCCUCUGCUUGUCUCACCUGUGCAUGCAUCCACACUCAGCACUCACGCUCGCAGCACCCGCCAUCUCGCUCGCGAGCCCCGUUGCCCUGCUUCACCCACCGCUGUUGCUCCUGCCCCGUCUGACUGUGCGCCACAGCCGAGACGAGUUCCAGCUCGAUGCUCGAGCUCCGGACUCUUUCCUCCGCUCCCUGCAUGCAGGCGCGCACCCAUGUAUGUUUCCGCAACCCCGCUGGUCCUCUGCAACCACAGCAGGGGUUGCUGCUGGCUCCCGUCGCCGGCGAGUCCCCGUGCUCACGCUUCAGGUUUUGUCCUGGUCGCGAUGCGCAUAUCCAUUAUCUUCUGCCGAUCUCCCUUUGUAUCAUGAGCACUUAGCUAGCCCAGUGGUUCCCCCCUCGUUCUCACUUCUAGGAGGUCUUGGGUUCAAAUCCCAGGCGCCUCUCUUUUGCUCUGUUCUUUUAUUUCUUUUGCACACACCCACAGCUGCUUGGGCCGAAUCCUCAUCUGGGCCGCUGCACCAUAAUGCUUCGGGCCCGUGCAUAUUUUUUUCCUGUGCUGUGAUUUUGUCAUUAAAUCCUGGACAUGCUUAUUACAGAAAUGCCCCUGUUUUAAACUGCUAAUAACUAUUUAACCAUGCAUCCAAAUAAAACAUGUCAUAUAUGUAACAUGCUUAGAAUUUCAUCUAGUUUCACAAUAUCGCACCUUCAUCCAUGUUUAAAAUGUUUAAAUUACUGUUUGCAUUUAAUUUGCAUAAAUGCCAUGUUUAAAUGAUUUAUUUCAUAGCUAAAUAACCGUAACUCGGAUUUUAAUAAAAUUUAUAUGCAAAUGGGGUAGAAAAAUGCCUAGUUCAACAUGGUGCACUUCAUUUUGCUGUUUAACAACAUUAAAAUUUCGUUUAUGGCAGAACAGUACCAAAUCUAUAAUAUGCAUAUGAGGAUUUUCCGGAAUUGUUGUUGUUUGUUUCCGGCCUCAUUUAACUUGCUUAAAUAGUUAGUUUCCAUAUGCCUCACCUCUUGCCAUGUUAAUCAACAUUUAAUAUUGUUGGGUACAUAAACAAGAGCGAACUAAAUAACUGGAAUGUGGUGUUUCGUCAAUAUGCAACUCGUUGCAUAUUGAGCUCCACUUAAUUUGUAGUGUCGUUUGUUGCACUUUGCCAUGCCAUGCAUCAGUAAACCGGACAUGCAUCAUACUUGAUUUUGCAUCAUGCCAUGUGAAUGUGAUGGUUGUUUACCAUGUUGUUUGUUUCUUUCCGGUGUUCCUUCUUCUUGAUAGUUCUGGUUAUGUUGCGGUUGUGAGGAUUCGUUCGACUACAUCCGUUUGUCUUCUUCAUGGACUCGUUCUUCUUCCUAGCGGGAUUUCAGGCAAGAUGACCACCCCUCAAAAUCACUUCUAUCUUUGCUUUGCUAGUUGCUCGUUCUAUUGCCAUGCUGCGCUACCUACCACUUGCUAUAUCAUGCCUCCCAUACUACCAUGUCAGCCCCUAACCUUUUCACCCUUCCUAGCAAACCGUUGUUUGGCUAUGUUACCGCUUUGCUCAGCCCCUUCUUAUAGCGUUGCUAGUUGCAGGUGAAGAUGAAGAUUGCUCCAUGUUGGAUUAUGUUUAUGUUGGGAUAUCACAAUAUCUCUUAUCUUAAUUAAUGCAUCUAUUGCUUGGUAAAGGGUGGAAGGCUCAACCUUAUGCCUGAUGUUUUGUUCCACUCUUGCCGCCCCUAGUUUCUGUCAUACCGGUGUUAUGUUCCUUGAUUUUGCGUUCCUUACGCGGUUGGGUGAUUUAUGGGACCCCCUUGACAGUUCGCUUUGAAUAAAACUCCUCCAGCAAGGCCCAACCUUGGUUUUACCAUUUGCUACCACCUAUCCCCUUUUCCCUUGGGUUCUGCAGACUCAAGGGUCAUCUUUAUUUUAGACCCCCCCGGGUCAGUGCUCCUUCGAGUGUUGGUCCGAACCGAGCAGCCUGCGGGGCCACCUCGGGGAAACUCGAGGUCUGGUUUUACUCGUAGCUUGACUUAUCCGGUGUGCCCUGAGAACGAGAUAUGUGCAGCUCCUAUCGGGAUUUGUCGGCACAGCGGGCGGCUUUGCUGGUCUUGUUUUACCAUUGUCGAAAUGUCUUGUAAACCGGGAUUCCGAGACUGUUCGGGUCUUCCUGGGAGAAGGUUUAUCCUUCGUUGACCGUGAGAGCUUAUAAUGGGCUAAGUUGGGACACCCCUGCAGGGUAUAAACUUUCGAAGGCCGUGCCCGCGGUUAUGUGGCAGAUGGGAAUUUGUUAAUAUCCGGUUGUAGAGAAUUUGACACUUGACCUUAAUUAAAACGCAUCAACCGCGUGUGUAGCCGUGAUGGUCCUUUUCCGGCGGAGUCUGGGAAGUGAACACGGUUUCUGGGUUAUGUUUGACGUAAGUAGGAGUUCAGGAUCACUUCUUGAUCAUUGCUAGUUGACAAUCGUUCCGUUGCUUCUCUUCUCGCUCUUGCUUGCGUAUGUUAGCCACCAUACAUGCUAGUGCUUGCUGCAGCUCCACCUCAUUACUCCAUCCUUUCCUAUAAGCUUAAAUAGUCUUGAUCUCACGGGUGUGAGAUUGCUGAGUCCUUGUGACUCACAGAUACUUCCAAACAGUUGCAGGUGCCGACGAUACCAGUGCAGGUGACGCCACUGAGUUCAAGUGGGAGCUCGAUGAAGAUCUUGUUCGUUGUGUUGUUUCUUUUCAUUUUGAUCAGUAGUGGUGCCCAGUUGGGACAAUCGGGGAUCUAGCAGUUGGGUUGUCUUCUUUUAUGUUGGUUCCGUAGUCGGACCUAUGUGUGUAUCUUGAAUGAUGUAUGAAUUUAUUAUGUAUUGUGUGAAGUGGCGAUUGUAAGCCAACUCUUUAUCCCAUUCUUGUUCAUCACAUGAGAUUGUGUGAAGAUGACCCUUCUUGCGACAAAACCACAAUGCGGUUAUGCCUCUAAGUCGUGCCUCGACACGUGGGAGAUAUAGCCGCAUCGUGGGCGUUACAAGUUGGUAUCAGAGCCAUCCUCGACUUAGGAGCCCCCUGCUUGAUCGAAUCGCUGGCGUUGUUGAGUCUAGAGCAAAAAUGUUUUGAGUCUUAGGAUUAUAUAUAUCGGAGAAUAGGAUUCUUUUUACUCCUCAGUCCCUUCGUCGCUCUGGUGAGGCCUCCUGACGUAGAAGUUUUGACUCUUCUCUCCUCAAAUUUCACUAAAAAAAAUUUUAGGAUCACGCGGGUAUCUUGGAAUCAUUCCGAUGGUUUUGUGAUGAGAACAUUGUUCUUGGUGCCUCCUGACAUUUAGGGGUUGUGGCAGUGUCCCGGGGAGUUGAGCUCCAAGGUGUUGUCGUCACAAUUUUAUCGUUGCAGUUCUGGAAUACCUGAGUUUCGCCGACAUCGAAAUCUCUUUUAUGCAGUUGUUGGUGAGAUCACCUCGACGCCACCCAGUACUGGGGCGGGAGUUCGGGAGUAUUGCCAUAACUCGUAUAACGGAUGCUUUUCGAAGGUUGAGGUAAACGAUUUCCGAAGUUUUCUUGGUUAUGUGUUGACGGAUGGAUACAGCUGGAUCUAGGGAUUGCUAGUUUGGGUGAUAUAUUUUGUGUCCCCUGUAUCCCCAACACCAGAUUGCAUAACGAGAAAGUUUCGGGAGUUUAUAAGUGGGAAUUCAAGUAGCUCUUAGGAUAUCUUUCCGACAGAUGCAUGAUAUGAGAUUGGGGUUCGACGUCUAGUGGUCCGCCUGUACACGGUUGGUUUUACAGUGGUCUCGUAGUGUCUUAAAGAGUCCUUGGCUAUGCCGACUCAGGGACACUUCGUAUGUCAUGUGCACUGCCUUGUACAUGAUGGUGCUAUACGAUCGAGCCCGUGUGGGCCCCACCACGAAAACUUCGGACGAAAUCUCUAUCAUAUGUUUGUUCCGGCUUAUUUUGCAAGCCAAUCCUUUGUUUUGUUUUGUUUUGUGGUAUUCGAGUUGCUUCGAAGUCAAAUGUGGAUUCCAUACCUUUUCCUAAGCGGUGUUCUCAUACUUCUAUGUGGAUACUAAUCAUUCUUGAUCAUCGAGGUCGUCAUGUUAAUUCUUUUCCAACCGGCGUGCUUCUCUUCAAGUGGAUCCGAUCUUUUCAACAUCCGCAAGAUCAACUAUAAGUUUUCUCAACGGUGUUUAUUCCAUCUGCCCCAAGUUGCCUUUGUUUUUCCCGCCCUCCCACCCUUCUUCCUUCAAGGAAUCAGAUUGCCUAAUCUAGUAUCCAUUUUUAUUCACGUGAAGUACGUUCAUUCUUUUCAAUCAAUGUUCUUACCCGGUGGUUCUCAUGAAGAUGUUCUUGAAGUUUAUCAUUCUUCAUGCUUUUUCUUCUCCGGUGGACUAAUUUCAAGCCUUCAAUGUUGGUCACAUUCCUUUCCCUGUUUCAAAUGUUCUCUCAUGCCGGUUUAUCUCUUAAUCAUUCACCUCUCGCUUUCCAUGUGUUUCGGAGUGUACAAGAUACCUCAGAAGAUUCACAUUUCCAUUCCCAAUCCGUUCAAGUUCUUUUGAGGAUGCUAUCUCAUUCAAGCCAUUUAAUUCAACCAGUGCAAUCUCCUUUUCAAGUAAUCAUUUCAACGGUGUUUCUUUUGAGUGGGCCUUAACCCACAGGGUUUUUUUCCAGGAUCUUACCUGACUCUUCUAAUUCUUUUCGGAGCUAUUCCUAAAUUCUUUUCGAAGUUUGACGUAAGAAUGAAUUAUCAUCAGUCAUAUGUCUUUCUCCAAGAUCUUUCAAACUCUUUUCAUUGUUGGUUCAAUCUUUCUAAUUUUCAUUCCGGAGUGCCUCAAUAAUUCUUGAUGGUGUUUGUCAUCGUCAUUCUCAACAUUUGAAGACCGAAGAAGAAUUUCUCCUAAAUCUUGGUCCGUUCUCUUGAAGAUUCAUGGUUCUUACUUGUUGCCAUCCUCUCAUAUUGUUUCCAAUCGCGUAAUUCUUUUCUUACCCAUCCGGAGCAUUUCAGAGUUGUUUUCAUUUCUUGAUCAUCCAAAGGCCAUCAUUUCAGAAAUUCUCUUCGUUCUAAGUUUUCAGUCUCGUUCUCCAACUAUUCUAAAUUGAUGUCUCUUCGUUCUUCUCCAAAUCUUACCAGUGCAUCAUUCAAGUAUUCUCUAUUCAUCUCGUCAUCUAUUCGUUCACUUGUAUCUAAAUCCCCUCAAGUAUCUUCUUUCGUUUUCCAAUUCUUCCCGGUGAAUUGUGCCUUUGCUACUUUCAUUUUCAAUUCUUACGGUGGUUCGUUCAAGAUUUCUCUUCCUUCGUCACAUAUCAAGUUAUUCGUUGUUUCAAUUCUACCGGUGGUUCGAUGAAGACCUUCCCAAGUUUGCGCUAUAUCUAUCUUAAUCCUUUCUACGAGAAUAAGUAGUAUGCCAAAUCCGUUGCUUGUCAUCAAUCUAAAUUGGUGAAGGAUACGCAUAAUGUAAUUCUUAUUCUUGUUUCCUCCAAGUGAUUAAUUCCUUCUUCCGGAGUUCGUUCAUGAUAUCAAAUUUUCGGCUCCAAGUUGUUCAUCUUUUCUUUUCGGAGCUCCAAGUUAUUUCAAUUAUAUCAUUUCAAAGCUUCAUCUAAUCAUUGCAAGGCUUCUCCUGGAGUUCUUUUCAACUUUCCAUUUCGUUUGAUCAUUCUUUUAUUAUCGGAGUUCUUCAUGGAGGCUCUACAUGGUACUUCAUCAAGGAUCCCUUUCAUUCUUCAAUUGUUCGUCAAGAUUUCUCUCGGAGUUAUGAUCCGUCAAGCUAUACUCUAAAAUAAACAUGGUGCUCAACACAUGUUUUGUUUUGAGGAGUUCAAGCAUUCUUCAUCUUGCAUUCCGAAGUGCAUUUCUUUCUCUUAUCUUUUGAGGUGGUGUUAUGUCAUUCUUGACAAUUUGAGUUCGCGUUUCAUGAUUCAUAUGUUGUCAAGAAUGAGAUAUUUUAAAUCCACCAAUCUCUAUGUUGGAGUUAUCUUGUGUCAUAUUUCACCUAAAGCCUUCCCUAAGGAAUGUUGCUAAUUGUGGUGUCUAACAAUGAUCCAAGUUUUCUCCUAUCCUCUCGGCGAGAGAAGUUUUCAUUUCUUCAUUGAUCUCAAGCAAGCAAUUGUUUUCGUUAGUGGCAAAAAUUUCACCUCAUAAUUUUGAGAUGUGUUCCAUAAGCCCUCAACAAACUUGUUCUUUUAGUUGUUGGGUUUUUUCCAACAACUCCGUUCUAACCUUCUUGCAAGGAUACGUUCCAAAUUCAUUUGUGGAAGGUGUUGUCAUUUUCUUCUCCAUUCUGUUAUUCCAAUGAUCUAUCUUCUAUUCUUUCUUCCGGAGGUUUUGUGAUGUUGCUCUCUUCGACCAAUCAUCUUGUUUUGUCAAGAUCAUGUAAUUUUUCCUUUCUUAUUCGUUUAGCCGGAGUGUCGUGUUUUCAUUCGAGUUCUCUCAUCUUAUCAAGUUUUGCCUCCCUUUUUCAACCGGAGUGCUGUCUGAAAUCUUUCUUACCCCUUGUGCCAUUCUUUCAUUAGUUCCGGAGGAAAUGUGUUGUUAAUUUCAUCGAGUAUCCACUCAUCUUGUCAAGAUCAUGUUCAAUUCCUUUCAUUUACAGUCAGAGUGCUGCCCAAAUUAUAUCAUUCUUAUUCCUUCCCUAUCUUGUUUUAACCGGAGUGGUUUAAAUAUCUAUCGUGUAAAUUAACCUCAAGGUUCACAUGGUGUUCCUUGUUUCUCUUUUCUACCGGUGUGCUUUCAUAUUCCUUUUGAUCCGUUAAGCUCUUGUUUCAUAUUCUUCAACCUACAAAGGUUCUCGCAAUGUUCCUUGUUCCUCUUGCUGAACGGAGUGUUUUAAAUUUUGUUCAUCUCCGUUGUGUCAUUUCCUCAAGCUUUGCGACCUCUCAAGGUUCUUUGGUUUCACUCAUUUGUCAAAGAAGCAAUUAGUUUUACCUCUUCUCUUCCCCUUCCGUUUCUCUCCGGUGCCAUCCUAGAUCUCGGGACGAGAUCCUCUUGUAGUGGUGGAGUGUUGCAAUGCCCCGAGACCGACGCUUCAGAAGACUUCCUUAUUUUCGUGAUCGCCGUGUGUUUCUUUUGUGCUUGCUCUUUUAUUUUUGCAUUGCAUCAUGUCAUCAUGCCAUCAUGUCAUUUAAUUUUUAAAACCCACCUAAAUAAAUUUCAUGGAUCUUCGAUCCAUUUAAAUCGAGGGAAUUCACAUGGUUAUUUCUCUUUAUAACAUAUCCUCCUAAUAUUUAUGGAGCUAUUAUAAAUAUUCCAUUAGUUUGGAAUUAACCGGAACACACUUGCAAAAUAAUUCCCAUGCCUAUCUCUUGUCAUAUUGCUUUUGGUCAUUCAUGUUGUUUCCAUGAGCAUCAUGUGCAUUGCACUCAUCCUUAUGUUACAUGUUACUUUCAUGUUGUGGGUGCAUCAGCCCUUGCUAUCUCUCUCUCAAGCCAUGCCCAUGUAUCAUCACCUCUCCCUUCCUUCUUCCUUCAUGUUGUUGCAAGCGACAUUAUUUCCCUCCUUCAUUAAUGUUCAUUCUUUUCCUGGAGCUAGCUCACCAUGCCUAAACCCUCUCUGCCAAUUUUUAACUCUUUUGGACUUGAUUUGGUUGGAACCAAAAUUGCCUCAAGUUUGAAUUUAGUUCAAACUUGCGAUAAUUUUCUUUCUCUAAAAAUGCCCAAACCAAUUAUUUCAAUUAGUGCAUAAUUCCAGCAUCGUAGGGAUAUUCUUAUAUCUCUCAUACACCCCUCUUUUAUCCCUGUGCUUUUCUGUUUAUUUUUCUGCCUGAGGCAAUGGAAAAGGAAGAGAGAGCAGCGGCCCAGCUUCCAGCAGGCCGGCGCAGUAGAAGGCAGCCCAGCAGCAGCCCACUUAUUCCCCCCAGAUCCUUUUCUCACCCAAAAACCCAGCCAACCCCCUCUUCCACUCGUCCCACGUGGCAACGCUGGACCCAUCCGUCAGCGGGGGAGACUGUAGCUAUCACCACCUUUCUCCUACCUCUCCUCCUCUGCUUUACACGCUCGCCAUGGCCACCGUGGCCGAGCCAGCUCGCCGCGCCCUCCUAUAAAACCAGCAGCCCUCACCCUAGGGUUCCUCCUCCUUCCUCUUUUCCCCUCCACGCCGCCGCCAUAGGUAAGGGGCACCCACGCACCUGCUUCCCCGCCUCCAGGAGCCAUGGCCGGCUCGGACGACGAGCUUCCCUGCGGCAUAGGAGCUCCGCCGGCCUCCCUCCUCGCGCCUCCGAGCACCUCCACGCCAUCAUGGUUCCAUUCAGACGCCAAGGCGCGCCCAAGGAUCGCCAAGUCCCUCGACGUCCUCUUUCUCUGCUUUGCCUUCUUCACGGAUCAGGGAAACGCAAGUUCGGCGAGCUUCCUCGUCGCCUUCUUCGUCUUCAAUCAAGGCCAGGAGCCGGAAGGACCCAAGGCCGACGCGAUCGACUCCUUCACGACGUCGUCUUCUCUACUUCCUCUUCUUCACCGACCCGAACACCUCCGCAACCGGUGCCUCCUCGUGCCUCUGUGGUCGCGCUUCCGACCUCGUCUUCUUGUCCCGAGCCCUUGGUGAGCAGCCGCUCCUCCCCGUCUCUCUAUGGUCUAGUUCGUCGCGGUAGCCGCCGAUCCCAUCGUGUCCGAGGCCAUGUCCGUUAAGUACGACCAUGGCAACGAGCUCGAGCUCGUGUUCUAGGCUUCUAGCCUAUGCUUGUCUCACCUGUGCAUGCAUCCACACUCAGCACUCACGCUCGCAGCACCCGCCAUCUCGCUCGCGAGCCCCGUUGCCCUGCUUCACCCGCCGCUGUUGCUCCUGCCUCGUCUGACUGUGCGCCGCAGCCGAGACGAGUUCCAGCUCGAUUCUCGAGCUCCGGACUCUUUCCUCCGCUCCCUGCAUGCAGGCGCGCACCCAUGUAUGUUUCCGCAACCCCGCCGGUCCUCUGCAACCACAACAGGGGUUGCUGCUGGCUCCCGUCCCCGGCGAGUCCCCGUGCUCACGCUUCAGGUUUUGUCCUGGUCGCGAUGCGCAUAUCCAUUAUCUUCUGCCGAUCUCCCUUUGUAUCAUGAGCACUUAGCUAGCCCAGUGGUUCCCCCCUCGUUCUCACUUCUAGGAGGUCUUGGGUUCAAAUCCCAGGCGCCUCUCUUUUGCUCUGUUCUUUUAUUUCUUUUGCACACACCCACAGCUGCUUGGGCCGAAUCCUCAUCUGGGCCGCUGCACCAUAAUGCUUCGGGCCCGUGCAUAUUUUUUUCCUGUGCUGUGAUUUUGUCAUUAAAUCCUGGACAUGCUUAUUACAGAAAUGCCCCUGUUUUAAACUGCUAAUAACUAUUUAACCAUGCAUCCAAAUAAAACAUGUCAUAUAUGUAACAUGCUUAGAAUUUCAUCUAGUUUCACAAUAUCGCACCUUCAUCCAUGUUUAAAAUGUUUAAAUUACUGUUUGCAUUUAAUUUGCAUAAAUGCCAUGUUUAAAUGAUUUAUUUCAUAGCUAAAUAACCGUAACUCGGAUUUUAAUAAAAUUUAUAUGCAAAUGGGGUAGAAAAAUGCCUAGUUCAACAUGGUGCACUUCAUUUUGCUGUUUAACAACAUUAAAAUUUCGUUUAUGGCAGAACAGUACCAAAUCUAUAAUAUGCAUAUGAGGAUUUUCCGGAAUUGUUGUUGUUUGUUUCCGGCCUCAUUUAACUUGCUUAAAUAGUUAGUUUCCAUAUGCCUCACCUCUUGCCAUGUUAAUCAACAUUUAAUAUUGUUGGGUACAUAAACAAGAGCGAACUAAAUAACUGGAAUGUGGUGUUUCGUCAAUAUGCAACUCAUUGCAUAUUGAGCUCCACUUAAUUUGUAGUGUCGUUUGUUGCACUUUGCCAUACCAUGCAUCAGUAAACCGGACAUGCAUCAUACUUGAUUUUGCAUCAUGCCAUGUGAAUGUGAUGGUUGUUUACCAUGUUGUUUGUUUCUUUCCGAUGUUCCUUCUUCUUGAUAGUUCUGGUUAUGUUCCGGUUGUGAGGAUUCGUUCGACUACAUCCGUUUGUCUUCUUCAUGGACUCGUUCUUCUUCCUAGCGGGAUUUCAGGCAAGAUGACCACCCCUCGAAAUCACUUCUAUCUUUGCUUUGCUAGUUGCUCGUUCUAUUGCCAUGCUACGCUACCUACCACUUGCUAUAUCAUGCCUCCCAUACUACCAUGUCAGCCCCUAACCUUUUCACCCUUCCUAGCAAACCGUUGUUUGGCUAUGUUACCGCUUUGCUCAGCCCCUUCUUAUAGCGUUGCUAGUUGCAGGUGAAGAUGAAGAUUGCUCCAUGUUGGAUUAUGUUUAUGUUGGGAUAUCACAAUAUCUCUUAUCUUAAUUAAUGCAUCUAUAUACUUGGUAAAGGGUGGAAGGCUCGGCCUUAUGCCUGGUGUUUUGUUCCACUCUUGCCGCCCCUAGUUUCCGUCAUACCGGUGUUAUGUUCCUUGAUUUUGCGUUCCUUACGCGGUUGGGUGAUUUAUGGGACCCCCUUGAUAGUUCGCUUUGAAUAAAACUCCUCCAGCAAGGCCCAACCUUGGUUUUACCAUUUGCUACCACCUAUCCCCUUUUUCCUUAGGUUCUGCAGACUCAAGGGUCAUCUUUAUUUUAGACCCCCCCCGGGCCAGUGCUCCUUCGAGUGUUGGUCCGAACCGAGCAGCCUGCGGGGCCACCUCGGGGAAACUCGAGGUCUGGUUUUACUCGUAGCUUGACUUAUCCGAUGUGCCCUGAGAACGAGAUAUGUGCAGCUCCUAUCGGGAUUUGUCGGCACAGCGGGCGGCUUUGCUGGUCUUGUUUUACCAUUGUCGAAAUGUCUUGUAAACCGGGAUUCCGAGACUGUUCGGGUCUUCCUGGGAGAAGGUUUAUCCUUCGUUGACCGUGAGAGCUUAUAAUGGGCUAAGUUGGGACACCCCUGCAGGGUAUAAACUUUCGAAGGCCGUGCCCGCGGUUAUGUGGCAGAUGGGAAUUUGUUAAUAUCCGGUUGUAGAGAAUUUGACACUUGACCUUAAUUAAAACACAUCAACCGCGUGUGUAGCCGUGAUGGUCUCUUUUUGGCGGAGUCCGGGAAGUGAACACGGUUUCUGGGUUAUGUUUGACGUAAGUAGGAGUUCAGGAUCACUUCUUGAUCAUUGCUAGUUGACGAUCAUUCCGUUGCUUCUCUUCUCGCUCUUGCUUGCCUAUGUUAGCCACCAUACAUGCUAGUGCUUGCUGCAGCUCCACCUCAUUACUCCAUCCUUUCCUAUAAGCUUAAAUAGUCUUGAUCUCGCGGGUGUGAGAUUGCUGAGUCCUCGUGACUCACAGAUACUUCCAAACAGUUGCAGGUGCCGACGAUACCAGUGCAGGUGACGCCACUGAGUUCAAGUGGGAGCUCGAUGAAGAUCUUGUUCGUUGUGUUGUUUCUUUUCAUUUUGAUCAGUAGUGGUGCCCAGUUGGGACGAUCGGGGAUCUAGCAGUUGGGUUGUCUUCUUUUAUGUUGGUUCCGUAGUCGGACCUAUGUGUGUAUCUUGAAUGAUGUAUGAAUUUAUUAUGUAUUGUGUGAAGUGGCGAUUGUAAGCCAACUCUUUAUCCCAUUCUUGUUCAUCACAUGGGAUUGUGUGAAGAUGACCCUUCUUGCGACAAAACCACAAUGCGGUUAUGCCUCUAAGUCGUGCCUCAACACGUGGGAGAUAUAGCCGCAUCGUGGGCGUUACUGUGAACCACCAUCAGUCUUAAAGACCUAGGGACUCCAAACCUCGGAAAAAUAAUUUCUUUAAGCAUCUUAAUAGAGGUGUUAUGAUCAGCACUACUAGUUGGAAUAGCUUCUACCCAUUUAGUAACGUAAUCAACAGCAACUAAAAUAUGAGUAUACCCAUUAGAGGCAGGAAACGGUCCCAUAUAAUCAAAGCCCCAAACAUCAAAUGGUUCAAUAACAAGUGAAUAAUUCAUAGGCAUUUCCUGACGUCUACUAAUAUUACCAAUUCUUUGACAUUCAUCACAAGAUAAGACAAACUUACGGGCAUCCUUGAAGAUAGUAGGCCAAUAAAAACCGGAUUGCAAUACCUUAUGUGCAGUUCUAUCUCCUGCGUGGUGUCCUCCAUAAGCCUCGGAGUGACACUUGCGUAGGAUCUGUUCCUGUUCAUGCUCAGGUACACAACGCCUAAUAACACCAUCUACUCCUUCUUUAUAAAGAUGUGGGUCAACCCAAAAGUAAUGUCUCAAAUCAUAGAAAAACUUUUUCUUUUGCUGGUAUGUGAAACUAGGUGGUAUAAAUUUAGCAAUAAUGUAAUUAGCAUAAUCAACAUACCAUGGAGCAGUACGAGAAGCAUUUAUGACAUUUAAUUGUUCAUCAGGAAAGCUAUCAUCAAUAGGUAGUGGGUCAUCAAGAACAUUUUCUAACCUAGACAAGUUGUCUGCAAUGGGGUUCUCAGCUCCCUUUCUAUCAAUAAUAUGCUAAUCAAAUUCUUGUAGCAAGAGAACCCAUCUAAUAAGUCUUGGUUUAGCAUCUUUCUUUUCCAUAAGAUAUUUAGUAGCAGCAUGAUCCGUGUGAAUAGUUACUUUAGAAUCAACAAUAUAAGGUCUCAACUUAUCACAAGCAAAUACAACUGCUAAGAAUUCUUUUUCAGUAGUAGCAUAAUUUCUUUGAGCACUAUCUAGAGUCUUACUAGCAUAUUGAAUAACAUUUAAUUUCUUAUCAACUCUUUGCCCUAGAACAGCACCUACAGCAUAAUCACUAGCAUCACACAUAAUUUCAAAGGGUAAAUUCUAAUCAGAUGGCUGAACAAUAGGUGCAGAAAUCAAUGCUUUCUUAAGUAUUUCAAAUGCUUCUACACAAUCAUCAUCAAAGUCAAAUGGUAUAUCUUUUUGUAAUAGAUUGGUCGGAGGCCGAGAAAUUUUUGAGAAGUCCUUAAUGAACCUCCUAUAAAAAUCGGCAUGACCAAGGAAACUUCUUAUACCUUUGAUGUCCUUGGGACAUGGCAUCUUUUCAAUAGCAUCAACUUUAGCUUUAUCAACUUCAAUGCCUCUUUCAGAAAUUUUAUGCCACAAAACAAUGCCUUCAUUAACCAUAAAGUGGCACUUCUCCCAAUUCAAGACAAGGUUAGUGUCUUCACAUCUCUGCAAAACUCGAUCAAGGUUGCUCAAGCAAUCAUCAAAAGAGGAUCCAUAGACGGAGAAAUCAUCCAUGAAAACCUCAGAAAUCUUUUCACAAAAAUCAAAGAAUAUAGCUAUCAUGCAUCUUUGAAAGGUAGCAGGUGCAUCACAUAAACCAAAAGGCAUACGUCUAUAAGCAAAAGUACCGAAAGGACAAGUAAAAGUGGUCUUUCCUUGAUCAUCAGCUGACACAGGUAUUUGAGAGAAACCAGAAUAACCAUCUAGAAAGCAAAAAUGUGUAUGUUUGGAUAAUCUUUCUAGCAUUUGAUCAAUGAAUGGCAAGGGGUAAUGAUCUUUUUAGUAGCUUUAUUUAAUUUGCGGAAAUCAAUUACCAUCCUAUAACUUGUAAUAAUUCUUUGAGGAAUCAAUUCAUCUUUAUCAUUACGAACGACAGUAAUACCUCCCUUCUUAGGGACACAAUGGACAGGACUUACCCACUGACUAUCAGCAACGGGAUAAAUUAUACCUACCUCAAGGAGCUUUAAUAUUUCCUUUCUUACCACUUCUUUCAUCUUAGGAUUUAAUCGUCGUUGAUGAUCAAUAACUGGUUUGGCCUUUUUCUCCAAAUUUAUUUUAUGUUGGCAUAGAGUGGGACUAAUGCCCUUAAGAUCAUCAAGAGUAUAUCCAAUAGCAGCACGGUGCUUCUUCAGAGUUUUCAAUAAUUUUUCUUCCUCCUUCUCUGAAAGGUUAGCACUAAUAAUAAUAGGAUAUAUCUUCUUUUCAUCGAGAUAAGCAUAUUUAAGAGUAUCAGGCAAUGGUUUAAGCUCAAACACGGGAUCACCCUUGGGUGGAGGAGGAUCCCCUAAGAUUUCAACAGGCAAGUUGUGUUUUAGAAUAGGUCCCUGUUUAAAGAACACUUCAUCUAUUUCCCUUCUUUCAUUCAUAAACAUAUCAUUUUCAUGGUCUAGCAAAUAUUGUUCUAAAGGAUCACUAGGAGGCACGGCAAUAGAAGCAAGACCAAUAAUUUCAUCCUUACUAGGAAAUUCCUCUUCACGGUGUUGUCUACAAAACUUAGAAAAAUUAAACUCAUGAGACAUAUCACCUAGACCAAUAGUAACAACAUCCUUUUCGCAGUCUAUCUUAGCAUUAACAGUGUUCAAGAAGGGUCUACCAAAUAUAAUGGGACAAAAGCUAUCUUGUGGAGAACCAAGAACAAGAAAAUCAGUAGGAUAUUUAGUUUUCCCACACAAGACUUCAACAUCCCUAACAAUUCCAAUUGGUGAUAUAGUAUCUCUAUUGGCAAGCUUAAUUGUGACAUCAAUUUCUUCUAACUCAGCGGGUGCAAUAUCAUGUAUAAUUUCUUUAUAUAAAUCAAUAGGUAUUGUACUAGCACUAGCACCCAUAUCACACAAGCCAUGAUAACAAUGAUCUCUUAUUUUAACAGAAAUAACAGGCAUGCCUACCACAGGUAUAUGUUUAUCUUUAGCACAAGGUUUAGCAAUUCUAGCAGUCUCAUCACAGAAAUAAAUAACAUGCCCAUCAAUAUUAUCAGCCAAGAGAUCUUUAACAAUAGCAAUAUUAGGUUAAAAUUUAACUUGCUCAGGAGGUGUAUAAGUUCUAAUAAUGCUCUUGCGAACCACAGUUGAAGCUUUAGCAUGAUACUUUAUUCUAUCAGGGAAAGGUGGUUUCUCAACAUAAGCAGUAGGAACAAUAGGAUCAUUAUAAGUGAUAGUCUUUUCUUCAACUUUAAUAGGUGCAACUACUUUUACUUCUAUGGGAGGAUGAUAUUUAAACCACUUCUCCUUAGGGAGAUCGACGUGAGCAGCAAAAGAUUCACAAAAAGAAGCUACUAUCUCAGAGUCAAGUCCAUAUUUAGUGUUAAAUUUAUGGAAAACAUCGGUAUCCAUAAAAGAUUUAACACAAUCAAACUUAGGUGUUAUACCUUACUCCUUACCUUCGUCGAGGUCCCAAUCUUCAGAGUUGCAUUUAAUUCUUUCCAAUAAAUCCCAUUGAAUUCAAUAGUCUUCAUCAUAAAAGAACCAGUACAAGAAGUAUCGAGCAUGGUGCGAUUGUUGUCAGAAAGCCGAGCAUAAAUUUUUUGAAUAAUCAUUUCUCUUGAGAGCUCAUGAUUGGGGCAUAAAUAUAACAUUGACUUAAGCCUCCCCUAAGCUUGAGCGAUGCUUUCUCCUUCGCGAGGCCAAAAAUUAUAUAUAUAAUUACGAUCACGAUGAACAAGUGCAUAGGAUAAAACUUCUGAUGAAAUUCCAGUUUCAAUCGUUUGUAGUUCCAUGAUCCCAUAUCAUCACAUAGCCUAUACCAUGUCAAUGCAUCUCCCUUCAAAGAUAAAGGGAAGACCUUCUUCUUCAUAACAUCAUCGGGCAUACCUGCAAGCUUAAAUAAUCCACAAACUUCAUCCACAUAUAUUAGGUGCUCAUCAGGAUGUAAUGUUCCGUCUCCUGCAAAAGGAUUAGCUAGCAGUUUUUCUAUCAUACCCGAAGGAAUUUCAAAGUAGACAUUUGCAUUUUCAGUAGGUUCAGUAGGUUGAGGAGCAACUCUUUGCUCUACCGGUCGGGGUGAACUUACCCCGAACAAGCCCCUCAGAGGAUUACUUUCCAUAGUAACAAGUGACAGUAAAUUUCAGCACACUAUAUAAAUUUUUCCUUACCAAAUUCCACCUACCAAAGGCGCUUCACUCCCCGGCAAAGGCGCCAGAAAAGAGUCUUGAUGACCCACAAGUAUAGGGGAUCUAUUGUAGUCCUUUCGAUAAGUAAGAGUGUCGAACCCAACAAGGAGCAGAAGGAAAUGAUAAGCGGUUUCAGCAAGGUAUUCUCUGCAAGCACUGAAAUUAUAGGUAACAGAUAGUUUUGUGAUAAGAUAAUUUGUAACGAGCAACAAGUAACAAAAGUAAAUAAAGUGCAGCAAGGUGGCCCAAUCCUUUUUGUAGAAAAGGACAAGCCUGGACAUACUCUUAUAUAAAGAAAAGCGCUCCCGAGGACACAUGGGAAUUAUCAUCAAGCUAGUUUUCAUCACGCUCAUAUGAUUUGCGUUCGGCACUUUGAUAAUUUGAUAUGUGGGUGGACCGGUGCUUGGGUGCUGUCCUUACUUGGACAAGCAUCCCACUUAUGAUUAACUCCUAUUGCAAGCAUCCGCAACUACAAAAGAAGUAUUAAGGUGAACCUAACCAUAGCAUGAAACAUAUGGAUCCAAAUCAGCCCCUUACGAAGCAACGCAUAAACUAGGGUUUAAGCUUCUGUCACUCUAGCAACCCAUCAUCUACUUACUACUUCCCAAUGCCUUCCUCUAGGCCCAAAUAAUGGUGAAGUGUCAUGUAGUCGACGUUCACAUGACACCACUAGAGGAGAGACAACAUACAUCUCAUCAAAAUAUCGAACGAAUACCAAAUUCACAUGACUACUAAUAGCAAGACUUCUCCCAUGUCCUCAGGAACAAACGUAACUACUCACAAAGCAUAUUCAUGUUCAUAAUCAUAGGAGUAUUAAUAUGCAUAUAGGAUAUGAACAUAUGGCCUUCCACCAAAUAAACCAACUAGCAUCAACUGCAAGGAGUAAUCAACACUACUAGCAACCUACAGGUACCAAUCCCGGACUUAGAGACAAGAAUUGGAUACAAGAGAUGAACUAGGGUUUGAGAGGAGAUGGUGCUGGUGAAGAUGUUGAUGGACAUUGGCCCCCUCCCGAUGAGAGGAGCGUUGGUGAUGACGAUGGCGAUGAUUUCCCCUCCCGGAGGGAAGUGUCCCCGGCAGAACAGCUCCGCCAGAGCCCUAGAUUGGUUCCGCCAAGGUUCCGCCUCGUGGCGGCGGAGUCUCGUCCCGAAAGCUUGCCUAUGAUUUUUCCUCGGACGAAAGACUUCAUAUAGCAGAAGAUGGCCACCGGAGGGCCACCAGGGGGCCCACGAGGCAGGGGGUGCGCCCAGGGGGUAGGGCGCGCCCCCCACCCUCGUGCCCAGGGUGUGGGUCCCCUCUGGUAUUUCUUCCGCUCAAUAUUUUAUAUUAUUUCCAAAAAUAACUUCCGUGGAGUUUCAGGACUUUUGGAGUUGUGCAGAAUAGGUCUCUAAUAUUUGCUCCUUUUCCAGCCCAGAAUUCUAGCUGCCGGCAUUCUCCCUCCUUAUGUAAACCUUGUAAAAUAAGAGAGAAUAGGCAUAAGUAUUGUGACAUAAUGUGUAAUAACAGCCCAUAAUGUAAUAAAUAUCAAUAUAAAAGCAUGAUGCAAAAUGGACGUAUCAGUGCCCAGAUUGCUCAAAUCCCUAAUUCGCCGCCAACCCAAGCAAAGUUCGAAUCGCCCCUCGUCUCGUCUCUUUCCCCACCUCUGUGCCGGACGACGACGACGAAGAUGACGGUCGCGCUUCACCACCGCACCGGAGCUACCUCAUCUACGCCCUCGUCCACCGCACCGGGUGGUCCACUGACAACGUCGGCCGCCGCAACCGACGUGCCUCACAGACACCGACUUCCACCGCAUCAGGUGCGCUUCACCGACGCCGUCUCCCAGCUCACCGGGGCUACUUCACUGAGCACAUCGUCGCGCCUCCGCCCGCCGAGGCCGCUGGUGUUGGGGAAUGUAGUAAUUUCAAAAAAUUUCCUACGCACACGCAAGAUCAUGGUGAUGCAUAGCAACGAGAGGGGAGAGUGUUGUCCACGUACCCUCGUAGACCGAUAGCGGAAGCGUUAACACAAUGCGGUUGAUGUAGUCGUACGUCUUGAUGAUCCGACCGUUCAAGUACCGAACGUACGGCACCUCCGAGUUCAGCACACGUUCAGCUCGAUGACGUCCCUCGAACUCCGAUCCAGCCGAGUGUUGAGGGAGAGUUUCAUCAGCACGACGGCGUGGUGAUGAUGAUGAUGUUCUACCAACGCAGGGCUUCGCCUAAGCACCGCUACGAUAUUAUCGAGGUGUAAUAUGGUGGAGGGGGGCACCGCACACGGCUAAGAGAUCAAUUAGAUCAAUUGUUGUGUCUAUGGGGUGCCCCCCCAGCCCCCGUAUAUAAAGGAGCAAGGGGGAGGCCGGCCGGCCCUUGUUGGCACGCCAGCAGGAGUCCUCCUCCUAGUAGGAGUAGGACUCCCCUCUUUCCUACUCCUACUAGGAGGUGGAAAGGAAGGGGGAGAGGGAGAAGGAAAGGGGGGCGCCGCCGCCCCCCCCCCCCCCUCUCCUAGUCCAAUUCAGACCAGAGGGGAAGGGGGCGUGCGGCCCCUCCUGGCUGCCCCUCUCUCUCUCCAUUAAGGCCCAUAAGGCCCAUUACUUCUCCCGGGGGGGUUCCGGUAACCCUCCGGCACUCCGGUUUUCUCCGAAAUCACCCGGAACACUUCCGGUGUCCGAAUAUAGUCGUCCAAUAUAUCAAUCUUUAUGUCUCGACCAUUUCGAGACUCCUCGUCAUGUCCGUGAUCACAUCCGGGACUCUGAACAACCUUCGGUACAUCAAAACAUAUAAACUCAUAAUAUAACUGUCAUCGUAACGUUAAGCGUGCGGACCCUACGGGUUCGAGAACUAUGUAGACAUGACCGAGACACGUCUCCGGUCAAUAACCAAUAGCGGAACCUGGAUGCUAAUAUUGGUUCCCACAUAUUCUACAAAGAUCUUUAUCGGUCAGACCGCAUAACAACAUACGUUGUUCCCUUUGUCAUCGGUAUGUUACUUGCCCGAGAUUCGAUCGUCGGUAUCUCAAUACCUAGUUCAAUCUCGUUACCGGCAAGUCUCUUUACUCGUUCCGUAAUACAUCAUCCCGCAACUAACUCAUUAGUUACAAUGCUUGCAAGGCUUAUAGUGAUGUGUAUUACUGAGUGGGCUCAGAGAUACCUCUCCGACAAUCGGAGUGACAAAUCCUAAUCUCGAAAUACGCCAACCCAACAAGUACCUUCGGAGACACCUGUAGAGCACCUUUAUAAUCACCCAGUUACGUUGUGACGUUUGGUAGCACACAAAGUGUUCCUCCGGUAAAUGGGAGUUGCAUAAUCUCAUAGUCAUAGGAACAUGUAUAAGUCAUGAAGAAAGCAAUAGCAACAUACUAAACGAUCGAGUGCUAAGCUAACGGAAUGGGUCAGGUCAAUCACAUCAUUCUCGUAAUGAUAUGAUCCCGUUAAUCAAAUGACAACUCAUGUCUAUGGCUAGGAAACAUAACCAUAUUUGAUCAACGAGCUUGUCAAGUAGAGGCAUACUAGUGACACUCUGUUUGUCUAUGUAUUUACACAUGUAUCAUGUUUCCGUUUAAUACAAUUCUAGCAUGAAUAAUAAACAUUUAUCAUGAUAUAAGGAAAUAAAUAAUAACUUUAUUAUUGCCUCUAGGGAAUAUUUCCUUCAGCUGGGGCUUCACUAACGGUCUCGUCCACCGCAUCGUAGCGCUCCGCUGCCACUCAAGAUCUGCAUCCAUGCGCAGCCAGCCAACGCCAGUGCAUCACCCUCAACGGCUCUGAAGUGACCCGCACUCUAGCUAGGCAAGCAUUCCCAAACGCCGGCCCGAACUAGGUAUCCACACAUCACUCCCUUGUGCAUUGUUCCGACGAUGUUUGGAUAUCCUUUCACUGCGCUUACACGCCUAUCCAACUCUGACUUUAACCUUAUUUCUUCUAGAGAUAUCAUCUGAAACAAGCAAAUCCAUUUUUUAGCGAAGCAUGAUGGCGCUACGGGAUCUGGUACACAUCCUGCACACCUGUAUAACCUUGUAAGUAUUUUUCCUCCAGUACAACAGCAAGGUCGAUUCCUCUUAUUUGAUCAGCCAUUCGCCGUGUCAAAAAUGCAGAGCGGGAUGCAAGGAGCACAAGGCCUGCACAUCCAAGCAAGUGGUAACAUGGACUUGUACAUGGAACAUCCCAAGCGCAAGCAGAGCUGCAGUGAGCCUAUACAACGAGCUAGCGUAAGUCCCUGCAUUUCAUUUAAUUCGUACUGGCAUUCGUGUAUGAUUUGUGUGCGGUGGCGGAUCCACGAAUUCAAGUUACCAGGGGCAACAUUUAACUUAAAAAAUACGAAGGCACUUGCACUCUGGAAAUCAACAUAACUUGAGAAAUGUGAAGCUACAUGCACUUUGAAAACCAGCUAAUGAUCCAAAGUAGUUCAGAUUAUAAACACUAAAUGAUGCAAGCACCAAAAAACACAAAAUGCAACAUGGUGUACAAGGACUACAAACAUGGUCUGUACCUGCUUGAAUUAUUCGUUCUCUGGCUGAAAAUAUCGAAGUGUAAUUGCACCUAUAACCAGUGCGCAAACUGCAUAUCAAUAUAUCUAUCCUGCACAAGUAUGCCAAUAGUUUCAAACAACAGAUUAGAAAAGUAUUUAUGCUACGUUGUCAUGAUACGGGGACUUUGUGGUAGAUGGCCUCGACGUUUCCUCAAGCCAUGAAAAUGCACUAUAAUUUGCUUGUCAUCAAUGCCUACAAACCUCUACGUCUCUCUCAACAUAGCAGAUCAUCAUUAGACACUAAAUCCUUCAAUGGGAGCUUGCAAAAUGCUUGCAUUAGAUGCCUCAUUAGACACUAUAUGUUCAUCACCAGGAGCAUGUAAAAUGUUUGCAUCAAAUCCUUCAUUAGCAGUCUGUUCAUUAGACACUUCAGGCUCAAGAACAACAUGAGCUUGGAUGUUUGCACCGGAAACUUGAUUAGAUACAUCAGAUUCAGUCAGUUCAGUAUUGAUUGGGGGAGUUAUAAAAUAAGUAGAAGUAGAAACUGGUUUCAUUUUCUCAUAGAUUCCCUACAUACAAGCAGUUUUACAACACCGUCAGGUUUAACUAUUGGCCAGAAAUUGAAGAGUUGAAUUAGAUAUAAUCAGGGAUGUGAUGUACCUGCUCGUUGCGCAUGCUACUCUUGCAAGCUGUGACUGUCCGUUUGCGCAAGCUCGAUGCCAUGCUCGUGCUGCCGCCGCUGCCUCCCACGCAGGCUACACCCAGGGUUGGAUCUUCAUCUUCUUGUCCUUCCGUUCGCUUGAAGCCCGGUGACCGCCCUCCAACGAGGGCGCGAGGAAGUGCUGUGUCGGUCUGUCCAGCGACGGCUAGGUUAGGAGCAAACCAGACUGGAGGGUGGAGCGGAUGAAUUGGGAUUUUUCCUGCUGUCGAUCGAUAUGGGAGGCGCUCGUCUGGGCCGUGAGCCUGCUAUAGGGCCUGCCUUGCACUUAUGUUAUUGGCCUAUCCAAAUUGAAACAUUUUUCUUCAUUUUUUACAUUGCCUGCUCGUGCGUUGGGACGAACAAAACUAGCCUGGGUCAACCUGGACGACUCAAACUAGGUGCACACUUUCGAGCCACCCGAGGCGGCCGCCCAUACUAGCCCCUAUGAUGGCGUCGCCCCUUUUUGCAUGUAUGAUAGGGGUAGUGAAAGAUAUUCCAGUGGCGCUUUUGAUUUACCCACAGAAUGGUUGAAUUGCUUGUUUUUAUGAACUGAGUUCGCCAAUAAUGUGAAGGAUGCCAGUCUUUUCAUCCUAUUGUAGUGCCAUGGACUCCUUCGUACAACCUUGUAAGCGAAAAAGAAGUUGCAGUGUGCCUGUACAAAGAACUAGCGUAAGUUCAGUUACCUGCUUCUCGGAAUUUUAGUUAGCCACUUAUUGCAAAAAAAUUCAAUUACGUUGCUUGUCUUAAUUUAGUUUGCUACUGAUUACAUAAUGCCACAGCCUGUUAAUCCUAUUAUAGACUGCACCUAUCUAUGUGUUUGAUACUUACUGUUAAGAAUUACCUGUUUGCCUGAACUUAAAUAGCUACUUGUUUGUUUAACUGCUUUGCUGCUGCAACAGCGGGUUACAAUGAUGUUAAUAACUACUUUUCAGCAUCGAAUUGAAACUCUUUAAUUCCUUGUUUGUUUAACUGGUUUGCUGUUAUAACUCCCAGUUGAGAUGUUUUGCUAACUUCAACUUUUCUGAAUCCAAUCGGAACUUUAAUGGCAAAACAGGUUAGCCCAAGAUCAAAGAGCGAGGUCCCCAUGGACGUUGUAUCAUCCCACAACAAUGGCACCGGCCCAAUCGUGCAUUAUGAAUUGCCAACUGCUGAUGCUCUAGAGGCUAAACUAGUGGUAGAAAGAGAUUCUGCUUCUGCACUUAGAGAUGAAGUUGACAUGUUGAGGAAGCAAACAACACAAUAUUUGCUUCUGCUUCUGCAGUACUCAAGACAACCAUUAAAUAUUUGGUGGAUUUCAAAAUGAAGCAAGCUGAGACUGACCACAUUGUUAAGGUCCUGAAGGAAAAAAGGAAAUUAAAUUCCCACUUGGUAAAUCAUAGGUGAAAUGUUCUUUCCAUCAUUGAAUAACCUUUGUGUUGUUUGUUCAUGUAAUCAAUCAAACCAUUUGUUUUAGAGAUCAUGUAAUAAUUGUUUUUUGUUUUUUGUUUUUUGGUUUGUAAUUUUAUUUGAGGACAAGUCUGUAUUAAUUGAUAAGACUUGGAGACAUUUCAUUUUGAUUGUUGUGCCAGACCUACAAAUAUGCCAAUCGGGCUGAAUGUGCAUUCAGCAAUAAUAGUAGUAUAGAUGGACCAUAAGUGGCAUGCAUUGGAAAGGGCCAAGAUGCUGUAGUAGCUUGGCUAAAAAAGGAUGUUGUUGUAGCAAAGAAAAGUACAGCGGCCUGGCUUAUGUAUGUUAGUUGAUAUUAUUGAUCCAUAUACUCUAUAAGUGUUUAUAUGUCUGUUAGUUCUGUACAUUCUUGGUUGAUUCACUCGGUAUUUGAAUCUUGAUACAUCGCUUGUGUACAUAUCUAAAUGGGAGUACACAUUAUGCUGCAUGUGACAUUUGAGUUGGACAUGAAGUGUUCCAAAUAUUCGAAAUCACCUUAAACUGGAUUCUAGCUUCUGAAUUUGAGUAUCGGCAUUUGUAUACCAUAUUUAUAUAUGAUAGUGGAAUACAUCUUUGUCGUCCUUUUGAAGAUAUAUAAAAACACAUAGAAUGAUUUAUAAAGAUUCGUAUAGGAAUACAAAAUGGAUUCGAAUUUAGUUGCCAGCGUAAACGUGGAUGCUUAUUGUCCCAAAAUUCGAAAGAAGCGGCAAAAUGUCCACUCCCACGUCGGCUGCCCGAAACCAAGUAUUUGGGAGAUGGAAAUUACUGUCUACCCAUUAUACGGACAAUCCAUCGGCCCGAUUUCCACUGCUCUAAAUAGGGGUAGGAUAGUAACUUCAAUAAGACGUGACACGACCGCCUCUGAGCCCAUUCUGACACGGUGGGCGCCAAACAUGGGCGGCAAAACACAUUUGAUUCAAGCUCGUCCGAAAGACCUCUGUUUCUCCCUCCAUUUCCCCAUUCAUACACGGUGGGCGGCAAAACAAACUCGACUCGGCCGAAAUCGAUGUAGGAAAAUAUUUUCAAUAGGGGCAGGUUUGUAACUUCACUCAGACGUGACACAACUGCCCUACCUGUCAGCCCUGUUCAUACACCGUGGGCGCCAACUAUGGGUGCCAACCACCCUCUCCUCACCCGAAAUCGCUAUGGGCAAAUAUUGGCGAGAUGCGAGAUUACCGUCAUAUCCCCAACCGACGAGACGUCCAAAUUUUAAACGGGGGCUAAGUUCGUAACUUUCCCAUAUUUCAUACAGGUGCGUCCAAAAACAUGGUUCCCCGUACCUGUCCCUCCAUUUUCCCAUUCAUACACCAUCCGCGCUAGAACACCAUCCCCACACCAGCCUUCGUCCGCCACCCCAUCCAUCGCCGCCGUCCUCCACCACAUCCAUCGCCGCCGUCCUCCACUACAUCCAUCGCCACCAUCCUCCACCAUGCUGGAGCGCCUACCAAGACCGCGUCGUCCACUGCUAGAGAUGGACGUUUCUCAUCCACGGCGAUGGACCAAGAGCCUUGCAUCACGUCAUCUCGCUUCAUCAGCGCCAUCGUCCUCUUUGCCGGGGCCGCUCACACGACCUUCUCUUCCACCGCAACGAGACUUAUCCCCCGAUGCACCCGUCUACUGUCGUAGAUCUGCUUCAACGCCACCGACAGCCAUUGCACCCCCGAUGCCUACACGGCGCCGCAAGAGAGGUGGUACUUCAUAUCUCCUCAACUUUUUGAUCUCAACCAGAAAAUAGAUCUUAACUUGGUUACUCUACUUUCUUUUCAGCUCUUAGAAUUUAGUUCCUAGUUCGAAGCAAACAAUGGCUACUAAAUAUCAUUUCUCCGGUUUCCCCCUUUUAUUAUCACUAUACGAUCAGAAUACGUGCUUUGUGUCAUAAUAGCACUGCUCGACCAAUCAAGCUAAACAAGCUUAGUUGUUCAAAUACGAAUCUGAUAUUAUUAAAACAGAUUCAUUUAAUUGGUCAGCUAAAUGUUCCUAAAUUAGUUUUGAAAAUGCAUGUUCGCCGCUCGGGUGUGUAUCUCUACAGGGUGCCCACGGUGGACCAGCCCACCCUGGGAUUUUGGGUCGUCCCAGGCCCCGAUUCCCCUCUGUUCUGCUGCGCGCUUCCGAUCUCUACUCGCCCCCAACUGCCUGCCUCGCCGGAGACUUGCCGUCCCCGGACGGCAUGACUCUAGGAGGAGACGCCGGACUAACAGGAGGUCAGGAGCCGCUCGCCCAACAGCGUCACCGCUGCCCGGGCGCGCCGCCGUGCCUACCUUCCCAGUCCGUUCAGGGCUCAGGCGUGCAGCACCCACUAAGCCAACCCGAUUUAUCCUGACAUAAGUCCUCAACACUUAGCAGCCACUCCUCAUCACAUAUUUUCUAAUUGAUUCAUUACUCAUUAGGCAGGACUGUCAUUAGGGUUUGUUGUGUGCUCAGUGCUACCUACACUUAAUGGUUCAGAUGUAUUUCGGUAAUCUUUAGUACCUGUAAAGUUCAUAGGGUUUUCAAAAUUCCGGCCCUAGGAACAGACACUAGUCAUUUUGGAUUGUUGGUCGUAGUGACAUUGACCCAGAUUACUACUGCAAGCCAGGUUUGUUGAAAAUUUUACUUGUCUUUCUUACUCAUUCGAUAUAAUAUCCAAUUAUUCACGUCGAUUAGUUGCAAACAAUAAGUGCUAGACAAACUUCUUGAUUCAGAUUUUGGACGGUCUCUUACUGCAGUUACAAUUCUGCAUACUUGUCCUAGUGAGCUCACAAGUAAAUGAUUGAUUCACUACAUCUAUGCUUACCUUGUCAUAUUUGUUGUCAAUAUUCUUUUAUUGUGGACCACCCUGUUUCUAAAUACUGCAACCGUAGACAUGAGUGAAUAGUAUUUCUCUAUGUGAUUUCUUCCAUCAUGUGUGGGCAACGAACACUGCAUUGUAUAGAAAGAAAGUGUCAUUUCCAACUUUUACAUAGGCUUCGAUCUUUUACAUGGAAUACAAUCUGCCUACUUGCUUUGUGUCGCACUACCAACACUCCACCCUUGAAGCUAAACAUUAUGCCACUCAUAAUUCCUUAGUUUAUUUGUUCAAAUACGAAUUUCAUAUAAUUCUAAUGUUCCUACUUCAGUUUUGAAAUGUGUGUCUACCUGUUAUAGAGACAUAAGGGGUUUGUAUUUCUGUGUGUGGUCUAGUUAGCACGGUUGGGGUGAACUUUGCAUAUGCAGGGGUUUAUAGGGAGACACUCUUCGAGUUGAAUCCGCAAUGCAUUCCAUAGAUAAUCUGACUACUUUUUAUGUUUUCAUGAAUCUCAGAUUCUGAACAGCAUCAUAAUGAUUAUGAGCUUGCGCGCAUGAAAAGAAUAAAGCAGAACAAUGCUAUGGCUGUCAAACUUGGCAUUAAGGGACUGAAAUCAAGUCUGGAUGCAAUGCAAUGCAAACACUCUCCACCUACAGAUUCAUGCUCAGAAUAUGAUCCUAACAGUGAUUCUGAGCUAGAGGGAGACCUAAGUCAAUGUAGCUCCCUAGUGGAGGAGUCAGAGGAAGAUGCCCUAUCUUAUUCACCCAUCAAGGUGCUUGCUCUAACUUUCCAAGGUUAUAUUUGCCGCACAUAUCUUGCAACUGAUGCUUUGCAUUGCUUCUACUUUGUUGAACUGCCAUUAGCUUAGUUUACACAUCGUGUAUGUGAAUACGGCCUGCCUAUCCAUUUUCAGUACAUAUUCCAUCUGUCAUCAUACCAUAUUUAUCCAUUCAAAUGUUGUUCUUGUGUAUCAGACGUUCAAAAGGAAGAGGGCGAUUGCUGAUCGUGGAGGAGCACAAGCAAAGUAUUUGGAAAAGGUAGUGGCACCUGAUAAAUCAAAUAGCCGAUUAGGUGUAGUUGCAAUAUCACCUGACCCACAAAACACCCCAACUCUAGUAGACUCUAGCCCUACUACACUGGUCAUUUCUGAUGCCCCAACUAAGCAGACCCCAACUGCAGCAAACAUUAUGAUUAUGCCAGUUGACAUAGCACCAGCUCUACGACGCAAAACCCCCAUUCCAGCAAAGAGUACACCAAAUCCAGUUGCCAAAUCCCUUUUCAAACCAGAGAGAGCUCCAAUUGCAGCAAAUAGGACCCCUGUUCCAUUUCUUCCCAGUUUAGAAGACAAAGCUUAUAUUGUUGUCAGGAACUUUGUGCGCAUCUUUCCUUCAUGGAAAGAUUAUACCGCAGACACAGAACAAUUUCCAGUCUUCCUCCGCAACUUACGCGUAAGUAAUGUACUAAUGUUAUUCAUGGUCAUUACUGCAUAUGUUUCUGCUGACAGAAGACACAAGAUUUCAUUCUUUUAAAUAGGCGAGGACCAAACUGGAUUGUGAAGACGAGCAAGGGUUGGUUGCGCUUUUCAAGCACUCGCUGAUGAAGUAUCGUUCCUACCUGAGGAAAGCGCACUUCGAUGGCAAGCCUCUAAACGAAAUUUCUGUAAAGUCUUCGGUGCUACAUUUAUCCGACGGUGACUGGAAUAAUCUUGUUACACAUUGGCCUCGGCUGCAGCGUAAGGUACUAUCUAUGAUAUCACAUCACAAUUUGAACUACAUUUCUGCAUUUGCCUUAACGUCUCACUUGUACGAAAACUAUUAGCAGAAGAACAUUCGUUCUCAAGGGACCACAGAAUCUCGCAACUAUACUGCACACUGCAUUGCUCUUGUGAGUACCUCUUGCCCUGUAUGACCAUACUUACUUUCAUAGUUGUUUGAUUAUGUAGCAUCACUGCACAUGUUAGCCUCGUUAGCGUCCAUUUGGUGGACAUUAUAAGAUCCGUAUGGACUCUUACAUAAAUUUAGAAUCAACCCAAUGCUUUUGAAGAGGUUUAGCUCUGCAGUCCUCUUGUAAGGACUGAACGUCGUCUAUCAUUGUACUUACAUUAACAGCUACUCCCUCCGUCCCAUAAUAUAAGAACAUUUUGUACAGUACACCAGUGUUCAAAACACUCUUGUAUUAUGGGAAGAGGGAUUGGUUCAUUGUGUAGCAUUCUGCAUCUUAUCUCCCCCGCCCACCAUUUACUAAAAAAGAUCAGAUCUAUAUUUAAUGUUACUAAAAAGUAGAAUACACAGACAAUGCCAGUGCAGAAGUGUAGCCCAUUGCUCUUGUCAGUACAUUUUGUCCUGUAAUGCUUGUACUUCCAGGGAUUGUUAGUUGAUUAUGUAGCAUCAAUCUGCAUCUUAUCUUCAUUAUCCUCUAUCCCUUCCAGUAUUAUCAUAUCUAUAAUUACUCUCUACAAAAUGUAGAGUACAGGCAAUGCUUAUGAACAAGAUUAUGUGCUGAAAUUCUUGAGUUAUCCUUCCCUUGACAUGGAGAAGGGCAUUAUAAAGCCGGUGUUAACUGUUAAUGUAAGUCAGUCCUUCUAAAGCCUUUAUCCUCAACUGCUAUUUAAUUUGCUCAUACUCCCUAUCAUUUACUGCUGUUUAGUUUGCUGUUUCUACCAAAAUGCAUGUUCGCAAGAACCGUAAGUUCUAAGUUUUACUUGUAAAACCAAAUUCCUUAUUCAUACCAUGCACAUUACUCAAUACUCCCUAUAUGUAUGCUUGUUUUUGUGGAUCUAUAAUCCAGUGUGUGGUGAAGCAGCCCACGUUUGCACCUUGUCAUCUCCUGUUUUAUCUUACUGAUGUGGCUGAUGAUAUGAACAACAUGCCAUGCACAUUAACCAAAAUAGAUACAAUGAUUUUCUUUGCCCUUCAUCUAUGCUUGUUGUGUUGACAUGGUAAUCCAGUAGUGUGGUGAAGCUCCCCGCAUUAUGAACAAUGCCAAAUUAUGCUAUUGAUAUUUUGAACUUACUCUUUAUUUUCUAAUUUGAAAUUGGAUGGAAUUGACAGCACAGUUAUCAUCUUUGUUUAUACACAUGCAAAACCUAUCAUCUCUCUGCUUUGUUUCAGGGUGAUAUGCGUGAUGGCAUGCACAAGUCUGCUGAAGGCUGUGCGACAAACCCAACAUAUAUUGCAGCAAAGAAGGCAAAACAUCUUGAAGAUAGCGAGACAACCCCAAAGUCUUGUCUUGAUGCAGUGUUCAAGUUACUUGAGACUAGCAGUCAGACAAGCUCACAGAAUUCGUUGUCUGAAUCAGUUCGACUUCUUCAGUCCCAAGUUCUAGCAGAAAGGCAUUCUACAACUCAACUUCGACUUGAAGUCCUGUCUCUAAGAAAGAUUGCGGAGAACACCAAUGAGAACCUCAUCGCUAAAUAGCUACACCUGGAAGCUAUGACCGACAUGCUAGGCCGGUCUCACAGCCUUGCUCAGCAGCUUGUGCAGCAGUUCCCGCGCAAGGGUAACCUUUCUUGAACUGUCUUGGAAGUGGUCUCGGUUCAGUAUUAUUUUGUUACGCUGCAAUGGUGCCCAAUUUUUGUAAUCUGCUUCUUCAUUGCGCUUUAUGGUCACUGGUGGCGAACUUCGAUGCCCAGUGGAUGUAAUAUACCAUAAAUCCUUUAUUGUAUAGUGUAGGUUUAUUCUUAGUUACUAUGCCGUAAUUUCUUUAUUGUAUAGAGUAGGUUUGUUCUUAAUUCCUACUAGUUACUGCCAUCAUUCGCUAUUUGAAAAAAAAUCAGAUGUAGUCGACCGGGCCGAAACAUUCGCCUCUAAUGGGCCUGGUGUUUAGCGGGCCCCAAUUGGGUCGGCCUGCAUCUUUCUUGGGCCCGAAUGAUUGGGGCCUUCACACUUUGCGCGAGGCCCACAACUUACACCGGCCUAUAUUUUACUUGGGCCUUUUGUGGACCCAGCGCUUAGUUUGGCCCAAGUAGCGUUGGGCCAUUAACAGGCUGAAUAUUGUACUGGCCUGUUACGGCCCAGAUGAAACCAUGGGCCUUUAGCAGGCCGAAAUGCAUAUUGGGCCUCAAUUUUCACUAGUCGUCGACGGGCCUUCAGCAGGCUGAAAUGUAGACCGGGCCUUUUUGGGCCCAGUUAUAUCACGGGCAGUUAUCAGGCCGAAACAUAUCUCGGGCCUUAGUUGGCCCACUGAUAUCAUGGGCCUUUAAGAGGCCGAAAGCUUAGUACAGACAUCAACGAGCCGAAUUAUGCGACAAGCCUUUAACAGGCCCAAAGUCACGUUGGGCUUAACUGUUGCCACCUUUAUCACGGGCCGUUUGUGGGCCCGAUGUCUCGUCGGACCAUAUAUGGCCCAUGGGCAGCACGGGCCAUUCCCAGGCCGAAAGUCACACUAGGCUGAAAUGGGCCCAUGUCUACAUCAGGCCUCUAACAGGCUGAAAGUCACUGGGCUGUAAUUGGGCCCAAAUAUUCGGCGAACAAUUAACGGGCCAGAGCUGGCUUCGGGCCGUAAAUGGGCCCAAAUAUUCGGCGAACAAUUAACGGGCCAGAUCUGGCUUCGGGCCAUAAAUGGGCCUUUAUUAAGCAGGUCGUUAUUGGGCUGGCCCACUAGUACCUGAGUAAGUACUACGGGCCUUUGACUGGGCCGGCCUUUUUAACCUAUAUGUGCCUCUGUUGGGCCGUGCCACGUGUCGACGUAUCAUAGGCGCUUUGGGUCCAAUGAGUGGAUGACAUCUAUCCCAACGGUGAGCCAACACGUGUUUCCUCCAGCCAAUGAUGAUUUUACACAUGGAAAAUCCCCAUUGGUCGGGGCUGUUAACGGGUUAUCGGAUCCAAAACUGGACCCGAUAGCUUAACGGCGUUCCGUUACGGUGGAUGCCACGUGUCGGUCACCCUUGACGAAAGCACUUCUGUGACGCGCGAUUUAUCGUCAUGGAAGUGGACACUUCCGUGAUGAUAAUUUUGGUAAUGUCAUGGAACACUUCUACGACAGCACAGAUAUGACUAUCUUGAUUCUGUCAUAAAUUUGUCAUGGAUGUACAUGCAUGACAGAAAACGUGACCUACUAUGACAAACACGUAUCAUCACGGAAGUGUUUUUUUUUGUAGUGCAUGCCGCCACAAAGGGGGUGAGGGGUUGGCGCUGAGGGUGGCCGCCACGGCCAGAGUGGCCAGCGGCGCAGGGCGAGCUUGGGCAGGAGCUAGGUGAGAAGUACGUUUAAAUUUUUUAUGAAUCAGAUAUAUAUUCAGACAUGUUUUAGUGUAUUUGUUCACUCAUUUCAGUUUGUAUAUUGUCCGUAUUAAAAUAUUAAAAACAUCUUAUAAUUGUGAAUGGAAGAGUACAAAGGUACGCAUCACAUUAAACUAGUUUAUGGCCAUGAGUAGGGUGUAUCAAUAACGGAGUCUUUUCUACCAUACAAAAAAGAGAGAAAGACUAAACGACAACACAGGCCUAUCCAUGGAUGCGAGUAUACUGUAGCACGACACAGUGAAAAAUCCCCAAAAAACUACUACCUCCGUAACUUUUUCGACAAAGAAAAUAUACUAAGGGUUUUUUAUUUCUUUGCCUCUGGAUCCUUAGCUCUACUCAUUCAUCCCCACUCUGUUAAUUUUUGCUCACUUUUCCCCACUCCCUUGCCCGAAACCCUCAGAACAGGUUAUAACGGACGUUGCCGUCGGGUCAAUGCCUUUGACCGUUAGCUAAUGAGUGGGGCCACGUAUACGUGGGCGCAUGCAAGACCGCGGUCGUGGGGUAGCACGUGUCCAUGGACAUGCCUGAAACGUCCCAUCAUAUAAAGAGGGGCAACCACCUCCAUCGCCCCUACCAUUUUCCCCCAAAUCCCCUCCCUGCCGCAUCAUCUUCCUCUCCCCCACCGGCAUCGUCUCGCUCUCCUCAACUGCCUCACCGCACCAUCUCGCUCUCCCCCACCGCAUCCUCUUCCUCACCUUCAUCGCCUCCAUUUGUCAGAUGGCCGACGCUCGUGGCGACGCCGGCGCAGCGGCCGGAGAUGUGGUGGAGCUGCAGGGUCAGGGCGCGGUGACCGCGGAUGUCGGCGGCGUGCAUGGCGAUGCGGGGAAACUCGCAACUGCUGCGGAUGUGGCGGGCUCUGCCUCAUCGCUGCAGAAGUUGACGACGUCGAGUGGCACGGUCCAUCCCGAUACCCCCGAUGCGCCGCCUGCCGUGGAGGAGCAGGUAUUUGCACUUGCUUAGCUUGUAGAGUUAGUUGCUCCCUAGUUGCAUUGGUUAGAUUAUGAUUCAUACGGUAGUUCAGAUGGUUAGAGUAGUUGGUUUGACGGAUGGGCCAGGGUUUUUUGUAUGGGUUGAGGGGAUGGGGGUUUUUGGACUAGGGUUUGUUGGAUAAUUUCGUAGCAAAAAUGCUAGAUGUUGUGAACUAUGAUUUUAGGUGCUGCAAUGAUUGGGGUUUUUAGAUUUGGAUAAAUUCGUUGCAAAAAUGCUAGAUGUUGUGAACAGAUUGGGGUUUUUAAUGAUAUGAUGCUUAUUAGAUUUGUUUUUAGUGCUCAUAGAUUGGGGUUUUUAAUGCUACUUAGAUUUGUUGCCUUAGAUUGGGUCCCUAUUAGAUUUGUUUUUGAACGCUACUCAGAUUGGGGUUUUGAAUGUCAUAUGCCCAAAUGGAAUCCAUUGAUUAAGAAGUUAUUUGAUUCAUUAUUAUAUAAAUUUGUCCACAAUAUGUAGUUAUAUUAGCUCUGUUCUUCAAUGUGUGUGCAUGGCAAAUGAUUAAUGUAUUAUUUGAAUGUCAUAUUGGGGUUUUUUGAUCAAUGUGUGUACAAAUCUAAUACAUUGAUAUACUAGUGAUGGAUGUGGUUUUUGAAUGCAUAGAGCUAAGGGACAUAGAAAUAAUAAAAAACCCCACUUCUAAAACAUUUCUGAUGUUCGGAGUAUAUUAGCCCUAUGAUCAAUGUGUCAUGUGUGCAUAUCUAAAUUUUCAAUUGGCUACUAGUGAUGGAUGUAAUUGUAUAUUCAGGAGGAUGAUGGUUGGGGGGAGAAAGAGGAAGCUGGCCGACUAUGACCCGUACGAGGGGGCAUUUAGUGACGAUUCUGAAUAUGAGGUAAGCAUAUCCCUUGUUCAUUUAGUUCCUUUGACAUGGUGUAUAUGAAUCUAUGUAUUAAUGCAAUUCAUUCAUGUGUGCAGUAUGAUUCUGGAGAUGAUGUGUACAAGGGCAACGUCACGUCCUUCACAGCCAAGGAGGUGGAGAAGAUCAAGGCCAAGGGAGUUGCUUCCUUCUACAACCGCAAGUUCAAGAAGUGGCACUGCCCCUACUGCACCACCAAGCCAAAGCCAAGGGAUGGCUGCUCCGAUCACCUUCUGUCUCAUGCUGAGGAUGUAGCGAUUCGCGGGGAGGACUACAUGAUCAGGGGUCAGCAUGCCGCCCUCGCGAAGGCCCUGACUCCAGUGUGAUGUGAUCGAUGAUGUGAUGCUGUGAACUGAAUCUUUAAGUUUAUCUGUUGGGUUACUUUUGGUUUGUUGAACUGAAUCUCGUUGGUUAUGGUUUGUUGAACUGAAUCUCGUUGAUUAUGCUCGUAAUCUGGUUGCUAUCUAUAUUUGUCUGUCCUUAAAUUUGCCCGUGGUAUAUUUGUCUGUCCUGAAUCCAUGGUUAGUUAUGUUUAGAUGUAGUGAACUAUGAUUUUAGGUGAUGCAAUGAUCACACAUGUUGUGUAGGAAAUCAAAUGCAUGCUCCAAAUGAGAUCAUGUAAACCUUGGCAAACCUGGACAGUAUAAAUUCAAGAAAAUGCAAAAACAAGUAAAACCUUAGCAAACUAUCUAUGUUUGUGUAGAAGAUGAUGUGUGCAAAAUUUGAAGUGAUUUAGAGGAGGUCAAAUAAAUUUGAAUUUGAGAAAUGUGCUCCAAAUGGACUCCCGGGCUAGGGUAAACAACCCAUUUGUAAUCAAGUUAUUUUGGACCUACUCUAAAUGAGCCAAAUGCUUUUUUUAUUAACACAUAUUCACUUUCCAUAGUGUAGAUUCGAAGUCUCACUAUUUUCUGAAUUAAUCUUCAUAUUUUUUACAUUUUCUUUUGAAAACAUAUGCUUUCAUAUAAAAACUAUUAAAAACAAGUUUUGAAAUAUGAAAAUGGAAAACUAACUUCAGAUCCUUUUUAUUCACUUUAAAAUAAAGCUUUGGUGAUUUUUUUUUAAUUUUUCAAAAACAGAAGGUAACACUACCUCCUCUCCUUGAACUCUAUGAAAUCAUGUACAUGGUAGCUCAUAUGUGUGAAGGUUUUCUCAUGAAAAUGACCAUAGACCAAGUUUAUGAUUUUUGGUUGGUAACAUGUCACAUAAGACAACAUUGUGCACAUGUUUUAUAUUUUUUGAUUUUUUUUAAAUUAAUGGUGCUCAUUUGACCUCGAUCGUGCCAGCUAGGUUUUUUUUAUGAAAAUGACCAUAGACCAAGUUUAGUAUUUUUCCUUGUAAGUUUGUCGUAUAAAACGACGAACGGCGAAGGUUUCAUAUUUUUUCGAUUUUUUAAAAUUAGUUAUGCUCAGUCAAAGCCUUCGAAACCCCGUUGACCAACUCAAAACCCCUCUAAACCCCGUGGGUUUCGCCUAACCCUAGCUCCCGACGUCAGCCGUCCGAUCAUACCCUCGUGCCAAGCGACAGCCUCAGAUCUGGUCUUCUAGAAGGAAUUAGGUGGGCUGGCUGCGUGCAGGCUCCGCGCCCUUGGAUCACAAGGACAGCUCCGCAUCGUUGGAUCGUGGGGCGAUCUGCGAGAGGCGAUCCUAUUGGUUGUGCUCGGCUGCUCGCCCACCACUGACUCUGUGAAAAAAACAUUGUUAUUGGGCCCAAAAGGGAACCAAGCUCUGGUUGGGCCGUCGAAUUGCGUCGUUUUUUUGCAUCGUUUGCUCUGUUUUUUGUGAACGUGCUGGCUCUGUAUUUUUGCAUCGUUUGAAAUCAAUUGACAUUGCGUAGCAAAUGACCAAAUUUUUAAGGGCCAAAUUUAUUUUUAUCAUGCAAAAUGGCCACAAACUAUUCAAAAAUUGUCUCUUUUUGUUCAUAUAAUAUAUAUGACCACGGAUUCCCACGCGUGCAAUUAGCUUCUUUUUCUUCUUCUUUUUCAAACCACUGUUUCCCACGCGUGUACACUUCCGAUGUUGCGGUGGGUUUGAAAACGGGUUACUUCACAUUUGACCCCGUUAUUGCCACAGCCAAAUAACACGUAGCACUACAGCUAUUUAAACCAUCCUUUGCCUCUGCCAUCCCUCAUCCAUCUCCCAUCCUCUCUGCCAUCUGCCCUUCUUGCUCUUUGACCACUUCUCCUUCUUCUAGCACAUCCUCAGCCAUGCAGUACACCGGACCAACCUACCACUUCCCACCCACCGUGUCGGAGAGGCUCUACCCUCCUGGCGUGUACAUUGAGCGCACACUAUGUGUGUGGGCAAUAUCAAGGUGGAGGACCGCAAGGAAGUUCACCGAGUUCUUCCUCGCGUCCGGCUACCACCACCUCCCGCGGGGAUCUCCAAGGAUGUUCCGUGUCAAGGAGGUCAUCCAAAAUGGGGUGGUGGUUGCUCUCCUUGCCCACUUCACCAACACAUUCGAUGCCUUCUACCUCCUCGGCCGGGUGUUUUGGUGUGGCUGCGAGUUCAUCGCUUUCACCACCCACAACAUGUUCACGGAGUACACCAACAUCUUCCCCACCGCGUCCCGCAUGCACACUCUUCCGUACCCCAUCGACAACGCCCCAGAGGAGCAGUGAAGGGCGCCCGGAGGAGGAGCGAGGUGGAGAAGGCGGCGUCUAGGGUUCUAAACCCUCUAUCUAUUUUUCUUUUUUUGAGUCUAUGUUAUGUUAAGUUGUAAUUGAACUAUGUUGGAGAUGCUAUGGGCUUGUUGGCCCUUUUAUCAAGUUCUAUUAUUAAGUUUUCUAUCUAUUCUAUUAUGAAGUUCUUCCUAGUUUCAACUAUGUGAUUGUGCUAUGGGCUUGUUGGCCCUAUCUACAUGUUUGUUGAUUGUUUUUUUUAGAGAGCUCGCUUUGUUAGUAACCACCUAGUGCAUGCAGCCACAACGAACCCUUCUUUUUUACACAAGCCACAAAUAUGUAGCCACCUAGCUAGUGCAAGCAGCCACAACAUAUUUGUUCAAUUUAUUUGUCGUAGCAAAACGGGUGCAGAUGCGAGUGGAUCGAAAAGGCUGCAACUGAUCAUAAAAAGUGAUGCUCUAAAUCAAGGAGACAAGCGUGCGAGAAGAGAGGAACCAGCGGCAGCGACCGUCGCCGCGUCCAUGGCGGCUGGCGUGCACGAAAGCGGCUCGGUCAGUGCAUCCUGGCGGCACGCAUCAGCGCAUGCAGGCUCGAUCGGCGCAAGCAUGCUCGGUCAAUGCAUCGACGCAUGCAGGCAGGCUUGUUGGAUGCAUGCAUAGCAGGCUUCUGUCGUGGCGGCGCGCGCAGGCGUUUAAUGCAAGGGACGGCCCAACGAAACCACGGCCCAACGGUCGAACAACUACACCCCCAACGCGGCCCCACUCGUCAGAGUUAACGGUCAAAGCAUUGACCCGACGGCGACGUCCGUUGUGACCUCUUCUGAGGGUUUCGGGCAAGGGAGUGGGAAAAACUGAGCAAAAGUUAAGAGUGUCGGGAUGAAUGGGUAGAGCUAAGGAACCAGGGGCACAGAUGUAAAAAUCCCAUAUAUUAAUAUCACGAAGAUACCAAUUGCACCCGGCCUCUGUACCAACAAGAUGUCCAAAUACAUUAAGGAUACACACAGUCAGUAAAAGAAAAGAAAACAGAAGAAAGAAGAAAAAAAGGCCCUGCUACGCUAAACAAUCACUAGCAGCAGCACUCUAACCACCGCAAAAAAAAAGAUCCGAAAUACAAAAGAGGUUCUCCAAAAGCAACGCCUACAAGAAGAAAACAGUGUACAAGCAUUGACGUUGCCCGAUCGAAGAUCUUUGAUUUUCACCCUGAAGAAAGUCCGAGUUCACGCAAAACAAUGCCAUCAACAAGGCCAUUGCCAGGUACAAGCAAUAAAGGUCAGACCUUGGGUUUUCACCUUGGGGAUCAAGACUCGGUACUCGAGGAGCAUGACCAAAAAUGCAGUCCUCAGUGUUGACCGCAGUUACUAGCCACCAUACACCUAGAACAGAAUCUUCAUCACAUCCAAUACACCUUCCACGAGAGCUCAAGACAUCCAAACGCAGCCGCCAUGACUUUCCCCACCUUUGUCAAUGUCUUGGAAAUCUUGUCUUAGACAUGUCCCAUAAAACGGAUAAGAAAGCGAAGCUUCGCGUUGCUCCCUCUUAAGGCCAUGUUGGCGGAUAAUAUCAACGCGCGCGACCGGAGCCUUUCUGAUCUAGAUAUUCAGGGUUGUCAUACGUCAACAUUUAUAUCUUGGACAGGGAAGACCGGAACUCGUCGACGGCCAGAUCCAAGAGGUUAACAUCCGGGGAGAGAUGGCUUGGCGGAAGAAGAGUGUUAGGGCCAAGAUCUGCCAGAACCAGAUCGGGGCAAGCCACCACCAUGGACGGGAGCCCCACCUCGACCCAUCCCACAACAAGACGGGCCCUCGCCUGAGCACCAACCGGCCACCGAUGUCACAGGUCCAAGCACCUGGCACGUCACCACUGUUGGGAGGCAAGGCAGCCACCACCGGCUCCGGCGGUGGCAAAGGGGGUGGAGGCGAGGAGGUAGACUCUGGCGGCGCACGACAGGUCCCCCCCCCCCCUCGGCCUGCUCUCGGGAGCGGCUGGGCGAUAGUUACGGAUCGGACCACACAUAGAUAAGACCUAGUGUCAAAAUGUCUUAUAUUAAAUUACAAAGAAAGUACAAUACAACAGAGAGGAUAGAACAAGAGACCUCCCGUCGUGGAUGCGCGUUACUGAUUAAAAGGGAGUGCUAACCUUUAAUUAAGAACUAAGCACGUAUGUUUUUCAAAUUUGUAUUUUUUUCUAAAAAUAACUCAACUAUUUUUUGAAACUCUGAACAAAAUUUGGUAAAGCGAACAUUUAUUGAAUAUGUGAGUAUUUUUUCAAUAAUUUCUUAAAUUCAAAACAACAUUUGAAAAUGAGAGGAAUCUUUCAAAUUUAUGAAUAUAUUUAGAAAAUUUGAACACUUUUUAUGAAGUCACAAACUUGUUUAAAACCGUGAAGUGUUUUACAAAAAGAAAAAGGAAAGAAAAAAACAGAAAGAAAUGGAGAAAAGGGAAGAAAACCGAAAACAAUCAGAAAAGAAACAAACAGGAAAAGAUCGGUUAAAAAAUAGGACAAAUCUUUGUGAAUGUUCCCUUUUUUUAGUUAUCAUGAGCGUUCCUUUUUUUAGUGUCGUGGAUGUUCUUUUUUCAGAAUCACUUGUAAUUUUAUUUAUACUCAUAACAAUUACAGGUACACUGAAUUGAUUCUAAAAUUCAAGAAAAUACUAAGUAACUUCUAUAACUAAGAAUUACAAUGAAAUCUCUUGCAAAGACCUUCUUCAUGGUAUCGAACUCUGCUAGAAGAAAUACUCCAAAGACUUCGGUAAAGAGCCUGCAAUUAGACUGGAGCAACGAUAUUGUCUCUCUUUCACCCACACGAACAUUACAAAUAAUGAUUUUUGAAAGCGCCUUGAGUCGCCGAUCCAAAAUGAUGGGAAGGCUUGAUCAAUGAACGUACUUAAACCCCCUAGAAGUGCAGGUCGUCGGAUCACAAUAUCUUCAUCAUGAUUUAGAUGAAAGAUUUCAACUCCACAAAGAAUCAAACAAACAAAAAAAAGUUUGACACCCUAACAUAAACUCAUCAGAUCCGAAUAAUCGGCUCUGCAAGGACAGAAAACUCUCUAACCUCAUGGCGCCGGCAAAAGAAUGAGAGUAACUUUAUUCUCACAAAAAAAUGAUCACUAGACGAUGAGUAAGAAAAAAGAACUCUUGAAGAUGUGAGAUCCCCUACCUUUCAGCGCCAAGAUAAAAGCUGAAGACGAGGGGACCAAAAUUCUCCGUCGGCUGUGGCGAUUGCAGCCCUAAACGAAAUCCUAAACUUUCCCUUUUUUUUUUUUAAGGAUCCCCUAAACGCUCCUAAGCCAGAAGCCUCUGCUAGCGUUAAGUUGGCCGGCCCACUCUGCUGGCGCCUGUGCGAAACGCCAAUGUUAGACGGAGAUUCUACAAAAAAAUUACAUUAGAGGAAAAAUUCCUACGCAAAUGCAAUGUAUCCCUCGUACUUCAGUUUUAUUUUUAUUUUAUUUUGAGAAUUACUUCAAUUUUAAUAAGACUUGCCUACAGAUAAUACAGUACCGGGCGGCCCAUUUCUCCACAUUCGAGCGUUNNNNNNNNNNNNNNNNNNNNNNNNNNNNNNNNNNNNNNNNNNNNNNNNNNNNNNNNNNNNNNNNNNNNNNNNNNNNNNNNNNNNNNNNNNNNNNNNNNNNNNNNNNNNNNNNNNNNNNNNNNNNNNNNNNNNNNNNNNNNNNNNNNNNNNNNNNNNNNNNNNNNNNNNNNNNNNNNNNNNNNNNNNNNNNNNNNNNNNNNNNNNNNNNNNNNNNNNNNNNNNNNNNNNNNNNNNNNNNNNNNNNNNNNNNNNNNNNNNNNNNNNNNNNNNNNNNNNNNNNNNNNNNNNNNNNNNNNNNNNNNNNNNNNNNNNNNNNNNNNNNNNNNNNNNNNNNNNNNNNNNNNNNNNNNNNNNNNNNNNNNNNNNNNNNNNNNNNNNNNNNNNNNNNNNNNNNNNNNUCUUUUUUCUAUUUCCCUUUUGGUUUCCUAUGUUUCAUUCAUCAGAUUUCAUAUAUUUUCUUUAUUUUUUUUCGUUUUUCUGUUUUCAAAUACAGGUCUACAUUUUUCAUAUGCACUAUGCAUUUUGUAUACAUUAGAAACAUCUUUUUACACACAUUCAACAUUUUCCAAAUAUAUGAUUAGAAUUUUUUCUAAUAUAUUUUUUCAUGUCUAAUCUUUUUAUACAUGUUGCAUAUUUUUCGUAUAAUUAUAAAUAUGUUUCAUAAAUGUUUCCAAUUUUAUAAACACAUCAUUAACAAUUCAUACAAAAACCUGUUUUGUAAAGUUUUUUGAAUAACAUGUUAAAAUUAUUUUAAAUACACGCCAAAACAUUUUUUCCUAAUGCUAAAAACAUUUUUUCAGAACUCUGUAAACUUUUUUACGUUGUACAAACAUUUUGUGAACAUGUCCCGAAAUCAUUUUUGAAACUUGUGUACAUGUUUUUAAUGCAUGAAUCAUAUUUUUUUUGAAUUACAGGAACAUAUGUCUUACAGUGCAUAAACAUUUUUUUUCAUAUGCAUGAUUAGCAUUUUCGUUUUUUAGAUCACAAUGUAUAUUUUUUGUAUACUGCAAAAAUAUUUUUGUACACUUUAGUCAUUUUCAACUGCAAGAUUAACCUCAUCAAUUUAUAUAAAGUAUUUUUUUAUGUAUAUACAUAUAUGUAUAUAUUAUUUUGAAAUAUAAACGAAAGAAAAAAUGUGAUCAAAAAAGGGGGAAACGGAAGAAAAAACAGACGAGCCGUGGCUACUAGGUCGGCUGAAUACCUGCUCCCUACACGCGAGCCCUAGUAGGACUUGCAGCGGCCGGAACAUAGCUGCGCCCCAAUUCCUAGCACUGGUUCAUUUGUUAAUCUCUAUUUUUAAUGGAGUAGUUGGUAGUCUCGCUAUUACCUUCCAUGGUUUUAUUAGUACCUUCUCUCACCUUCGCUGUUUUUUUUGUAGAUUUUUUUCGUCCCCUCCCCCACUUCAUCGGUUUAUUUUCGCGUCAUCCUCUCACACAACGAAAGAAAUCUGAACAGAUCAUAAUUUUUCAUACUGGCGCAAGUUAUUUAGUAAUGUAGAAUCAAUCACGAACAAUCUCUAAAGAUCAAAUCUAAAUUAAUUAACCUUACCUUAAAUCACUCAAUCACAUUAAUUAGAAAACAAGUAAUUGAUUUUCAGAAAAAUCGCUCAAUCACAUUAACCUUACCUUAACUCACGGAUGGUAAUCAAUCUCCAAACAAAGGAAACAAUACAUCGAGAGAGCAGUAAAUAAACUCCCUUUCUUAUGACAGGUAUAUGAUUUUCCCUUCCCUCUCCGUUGUCGAGCGUUCUUGAUUCUCGAGGCUGAUGCUUGGGCUGCUUCACUGGUUCGCGACAGUGCCGGAGGACGAGGACAGCAAGGCCGGGUGCCGCGGCACCGCGUUGGCCGCGACCAGUGAAGGGGCGAAGAAGGGCGGCUUCCCUGGCCCUAGCCGUGGCCGUGGCCCUGGGAGUUGGCGCGGUGGAAGCGGCACUUGAAGGACUCGGCGUGGGUGGCCGGCGCACAUACGCACUUGGAAGCGGGCCCGUGGCCCGCGCCGGAUAGCGCCGACGCCGACCCGGGCCACCUCCUCCACGUAUUCUUGGAGCUGUGGCUGGCCGAUUUACAUGAAAUUAAUUCCCUCAGUUGUGUUGGCAAAUAUAAUACACAUAAUCCAUAUUGUUAUGCACUAGCGUGUGUGUGUGAAAUAGAUGGAUUAAGGUCCCGUACCCAAUAAGAUGGAUAUGUGUGUGUGUUAGAGAAAGAGGGGGAGAGGGGGAGAGAGAGUGAGGAAGAGGGAGGGAGGGAGUGUGUUUGUGAGGAUUUGAUUGUAAAAAAGGUCGCCAAUGUCGUAAUAUUGAACUCAUAAGUUAAUGUGGUCCCGUUGCAACGCAUGGGCGUUCUUCUAGUGGUAGAUGGUGCUCACAUCGCUCAUAGUAUACUACCUUAUGAGUAGGCCCAUGUGGGUUUUUCUCCCAUCAGUUUUGGGAACAUUCUAGAAGGUUACCAUCGGUUUUUCACUGGUUUUAUCAGGAUGGGUUUAGGUCUUUUUUUGUUUUUCCUUUUCUUUUUAUUUUUUCAUUUCUAUGUUUUCCAUUUUCCUUUCUCUUACCUAUUUUUCUUCAAAUGCGUGAAUUUUAAAAUUGGAAUUGUUUUCUCAAAAUUUUGAAAUAAAAUCAGAGUUUUGAAAUUCCUCCAAAUUUUUAUACUUCCUCUCAAAUUUGUAAAUUUUGUGAACUUUAAAAAGUUCAUAGACUUUUUUAAAAUUUUGUGAACUUUCUCCAAAUUCAUAAACUUUUUUUCAAAUUUUUUAACUUUUUACCGAAGAAAUUAGCUUUCCUCAAAAUUUUGAAUAUUUUCAAAUUUUAUAAAGAUCUUUCUAAUUCCAUAUUUGUAAAUAAAUAUAUGAAUUGUGCACAUUUUUCAAAUUGAAAACAAAUCAUAUUCAUAAAUUAGUAACACUUUCUAUCAAAUUUACGUUGUAUUUUUCAUAUUCAUGAUUUUUAAAAUGUCAACCGGCCAACGGUCAAUCGUUGAAUGAUCGAGCGAGGGGGAAAUAGCUGAGCGAGGGAGAGGUCAGCUUUUCCUGGGCCGGCCCAGGCGAGAGAGGCCAGUGAGCGGCAGAUAUCUAUCCCGCGCCGUCAGCGCUGACUAGGACCUCUUCACUACUAGUGCAUAAGCAAUAGACCGGAAGUGGUACUUUUAUAUAGCGGCCAUGCGCGAGCGGGGCUUUUUGGCUCUCGGCUCUAUGGAGCAUGAAAUUUUCAAAAAAAAAAACCUUUUUUUAUGUUUCAGAAAAUAGCCGGAAAUAAAUACACAAGUACUUGUAGAUGUGUACUAAAUGUUUGUAAAAAAUCCUUCCGAAAUAAGUUUUGAUAUGAGUUCUACAAAAUAACAAAAUCAUGUAAUUCUAUAGUGAAUGGUGCAUGCACUAGAAAUACAUGAUUUCUUUUUUAGCUCGCAAGCAAAUGUAUUCGCUAUGAAACUUUACAGACAAGUAGUAUACAUCCAUAGGUAUGUGUGUAUUUUUCAUAAUUAUUCGAAAUCUAAUAAUUUGAUUUUUUGAAAAUUUCAGAUGUUGGGUUCCAUGGUGCUUCUUAUUUAGCUAUUCUAAAAUAGGGGAAAAUGUUGGAGAUUGUUGUUUUCUUUUUCUUUGGAGUCAACUUAUAACGAUUGUUAAAUAUAGAUCAAAUACAAUACCAAAUUAGGACCUAUUUUAUGGUAUGUUAAAUGCAUGCUAAUCUGGUAGCAAUUGAUUUUGUAUCAAUAUAUGUAUUAUAUGCGCUAUGAAGUGCACCACUUCGUCCGGUAUGCCGCAUAUGUGUAUCAUGAACAAUGCACACAAUCACGUAAUUGCCUACCAGAGCGGACAGUCAAACACCAAUGUGCUAUGAAGUGCAUCACUUCGUCCGGUAUGCCGCAUAUGUGUACUGCAACUAUUUUGCUUCCUCCUGUCCAAUUUUUUCUUUCCUAUGGUACCUUUUUAUUGUGGUGUAAUAUGACAGGUUGACAACUCAAUAAAAAAUCAUCGGUCCACCAUUAUUUUCUCAAAGUGGUAAAUGCUUAUGGUGGGGUCAAAAUUUGUUGGGGCUUCUUAUGGUGCGGUCAGGAGGAAGGUAAUGGUGGCCGGUGUUCUGUGUCCUGGGAGGACAUGUGCACGCCACGGGUGGGCGGGUGGCCUCGGCAUACCGAACCUCAACUAGUUGAAUGUGGCAUUGCAGGCGAGAAGGCCUUGGUUGAAGCGGGCAGAUCCCUCUAGGCCAUGGCCGGAGUUUGAGAUCACUGUACCAAAAGCAUCAAUGCAACUUUUCAAGGCUGCUACGUGGACCACGACUGGAAACGGAAACACCGCACUCUUUUCUGAGGAUAGAUGGAUGGAGGGCCACCGUCUGGAGGAGAUGGCCCCGGCCUUGUAUGCCCGAGUCAAGAAAUCGAUAAGGGAAACACACACAUGGUGCGACAAGGUUUGAUAGAUGGAGCUUGGGCUCUCGACAUUGGACCAGAGGUCACCAAUCAAAUGUUGGACGAAUACUUGAGACUUUGGGUUCAGCUUGCCGAGGUCGAACUUGACCCAGAUGAGGUGGACUCCUAUCGAUGGGCUUGGGACAAGAGUGGAUGGUUCACCACACGAUCAGCAUACGUGGCGCAGUUCUGGGCCAGAGAGAUGGCACCGGCCGCCGAGUUCACAUGGCAAUCCAAAGCUCCCCUAAGAUGCAGGUUCUUCACUUGGCUGGCCCUCCGGAACAGGUGUUGGACCUCGGAAAGACUUGCGAGAAUGGGCUUGGAUAACUACGGGAAAUGCCCUUUCUAUGACUAAGAGGAUGAGACGAUUGAUCACAUUCUACUAUAGUGUGUCUUUGCGUGUGAGGUGUGGACUCGUGUGUGCCUCACUUUGGACAAGCAAUCUUGGAUACCCACUAGUGGAUCAACACUAAGGGAAUGGUGCAUCGAUAAGGACGGGACAAACCUAGGUAAGAAGGUCACUCGAGUGGUUGUGGUUCUUGUAUUGUGGGAGCUAUGGAAACACCGAAACGGAAUUGUCUUUGACGGUGCUACCCCCUCGACCCGAUAUGUAAUUAAUCGUUUAGAGGUUGAAGGGAGAGUGUGGAAGGAUGCGGGCCUCCUUAAGGGAAAUGUGGACGCCUUUCUAGGGAGAUUAUCGUUGGGCAUGAGGGGGAGUAGUUAGCAUUGUGGCUUAGCGGUGGAGCUGGGGUUGUGUUCUUGUUAUGUAACCGCCAAUGUGGAGGGGUUCUUCACCCCACUUCUUCUUCAAUAUAUAGUAUGCACACUUGUGCGUAUUCGAGAAAACAGAAGUGGUAAAUUCUAUGUGGUGAUGAUGGAAAGGAAAUCCCAUCCCAUGAAAGUUUGUCCCUAGUCUCACCAAUACAUAUCCUAGCAAGUGACAUGUUUGACCAAUCUCUAAGCAUCCUUUCUUCUGCAAUCCAUUCCCUUUGUAGGUCCCCGAUUGUCCAUCUCCUACGUCUCUCAAUGCAUUGGAGGUGUCCGGGUAUUCCUUGUAUACUUUGUCAUUUCAAUGUAUUACGAAGAGAUCGAGAAUACAGAAAUAGAAGGAAAGUCUUGUCCCCAGCCUCUCUCAACCCUAACUGUUGCCGCCAAGUUUCUCCUUGAUGCUGCCACACCGGUCCCCCUCCUCUUCCCCAUCUGAUGGUUUCAUCGGCGACAAGAGGAGCGGGAACCCAUCCGUCCGUUCCUUUUUUAUAGGUUUUGUUUCCCCAACAACAUUGAGUUUCCUUCUCUUUCUUUAUUCAAAUUGUUUGACAAGAACGUAUAUAAUCUAAGAGAUCAAGAAUAGAGAUGGAAAAUUCAUUCAAAUUGCUUCAAGAAAAGCAAAGGUAUUCAUUUGGUUGUCAAAAUAAUGUUCUUUUGGUUUACAAGGAAUGAUAUUCAUAGUGUUCGACAUGAACGUAUAUAAUCCAAGAGCAGGAGGUAUCAAAACCAAAAUUGUUACAACUUUUCCUCAUAAAUGUUACAGUAUAUUACCUUUGUUGUUGAUAGUUUUUAUAUAGCUAUAAUCGCUCAGGCCGAGCGAUCUAUUACCUUUGUUUUUGUUCAGAGAAGGAGGUGUGACCCUCCGGCGACUGCGUGGAGCAAUGAAUAUUGUCAUAAAAUUAUUAUUGUUGGACCUUACAAGUAUUUUUAUUUUCUUUGUCCCAUCAUGUGCCUUUUAGAUAAGCUUGAGAAGUGAAUUUCACAAUAUGAGUGAAUUAUGUGCAUCACAAUGCGCAAUUUCUAUUGUCUUUUAUUCUUAAAUAGUUACAACCUACUAUCUAUUUUUUUCUAAUCAUGCAACCAUGUCACAUAAAUAUGUGAUAAAUGCAAGCCAUAAAUUACAUUUAUUUUUGCAUUACUCUAUGCAUGCAAAUGUUGCCACAUCUUCAUGCAAAUUAGUCAUCAGUUAUUCUUUAUAUUAGAGUUCAUUCAUAUUUUGCUAGAAAUGACAAUUUUCUCUCUUUUUAUGCACUUCUCAUUUUUUUUUAUCUUUUAAGCUUACAUUUGCAUUCUAUUAGUUUUUAGAUGUUUUCAUAGCAACUAUUUAUACAUUUUUAGCAAGGUUUCCGCAGCAGCGCGUGGGGCAUCAUCUAGUUUAUCUAAUUCCGCUCACAUACCUCGAGUGAUCUAACAAAUUCUUUGGCCAAGUUAAUAUGAAAAGGCAAAAUGCAGGUAUAUUUUUCUGUCCUUUUGCAUAUAAAAAAAGCAAAAUACUUUGAUUUAUAAAUCAAUACAUUCUGCAGUGACAACUAAUGUUGUGACUCAACGCUGGCUGCCCCUAAGGCCCUGAUUACAACUUGUCUAAAACGAGACCUUAUUUCACCACUAACCACAGGAAAACGAACGCGUGCUUUUUUUUUUUUGAAAAACAAAUGGACUUCAUUCAACGGAAAUAAUAGAUACAUCGUUUGUGAGGAAAGGUACAAUCUCAAACAUAGGCUCCUCAAACCAAUCAAUGAUAGAAGAAAAUUUAGCCAACCUAGCAAGCUCGUGCGCAACCUUAUUGGCUUCCCUAUUACAAUGUUCAAACCUAGAGGUAGGAAAAUCACACGCCAAAAAAUAGCAAUCAUCAAAGAUUGCCGCCGCCGCUCCUGCUGACCGUCCACCGUUAUUCAUCGUUUCAAUAACCUCCAAAUUAUCAGAAUUAAUAACUAGGCGAUUGCAACCCGCACGUUGCGCUAGUGAAAGACCGAAUCUGAGAGCCCAAGCUUCCGCUGUUAGAGCAUCGAUGCAAUGAUCAAUUUUCCAAGUACCCCCUGCAAUAAACUUCCCUUUGUCGUUCCUCAGGACAGCCCCCGCCGUACCUUUAAGAAGAUCAUGAUCAAAAGAAGCGUCAACAUUAAGUUUCACAAAACCCACCGGGGGACGAAUCCAACCCCCUCUUUUCAUAGAAGCCCUUGGACUGGAAGCAACAACAUAAUUAGUCGUAAGAGCUUGUAUCCCCAUUGAAAUCUGUUUUGCAUCUUGAAUUCUCUCCUUGUGCACUAAUUUACGUCUUUCCCACCAUAAAUACCAAGACGUAAUGGCAAUCAUCUCCCGAGUAUUCUGGAACCCCAUAAUAGAUAAAUCUUGGUCAGGCAUGAGCAACAAAAACUCAAGGACCGCCUCUCCAGCACGAUCAACUUCACAAGCUUGAGCAAUGAUCUCGUCUAAUCCAAGCCUUCUCCAGACCUCUUUUGCCUUCUGGCACUGAAACAACAUAUGCUUUGUGUCUUCUAAACCAGCAGCACAACAAGGGCAUAAAGGUGAAACUUUCAUGUGUCUAUUAGCAAGCGUAACACGACAUGGAAGAGUACCAUGCAGCGUCCGCCAAAUAAAAUUUUUCACCUUCGCUGGACAAGAUAACUUCCAAAUCUUACACCAAAUUGGAUUAAAGUUUGUUCGACCCAUUCCAUUAGUACGACGAAGUUUCCUUCCAUGUUGAUAAUCCCACUCAACAAAAUAUGCAGAUCGAACAGAAAAAAUCCCACUCUUUGUAUGACUCCAGGCAACAAAAUCUAACAUAUCAAACUGAGGCAGAGGGAUAGCAAGGACCCGCUGUAAAUCAACAGGCCACAAGGUCUGUCUGAUGAGAUCCUCAUCCCACCUAUUCGAAGAGGGGUCAAUGAGAUCAGACACUUUUGAUAACAAAAGUUGUCCCUUUGGAGUGAUGACUUUCCUGUUAGCACAGUUAGGGAUCCAAGCAUCUUCCCAAAUGUCAAUUUUCUGACCAUUUCCAACACGCCAAAUAUAGCCAUGUUUUAAGGUAUUAACCCCCGCCAUAAUACUUUGCCAUGUGAAGGAUGAUCCCUUUUUAAACUUUGCGUUCAAUAAAUCUCCAUCAGGAAAAUACUUAGCUCGCAAAAUGGUGGCACACAAGGAAUCUGGGUUCUCAAGGAGACGCCAAGCUUGUUUAGCCAACAUCGCCAAAUUAAAACAAUGAAUGUCACGAAAACCCAUUCCACCUUGGCUUUUUGGGACACACAUUUUCCACCACGCCAUCCAAUGCAUCCUUCUCUAGUUGUCGUCAUCACCCCACCAAAAAUGCGACAUCUCGUCAGUUAUUCCUUUACAAUUUUUUUUAGAAAUUUUAAAGACCGACAUAGCAUAAGUUGGGAUAGCUUGAACAACAGACUUGAGAAGAACUUCCUUGCCUCCAGUGGAUAAGAGUUUUUCUUUCCAUCCGCUAAUUCUCAUAACAAUGCGAUCAAUCAGAUAUUGGAAACAAUCAGUCAUCUAACCCCACAUGCGCAGGCAGGCCCAGAUACUUAUCAUUGAGAGCUUCGAUCAUGAUAUUUAAAAUUGAGCAAAUUUGUUCUCUAAUGUCCCCACUCGUAUUUGGGCUAAAAAAUAUGCUAGAUUUUUCAACGCUCACCAUUUGUGCAGACGCAGCACAAUAUAAGUCCAAAAUUGAUUUUAGUGUCUCCGCAUUUUGUUGAUUAGCUUUCAUGAGGAUUAAUGAGUCAUCCGCAAAAAGGAGAUUUGUGAUAGUAGGGGCCUCUCUACAAACCUUGACUCCUGAAAUAUUCCCAAUCUCCUCCGCAUGCGCCAAGAGGGCAGUAAGGCCCUCCGUGCAUAAUAAGAAAAGGUAGGGAGAUAAUGGAUCACCUUGUCUUAAGCCCCUAGUAGGCUUGAAACUUUCAGUUUCUUCAUCAUUAAUCCGAAUCCUAUACUCAACAGUAGAGACACAUUUCAUAAUAAGAUUUACCCAUCUCUCCUGGAAACCGAGUUUCAGCAUAAUUCCCUUCAAAAAAGGCCAUUCGACUCGAUCGUAAGCUUUGUGCAUAUCAAGCUUGAUAGCGCAUAAACCCUCUUUUCCCACCCUCUUAUUUUUAAUAGUAUGAAAGCUCUCAUAAGCCACUAAAACAUUGUCUGUAAUCAAUCUACCAGGCACAAAAGCACUUUGGGUUGGGCUGAUAAUAUCAGGUAGUAAAACCUUCAAACGCGCCGACAACAUUUUGGAGAUAAUUUUGUAUACCACAUUGCAAAGACUGAUAGGUCUAAACUGGGUUACCUUCUCGGGUGAGUUGACCUUGGGAAUCAACACAAUCGCAGUAUCAUUCCAACCCGGUGGAAUUGUACAAGUAUUCACUGCUUUCAAGACCUCAUCCACCAAAUCAUCCCCUAGCAUGGGCCAAAAUCUUCUAUAAAAAAUAGCAUGAAGACCAUCUGGCCCCGGAGCCUUUAAAUCGCCAAUAUCAAAAAGAGCCUUACGAACAUCAUCAGCAGUAUAAGGGGCGAGCAGAGCACUAUUCAUCUCAGUAGUCACUCUACUCCGGACAAGAGACAAAACUUCCUGAUUUGGGUAUAAAACCUCCGAUGUAAAAAGAUUGGAGAAAUAACCCAUAAUAUGUUCCUUCAUAUAAUUUCCUUGUUUCCAAACCCCAGUAUCAUCCAGAAGUCUUCUAAUAUUUUCCUUUUUUUCCUGGCCGUUGCAGCGUUAUGAAAAAAAGAAGUAUUACGGUCCCCAUGUAGCAACCAGUUCGCUCGACCUCUCUGUAACCAAAAAAUUUCCUCUUGGUCCAAAAGAUUUUCAAUGAGUACUAGAAUUUCCUUUUGCCUUGAGCGGGACUCACCACUAAUAGGACCACGUUUCAGCCUCUCUAGUUCUUUUUUUAACUUAUUUAUUCUUCUCUGUGGUCCUUUCAAAGUAAUUCGGUCCCAAGAAUGUAAAUCAUCAUGCACCGCUCUAGUCCGUGCUGCGAGAGAGGGACCAAUACCCGCCAACUUUGCUUUUUCCCAAGCAGUCUUUACAAUCUCCUCAACAGUAUCUUCUUUCAGCCAUUUUGCUUCAAAUUGUCUCACACGACCAUUCCGACGAUUAAACAAGUUACUAUCAAAAUAAUAUGUGUCAAGAAUUAACGGACAAUGGUCUGAGUGUACAUGCUCCCCAUUAAUAAUCGCCGCACGCGGAAAUUUGUUUGCCCAUUCUAUAUUACAUACAGCUCGAUCAAGCCUUUCACGGAUGUCCCCCCUUCUCCAAGUGAAUGGAUCACCAACAGAGCCCAUAUCCUCCAGGUUACAAUCACUCAAACACUUACGGAAUUCCUGCAUCAUUUCAUUUGGUCUAGCAUUGCCACCUUCUUUUUCGCUAGAGUAGAUAAUUUCAUUAAAAUCUCCAAUGACUACCCAAGGAUAAUCAGCAAGGGAAUGCAGUUGGCGAAGAUCUGCCCAAGAUAAAUAUUUUUCAUUCCAUGCCGGAUAACCAUAGAAACUCGUAAAGCGCCAAUUUACAGAAUUAUCAUUCAUAAAUACAACAUCAAUAAAAUGGGAAGACAAAUAGUUCAACUCGACUUUAUUCUCUUUUUGAUAAAAAAGGACAAGACCACCAGACUUGCCAUCACUCUCAUCUAAAAACAUGGAACUAAAACCUAAGAUACAACGUAGCUCGUCAGCUUUAAUUUUAUUCAAAUGCGACUCGGAAAGAAAAAUCAACUCCGCACAAUUACGACCUUGGAGCUCCCGGAGCUCUCGAACUGCCGUGGAAGACAACAUUCCACGGCAGUUCCAACUAAUUGCUCUCAUUUCUCCUGGCGGUCCUCCGGAGCGGAGGCCGCCAAAUCCGUGCCCACAACAUCGUCCUCUCCAAUUGACUCCUUCCUUUGCUGAGUAUAAACCUCCUCCUCCUCUUUUUCCUUCACUACAUGCGUAAUAAUCCCAUCCACAUCCCUCCUAGUUUCAACUCUACCCAUACAAACUCUCUUUGAGGAAAUACUCGUCUCACCAUACAACAGACGUUCAUAGCUAUCCAUCUCUCUCUCAAAAGAAAAAUUUAAAUCACUACCCGUUUGUGGGGCAUCAAAAGGGUUACUCCUCUUUUUCCCUAUGAUUUGAGUUCUAUCACUCUCUGACUUCUCCUUUCCUCCCUUCUUUCUAUCCUUUCUCCCUUUCUUCUUUUUCUGACCCUGCAUGGUAAUUUUAUCAGCAGCAAAAGUAAAUACUCCCGUAUCAUUGGCCGUGUUCUGGUCAGCCAGCCUUGCCGCAACUGCCCCUGAGAGUGCCUCCAGUACGCCUGGUUUGAACAACAACAAGUCCUGCAGAUUUUUUGCGCCAGCCGCAUCAUCAGAAUUAGAAGCAGCAACCGGCAGGAUGAGCCCCUGGUUCCCUCGGAUUGCCGCGUCGAACAUGCUGACGUUAGCAUGCACCAGAGCCGGCGAUGGAGUAGACGUCCCCACUCGGUGCUCGAGCACAUGGCCCACCUGGCCGUGCUUAGCACCAAUGGAAGAGCCGCCCCCCGCCUCCUUUCCCUGGCCCGCCUGGCCAGAGAGAGCAGAGGGCCUCGGAAGAGUUUGCUGGUCCUCCUGACCAGAACCAGCGCCUGGGUGGAGCGGCGUUGGAGCCCCAUACACCCGGCCCUCCUGGCCGAGCGUGACGCCCUCCUGGGUUGGCCCACCAAACGCGUGCUUAAUCAUGUGGUAUGCAGACAGUGCACUUACACCCCUGGGGAACGCACGUUGCAGUGACCUUGCCGAUGUAAAUGAACCUUUUGCAUAGCUCCUUACAUGAGACGCCAUUGCCAUCACAACUUGGCGAAACUAUCGAGUCACUGCAGAGCUCCGCUGAAGCCUGCAUCAACAUGCCUGCAGAUCUCAGAAAGAAACGAACGAGGAUUAAGAAAAAUCAACAGAAAAGAACGUCGGAUUACAUGCAUAAUACUCAACUGUUGACUACCUGAGGAUAGCACCAAAAGAGCAAGACCCACGAACACCAUGUUGACAGUCUUCAUCCUUGUGAAUGAAAGAAAAAAAAAAAGGAAACUUGUCAGGUGAGGUGUCUGCUACUGGUGUUGCAAGCCUACCACUCUCAACCUUGGUUGGAAGGAUAUUUAUAGUGCACAUGCAUCGAUGGUCGGUAACGCUGAUAUGGAAUCAAAUAGCUGAAAUCGGGGGCAAUUAAAAAGAUCACGAGCCAGGCCGCGCGCUAAAUGCCAUGGAUCGAAGCAAUUAAGCAUGAGCUCCGAAAAUGGUGCGCGCUGAUCAACUACAUGCCCAUAGUGGGGCUUCUGUGGUACUACCUCCGUCCUGUUUAUUAGUCACCCUUUUAGUUUGGGUCAAACUUUCACAUUUGAUUUAACUAUCAAAAAAUAAGUUAUAUAACCUAAAAAUAGUAUAAUUGAAAACCUAAUAUGAAUCAAUAUUAUAAGUUUUGUGACAUACCACACAGAAUUUGUUAGUCAAAUCUACUAUGAAAGUUGGGACAAAAUACGAAGGGGGCCAACAAACCCGGACGAAGGUAGUAGUGAUUAAUUGCCAGACAGGGAAGCGUGGUUGACGCAUGCCUCGUUUGUAAUGUCAAUUAGUACUAGAGGCUGCCGCACGCUUUGCUGCGUCGUUUUUCGCCCGUAGGAUUAACUUUUUUCUUCUUUAGCAUGUUAUUGCAGUCGGUUAUUUUGUUCUGGUUUAUCUGUGUUGGUUUGGGUUUUAGUUAUGUUCUGGCGUUGUUUUAUCAUCUAGAUAUUGUGUUGGGCUGCUGGUUUUUCUUACGAAUUUUGUUGGCUUGCCAUCGAAGGUGGUAUUUGUUUUAAGAGGAGAGUUGGUGUUGUUCGUGCGUGGAUGGGUGCCCUUACAUGUUUUGAACUUGGUGUCAUCCAGUGUUAGUAGCGUGAGCCUCUUGGAAGCUACUAUUCCACGGUAAAACGAUGAAAUUGACGAUAUAACAGUCACUUAUAGGCCAGUCCAUCAAACUCUCGCUCAUUUUUUCCAUUUACUCCAAUGCUAGCUCAGUAAAACCUAUUAUCACUUAUUUAAUUGAAAAAAUGAUUAAAUCAAAAGAUGUUCACAAAUUUAUUUUUCCAACAUUUUGCAAAUUUAAAAACAACAGAUUUUUAAAUAAAAUGUUCAUGAAUUUUAAAAUAUUUUGGAUCUCAAACAAUGUUCUCAAAUUUGAAAAAAGUUCAAAAACUAAAAAAAUCUAUAGACUUUAAUAACGUUCAUAAAAUUUAAAUAUAGGUUUUUUAUCGUUUAUGCCACUGGUCACACUACUCAGUUUUGCCACGAGGAAUUUUAACUGCUCAAAAAUUACAUCGCUUCGUCAGACGCAUGCUCAAAAAUGCCUCUAAACACCAUUACUGUCAGCUCAAAUCUCGUUUGCCAUGUUAUAAUGACCAAAAUAGUUAUGGACCAACAUGUCAGCCCUCCCACUAUCUCACUACAAUAAAGUGUGGGCCGCACUUGAUCCCACCAACAUUAUUAUUUUCCUCUAAAAAUAUUAACUUACUUACUCCUGACAAGUGGGCGCACACUUAUCAUUGUGAGAUAGAGAGAAUUGACAUGUGGGUCUAGGGUAUUUUUAUCAUAUAACAUGGUCAAUGGGUUUGACCUGACAAUAACGAUGUCUAAUGGCAUUUUUGAGCAAACAUCGAUCUAAUGGAACAAUGGUGUUUUCGAGAUACCUAAUGAAAAUUUGGAGCAAGCAUUUCACGAAACGAUGACAUUUUUUAGCAGUUGUAACUUGUAAUGACAAAAUUGAGUAGUGAGACAUGACUAGUGACAUAAGUGACAAAAUGUUGGCAUGCAAGAUCGUUCAUGAAUAAAAAUGUGAAAAGAGAACAAAACAGGAACAAGGAAAAUGAAAAACAUGAAUAAAAUUAUUAAAACAAGUAGAGAAACACAUAGAAAAGAAUGAAAAUACUCAAGAAAUACAUCCUAGAACCUUCUCGAAACCGGAAAAACCGUGUGACACUUUACGAUUAUAUACAUAUGUGUUACUCCCAACAAGCGACACACCCCCUUACAAGUGGGGCCUAUAGAGACCAGACCCAGGACGCACCAGGAGGCUCCAAAUCAUUGAGCUUAGUAUUUGAAUAAAAAUGUUCAAUAUGUGUUCACAAAAUGUUCAUAGUGUAUUUAAAAAAAAUCCAAUGUAUAUUCAUCAAAUUGUAAACAAGUAUUUAAAAAAAUGUUUAACGUGUAUCUUAAAAAUGUAGAACUUGUAUAAACAAAAAGUUAAAUGUAUAUUUAAAUGAAGUGGACAUGUAUUUAUAAAAAAUGUGAAUAAAAAAUCUCAAAAGAAAAAAAAUGAGAAAACACACGAAAACCAAAAAAUAAAAAUAAAUCAAAGAACCGAUAAAGAAAAACACAAAAGAAGAAAAAAAAUACGGAAUCGAUAUGUGGUUGUUAUUGGCGGCGCACCGCCACACCCGAUCGCAGGCUAACAACCUGGUCCAUCGGCGCUCCAUCGAGAAGGAGAGCGCCGAGAGAGCAGACACACACUAACGCAUCCAAGAAAAAAAGCUGCAUGAAUCGCCACGACUCAACAUUGAGUAGGCCCAUGUACACGCAACAACUAAAACUCAUCCUAAUAAAUAGGCCCACAACCGACCCCAAAAACCACGAUGCACCAUGAGCGUGGAAAUCUUGGGAGCUUAGUAACUGUACGGAUAUAGAUGUCAUGAUUCUUCGUAGGAAAACGAUCAAUCGGGCGACCGAUCGUGGGCGAUGCUAGGAGUCGGUUGACCGGCAAGUAGCCUAAAUCAGUGGCCUCCCACACCAUCUGAUCACGUCAGCCCUAGCCGUUUGAUCGACCUCCCACCCCGCACAAUGUUUCCCUCUCUCUCUUGUCAUCCCCUUCUGGCGCUGCUUCGCCGCACACGCUUCUCUCUCCACGCUUGUAGAAGCCAUCGGCCUCCUACACAGACCGGCAAAAAAUCCCUUCGAGGUCACCACGUCGUCGUUGUCCUGUGGCCAAAUUAAAAUUAGGGAUUGACGAUUUCACGGCAGACUCUCCUAGAAGCUGUAGUGGUCGCUAUAGCGGGCAAUCACGGCAAUAGUGACAAUUUUUCAGAUUGGAGGGAUGAUUCUAGAGGUUUUUGUUGAUUUUGGAGCCAUUUAGAGGGAUUUGUGAAGGAUUUCAAGGCGGCGGCUGUGGCGUAGCGGCAAGGCUCCUGGCCAGCAAUAGUGCGGCUAUUUUGCGGGUGAUUUAAUUUCGUGUCUGUGACACCCCAUUGAAGUGUCGGUGUGUCAUCGUAGGACACAUCGGUCGUGGUCGCAACAGCCCGGUGACGUUGUCCCAACACCAGACCACUGGGGUUUCAACAGAAGAGCAAGUAUAAUAAGGUGCAGUUAGCAUACUGUAAGGACUAAACUAUUAUAUUUUUACUAGUUGGAUGAGAGAAAAAAAUGAGAGAGAAGGGAAGCAGACUGUAGAUUAACAACCAGCUACAACACAGACUCCAAAAAUCAUUGUGAGAGUGUAAGGUGAAUCAUGUAUAAAUAAAACAGUACUACUUAGUAACUACGCCGUAGCUACUAUACAUGUUAACUAUUAGUUUGGCAAUAGCUCACAUGACAACUUCAUAUAGCCAGUUCUUGGCAAUACUGUUAACCAUGCUCUAACGCGGUCAGUCACAAAAACCAAUGGCCGUCGGUUCCAUUACCAGGCGCAGCAGGUAUCUCUGUCUAUCGCCAUUCACAGCAUCGACGUCGCUCCUAUCUACGGCGGACCGUACCAGCACCAACUGUUGUUGAUCGCAACAGCCAGGCUCGCCAGUCCCAACAGUCACCACAAAGGCGCCCCUAUGUCUCGAUUUAAGCGAGCAUAGUGGAAGCCUCGCGUCUUGGGGGAGCCAGAUGGGCCGGUCCAGCCGCACGGGAGGCCAUGGCUGUCUUUUUGUUUUUUCUCAUUUUUGCUUUAUUUUUAUACUUAUACUUUAAAAUACUAUACAAAAAACACUCUUAAAAAACAUAUGAAAAAUGUUGAACAAGUAUUUGAAAAACAUUAAAUAAGUAUUAAAAAUGUUCAAGUAUUUUAAAAAUGUUGAACAAGUAUUUAAUUUUGGUGAAUAAGUAUUAAAAAUGUUGAACAAGUAUUUGACAAAUGUUGAAUAAGUAUUAAAAAUUGUUGAAUGAGUAUUUAAAAAAUGUUGAACAAGUUUUUGAGAAUGUUGAAUAAGUAUUAAAAAUGUUGAACAAGUAUUUGACAAAUAUUGAAUAAGUACUAAAAAAUAUUGAACGAGUAACUGAGAAAUAUUGAACAGGUAUUUGAAAAUGUUGAAUAAGUGUUAAAAAUGUUGUAGAAGUAUUUGAAAAUGUUGAAUAAGUAUUAAAAAGUGUUGAAUGAGUGUUUGAAAAAUAUUGAACAUAUAUUUGAAAAAUGUUGAAUAAGUAUUAAAAUAUUGAACAUUUAUACAAAAAAAUAUUGAUCACUUAUUAACGAAAUGUUUUUGACAUAUAUGGAAAUGUAGAGUGAAAACAAAACAAACAUAAGAAAAAAAUGGAGAAGAGAAAGGAAACCAAACAAAAAUGACGAGGAAAAAAGAAAAUCAAAUAAAAAUAGAAUAAUGCAAAAAGAUCAUAAUAACCAAAUAAAAACAAAAUGCAGAAAUGAAUGAAAGAAAAAGAAGAAGAAAAAAGAAAAGAAACAAAAUAAAACAGAAAAGAAAAAAAUCCUGAAGAAAAUGAAAAGAAAAAACGGAGAAGAAAAAGAAAUGAAUCAAAAGAAAAUAAAAAACCCCAUUGAAAAUCCAGGAAAACCAUCUCUUUUCCCUUAAGGGCGUGUUUGGUUGCCGUGCGCUACAGUACCCGCAUUGCAUACACUUGUCCACUCAACCUGGGCUAUGCAAAUGCAGCCUCAAAUGCACCAUCUGCAUGUUGUUUGGUUGCCUGCAUGCCCUCUUGCCUGCAUGGGCAGAACCACACUGCCUGGUGUUUGGUUGCCUGCAUGUUAGUGGACAAACCCAAAGCAUGGUGUUUGGUUGUAUGCAACGCCUGGUGCGUGGUAACCUCUUUGGCUAGUUGGUGAGGUUACCAGCACACUUCGGCACAACCAUGUAGCACACAUCAUAAGCAGAGUAGAGUAUAAACAGAGGAUCAACUACUUAAGAGCAUAUUUUCAGAUAAGCAGUGCCACACUUCAUAAUAGUUGUACGCACAAAUCAUAAACAUAAUCAGUUCAAAGCAGACUCGAUAGUACUUAGGGAGGCCCCGACCCUACUCCUUGGCGGUGAAGGCUUCGUCUUGCUUCCCGCACUUGUUGACGACCUCAAUGCCAUCGUCGUCGAAGAUGAUGACCAUGAGGGUGUCGGGAGUGAGGAGCUUGAACGUCACCAUGUAGCCGAUCUUGAUCUGAUGAACCACUGCGUAGGUGGCCCAACCCUGAUCCAGGGUCACCCUGCCGUUCAUCAGCUUCACCGUCACCUUCCAGGAGCAGCCGGUGUUGUUCCUGAGCUUGAACUUCGUCGGCACCGCGACAAAGUGCUUGGUGAAGUCCAGGGGCAUGGGGAUGCACUCAAGCUUCGGUGCAAGGAUGACCUUGCAGGAGUGAGUUGGGCCAUCCUCCUGAUGGUAGUGGCCGUAGUUGCGGCGCUUGUUGCUGGGGGGCUCCUCCAUGCCCUUGUCGUCGCCACCCUCAGGCGUCUUCAGGUCUUCCUCGGCGGUGGGUGGCAGCACAACCUCGUCGGGCAUUGGGUGAAGGGGUUGCUUGCCCUUGUUGUCAACGGCCGGGAGCACCUCCGUGCCCAUCUCAUUGCUCUCCUCGAUCUGCACACAAUUCAUGGAGUCAAGCACGACACAGAGUUCAUUGCUUAUUGAAGAGCAUGUGGUUAAAAUGGCAUGACUGUCACUCUUCUCCUCCUCUCCACCCCCCUAUAUUUACUCACCCUGCCCACCACUACUUACCCACCCCCUCUCUUCUCUCACUGUCAACCUUCCUCCUCCUCAUCGCCAUGAGCUCUAGCUCCAGCUCCAACGCCAACCCCUUCCCUUGGGGUAUUGGCUGGAGGGCCUUCUUACUCGGGUGGUCGGCUGGUGACCGCACCAAGUUCGAGAACACCAUGGAGGUGUGCUCGAACUUCGGCUCCAUGCCUGACAUGCAGAACGAAUCAAAUGCAGUGCUCAUGAAGGCCACUACAGAAGAGCUGAAGACGCUGAUUCCUGACCCAGCGAAGGGCGCGAUGGUAGUUGACAUCAUUCACUGGGCCAUGAAUCAGGCCGUCUCCGAUGACGCUAAAUAGAGGAAGAAGUGGUGCAAGUACAAGAACUACUGGGCUCCUAAUGACUGUCGUGCCGCAGUGUACUGGGAGACGGCUAUCGCGCCGCCGGCGGUCAUCGGUGGGGAGCCUAAGGAGGAGGAAGAAGCGAUGCAGAUGCCAGCGAGGGCGCCGGAGCCAGGCCGUCGUACCUGGCAGAUCGACCUCGACUCCGCCGAGGAGGAGGACGACGAACCGCUGAUGACCCACAAGUGUAGGGGAUCUAUCGUAGUCCUUUCGAUAAGUAAGAGUGUCGAACCCAACGAGGAGCAGAAGGAAAUGAUAAGCGGUUUUCAGCAAGGUAUUCUCUGCAAGCACUGAAAAUAUCGGUAACAGAUAGUUUUGUGAUAAGGUAAUUGGCAACAAGUAACAAGUAAUGAAAGUAAAUAAGGUGCAGCAAGAUGGCGCAAUCCUUUUUGUAGCAAAGGACAAGCCUGGACAAACUCUUAUAUAGAGAAAAGCGCUCCCGAGGACACAUGGGAAUUAUCGUCAAGCUAGUUUUCAUCAUGCUCAUAUGAUUCGCGUUCGUUAUUUUGAUAAUUUGGUAUGUGGAUGGACCGGUGCUUUGGUGUUGUCCUUUCUUGGACAAGCAUCCCACUUAUGAUUAACCCCUAUUGCAAGCAUCCGCAACUACAAACAAAGUAUUAAGGUAAACCUAACCAUAGCAUGAAACAUAUGGAAUCAAAUCAACCCCUUACGAAGCAACUCAUAAACUAGGGUUUAAGCUUCUGUCACUCUAGCAACCCAUCAUCUACUUAUUACUUCCCAAUGCCUUCCUCUAGGCCCAAACAAUGGUGAAGUGUCAUGUAGUCGACGUUCACAUAACACCACUAGAGGAAAGACAACAUACAUCUCAUCAAAAUAUCAAACGAAUACCAAAUUCACAUGUUAGCAAGACUUCUCCCAUGUCCUCAGGAACAAACGUAACUACUCAUAAAGCAUAUUCAUGUUCAUAAUCAGAGGGAUAUUAAUAUGCCUAAUGGAUCUGAACAUAUGAGCUUCCACCAAAUAAACCAACUAGCAUCAACUACAAGGAGUAAUCAACACUACUAGCAACCCAUAGGUACCAAUCUGAGGCUUUGGGACAAAGAUUGGAUACAAGAGAUGAACUAGGGUUUGAGAGGAGAUGGUGCUGGUGAAGAUGUUGAUGGAGAUUGGCCCCCUCCCGAUGAGAGGAUCGUUGGUGAUGACGAUGGUGAUGAUUUCCC